GCUCUCCAUUCUCCGUUAGAAGACAGUAUGCAACGUUGAUCUCUGUGACAUACUCUAAGUGCCACGCCGGCGAUCGUCUCUCACGAGUUGACCGAUGAACUUCUGGAGCCUCGGACUCGACUGGUUCUUGUUCCUCGUGCUCUGGUGCUGUUUCAGAAGAAUCUGAAUCUUCUAGAUUAUUUUCCACAUAUACUGGCACGGUCUCUAACUUUUCUUUUGUAGUGUCAUCAUCCUCAUCUCUCCUUUGUAGUUGAUCUUCUACAAAGACAACAUCUCUGCUGAUGACGAUCUUGUGGGCAGUGGGGUCCCACAGACGAUACCCCUUUACUCCAUCAGCAUACCCCAAGAAGAUACAUCUUCUAGAUUUUGGAUCCAGCUUUGUUCUUUCUUGGGCAUUGUACAUCACGUACACAUGACAUCCAAAUACAUGUAGGUAGGAAUAAUCAGCUGGCUUUUCAGUCCACAUCUCCAUCGCUGUCUUCAACCCAAUUGCUGUAGAUGGCGACCGAUUUACUAUAUAACAGGCAGUUUUGGCUGUUUCUGCCCAGAAUGAAUUGGGUAGACCAGCAGUCUUCAACAUAGCUCUUAUUCUUUCUGUAAGAGUUCUGUUCAUCUGCUCCGCCACUCCAUUUUGUUGAGGAGUGCAUGCCACCGUGAACUGCCUCUGAAUACCUUCUUGCUUACAGAAAGCAAGAAACUCGUCGUCUGUAUACUCUCCACCAUUAUCCGUCCUCAAGCACUUGAUCUUUUUACCGGAUUCAAGUUCCACCCGCACUUUGUAUUCUUUAAACACUGGAAAUAUAUCUGACUUUUUCUUAAUUGGAUACACCCAACAUCUUCUGGAAUAAUCAUCAAUGAAAGUCACCAUGUACUUUGCACCUACCAUGGAUAUAUCCAAUGAUUCCCAAACAUCAGAAUAAAUCAAGUCUAUAAUGCAUUUACUUCUAGCAAUAGAUCUACUGAAUUUUAAUCUAUGAUGUUUACUUGUAACACAAUGCUCGCAAAAUGGUAAACUUACCGAUUUGAGCCCCGGAAGCAAUUUUCGCUCAGAGAGAAUCUUCAAACCUUGUUCUGACAUGUGGCCAAGUUUGAGAUGCCACAUAAUCGUUGACUUUUCUCCAUUUGACACGACACACGCAUCAGCUUCUUAUAGUGUUUCUCCUUUAAGCAUGAAUAGAUUAGCACCGAUCUUUUCUGUCUUCAUCAAUACAAGCGUGCCUUUAACGAUCUUUAUAAUUCCAUUCUCCACAUGAGUUUUGUACCCAUGACUAUCCAUUUGUCCCAAAGACAAUAUAUUUUUCUUCAGGCCAUUAACAUGUCGUACUUCCUCAAUUGUGCGAAUUGUACCAUUAAACAUUUUUAUUUUGAUAGUACCAAUACCAGCGAUCUCCAAGGCAUGAUCAUCUCCCAUAUAUACAGAUCCUCCUAAGAUAGGUUCAUAUGUGUGGAACCAUUCUCUUCUAGAGGUCAUGUGCCAGGUAGCUCCUGAGUCUAUAAGCCAGACAUCAGAAAGUCGUUUUCUACAUUCUGAAAUAGUUGUUGCCUCACUGUAAAGAAUUUCGCCAUCAUCCGAGGUACUUGCUACACAACCCUAAGCAUUUGAUGACUCGGGUUCUUUGCCCUCUCUUCUCUUUUGGUUACUCCAACAUUCUUUCUUGACGUGCCCUUUCUUGUCACAUUUGUAGCAUUUAACAUUCUUCUUACUUCUGGAUUUUGAUCUACCCUGAUUUUGACUCCCACUGGGGCCACGUUCCGUUGAUCUCCCUCUCGUCAACGAUAGCGCUUCUGCUUGCUGCGAACUUGCUUGUCUGUUUUUCUUAUUUUUUCGCCUGCUCUCCUCAUUUAAUACAGAGGCUGCAACAUCGUCGAAAACUAGACUGUCUACUGGAUUAUUGUUCGUCAGGUUGGUGAUGAGUUGAUCAUACGAAUCUGGUAGACUUUGAAGUAGAAGCUCUGCACAUUCAUUUUCCUUUAUAUUAUGACUCAACGUUGUGAGUUGUGAAAAUAGAGUCUUCAAUGUGUUGAUGUGGUUGGUCACCAUUGUAGAUUCCGCCAUUCGAAGAGUAUAGAGUUUUCUCUUCAAGAAGAUUUUGUUGUGCAAUGACUUUGCCUCAUACAAUUUUGUGAGAGUAUCCCAUAUUUCCUUCGCCGUAUUUUUCUCUGCCACACUGGAUAAUACUUCAUCUGCAAGUGCCAAGUGUAGAUCAGAAAUUGCGUUGCCGUCUACCUCGUUCCACUUCUCAUCAGUUAUCUCCAUGGGCCUUUCUCCAAUUGCUGCCAAACAAUUAUUUUUCCUCAAUACAGCUUUCAUCUUCAUUUUCCACAACGAAAAAUUAUUUCCGUUAAACUUCUCAAUUUCAUACUUUGCCGCUAUUUUGUUGAUAAAUACUGCACACAAGUUGGUGUACCACCUUGAAUAGUUGUGAGUAUGUGUGAGAAUGCACACCAGGAAAGUUCCCGGGAAAGACUGGGGGGUCACAAUGGUCCCACUUAAAAUCCAGACUCCUUAAGCUCUUAUCGCCUUUGUAACAGAACUUUCCUAGACAUGUACAAAAUCACACAGUUGCUUUACUCACACUACUAUUCCCUGCUUUGCACCGCAAAAUUCUUGGAUCGCUUCCACCGUUUCAUGUGAAUAGUACUGUAUACGUGAAUAAUACCGUAUACGUGAAUAGUAUUGUAUACGUGAAUAGUACCCCUUACGUGAAUAGUACCCGACUCCAAAAAUACAACCAAUAGCUCUGAUACCACUGUUAGGAAAUUGGUGGGUGAAGUAGGACCGCACCUAAAAUAAAAUUAGAAGGAAAAUAAAGAACAAGCACACUAAGAGGACACUAGAAAUUACGUGGUUCGGCUUUUAGCCUACGUCCACAGGCGAAGACAGAAGGAAAUAUUUUACUAGUGAAAAAGAGUUACAAGUAUUGUAGUAUUUUAGCUCACUUCCCAAAAUCCCAAUACACCCAAACUCUCAAAACACUAAAACAAGAGCUUAUAAUUUCAAGCUCUCUAAACUCUCUCUAAAUACAAGAAAAAUCUUCUCAAAAGUGGAUGAUCAAAUGAGGGAAUGAGUCCUUCUAUUUAUAGCCAAAAUCUUGGCUACUAUUCACGUAUUUUUUUUAAUUAUGUAUUAUUGUUCAAAAUUUCAAAAUUCAAAGUUUGAUAUUCAAACUUUGAAUAUCUAGAAUUUUGAAUUUGAUAUUCAAAGUUUGAAUAUCUAGAAGUUUGAUUUUGAUAUUCAAACUUUGAAUAUCAAGACACCCAAUCUUGACAGUUCUUACAUCACAUAUUAACAUAAUCUUUUCAAUUAAUAUUGUCAAUACUAGGAUCAUAUAAAGCAGACAGUAAGUAACCCUUGAGUUGUGACCUAAAAAAAAAAUGUAGCAUGUAUAAUAAUUGAAUUAUUAUAGAUGACAACUUAUGAAUAUGUACAUUAUAUAUAACAUAGUCUAGCCCUAAUAUUAGAAUUGUAUAUUAUUUUAAUUUAUAAACGUAAACUACGGUUUUCCAAUAUGUUUAUGUCUCUUACCUUCUACUAAGUGAAUAUGCAAAAUAACUUUGCAACUCAAGAUCAAGAACCUCUUCUCUAUGGUUAAUUCUUGCCUCACCUUCAAAUGAAAGGUUGGAAAUCUAAAAAAAGAAAAUGUAUAAAGAAAAAUGAACGUGGAUGGUUCCUCCUGUGUAAUUAACAUAGGUGACAUUCGUUAAUAGUUAAAUGACUAAAAACGGAGACUUCGCCUGCAUGCUUCAAAUGGAAAUAAUACUUAAACAUGCAAAAGGAUCCAAGUAGGUCUUUAAUGAACUCCUCAAUCAAAUCACGGCAGAUAUAAUCUUGUAAAGCCAAUCCAAUUCUUCCAACCUCCCUUCUCUCACCCCAUGCGAUAUCUCAACAUUCUUCGUUUAAACUAUCUAUCAUGGCCUUGCUUCCCCACAUGGGCGAUAUUACUUGUACUGCUGCCACGUUCUCGCUGCAACUUUUUACUGCCGUUUCACUUCCCAUCUUUUACACCAAACAUAUGUUGCUCACAGCAGUGUCCUCUCCUGGUUUUCUCUUUCGUUGUUGCUUCUGUUGGUGCAUUACAGCUGCUCGUCCUGCAACACAAUGUACAAUACAGUAUAAUCUUUGCAUUGAGAAUAGAACACAAUUAAUAUAUUGCAGUUUAUAUCAUUAAACAUACACAAUAUACAAUUAGUUGUGUUUGACGUGGUGAAAAAGGAAGUGUUUUAUGUGGAUCCUGUGCAGUCCAGUCCUGAUACUAAUUUAGAACAACUCCUUAAAAUGUAUGUGUGACAAUUCAUUUCAUGCAAUUGGUAUUUUAAGUUUUUUCAAUAUAAUCAAGAGAUAACAAUUUACUUUUUUUUUACAGUACCAUGACACUCUUUACAUCAAAGGAUAGUAAGGAAAAAUGGAAUUAUAAUUUUAAGAUGAGAAUUGUAAAGGUAAAAAAAAAAGUAACCCUAUAGAAACUAUAUGUGCCUAUCGAUUAUAUAACUGAAAUAGAUGAGAUUUUGUAAGUUUUUUUUUUUGGCAUGAACAGGCUCCGAAACAAAAAUCGCAAAAUUGGAGUGUGGCUAUUAUGUGUUCAAGUACAUGAAGGAAAUAAUAGCAAAUGUUAGUUUGUUAAUGAACAAUAUAAGUUGAUGAUGACAUUUCUUAACUUUCUUUUAUUCCAUAUACGUGACAUUAUUUUUAAAGUUUGACCUCUUGAUAAUCUUGUAAUUAACAGUUUAAUGGAAAGAAAGUAUACACUCAGGACGAAUUAGAUGAGGUUUGUUUAGAGUAAGCUAACCAUUUUUCCAACAUCCUUGUUACAUCAGCAAAAUGGUUAGUAUGAGUAUGAAACUAUAAAUAUUAGUUGUAAAAGUUUAUUGAAUUUAAAAUUAUAGUGUCAAAUUAUAAUGGUUAUUGUUAACGAUUGUAGUGUAAAUGUUUUGCAUUCGAUAACAUUGGGUAUUUUGAUUUAUUCUGAAUAGAUUGGUUUGCUGGGUUUGGAUUGGAGGGUUGCUGGGUAUGUGGCUGGAAUACCAGUGGCGUAGAAAGAUGUUGGGUUGCUGCUGAAUGUGUGUUGGAGUGUUGUUGGGUAAGUGGCUAUUAGACUAUUGCCGUUAGAAGAUGUAUUGUUGUUGGAGGUUUUGUUGGCUUGGUGGCUGGAAUUGAGUUGCUUUUCUUGUAGUUUAAUUGGAUGAUUUUUUUUUUAAUUUGGGAUGUUGAUUAUAUAUGUAUUGGUAGUGAUGACAAUAUUAGAUACUAGAUGUAUUUAUUUUAAAAUUAACUUGUUGGAAUGAAUGGAUGUUAAUUAAUAUUAAUUGUUAAUUACUAUUAAUUAUUUUUAGUUUUUUUAUGAUACUCAUUUUUAUUAAUUAAUUAAAUUUGUAAACAUGAAUUCAAAAAUAAAUUAUAAUCAUAAUUUUUUUUAAAACAAAUUUAACUUUAUGACUGGAAAUACCCAUCAUAAAGUCUGUCAUAAAUAAUUUUUGGUCAAAAAAUGAAUAAUAAAUUUACAAAUGAUAAUAUAAUUUCCUGUCAAAACUGAAUAAUAAAUUUAUCAAUGACAAUAAAAUUUCCCGCCAAAUUUUAAAAAUUUGGCGCGAAAAUUUAAAUAAAAUCAAAUUUUAAUUUAAUUAUUUUUUCACAUUAAAAUAUUGCGUGACGGAUAUAUGACUGUAAAAUACUAUCGUUAAUUCAUGACAGUAAAUAUUCUGUCAUAAAUUAAUGACAAUGACAUAGAUGACAGAUGAAUUGUCUGUCAUGCGCCCCCUUUUAUGACAGUUAUUUCCCGUCAUUUAUUACUUAUUUUUUUGUAGUGUGUAUACAUUAUUGAACCCCCAAACCCACUAUUAUGCCCCCCUCUGCCUGUUAACUUAGCACUUGCAAUAACCUCUUCGAUAAUCUUCCACAACUAACUAAUUUAAGAAAGCAUUAGACACCAUUAAGAUAUGCAUCUCUAUAAGAAACAUAUAUUUGAAAGUUCUUAAGGAGCUAACACAACUACCUAAAUGGAAUUUUUCAUAAAAUAAAAAAAGUAAGGUUAGUCAUAAUUUGGGUUGGGGAGAUGAACUUGUUAGUUAGAACCACCUGAGCGUUGAGUGGAACCAUGUCAAUCAUGGCCAGCAAUGCAACACGAGCUUGCUCUUAACGUAUCCAGCCCUGAAAAGUAUAAUAAUAGCAGGUGGACAACUUGGACUACUAGUUGCUGCUACAAAUGUGGCUUGGGGAAAAGAAUUACAGAUGAACCAUCACAUUUGUUGUUGUGGAUCGGUUCUCGAAAAUGGCCCACUUUAUUGCCUGCAAGAAAACUACAAACGCCUUGACUGUUGCUCGUCUAUUCUUCAAGGAAGUCUGUAGAUUGCGUGGCUUAUCGAGUUCUAUAAUAUCUAACCAGGAUACACAAUUUCUUAGCCAUUUUUGGAAGACAUUAUGGAAGUUGACUAACACUCACCUGAAUUUCAGAAGUGCUUAUAACUCAUAAAUAUAUAGUUAAAGCGAAGUUGUCAGCUGUUAUUUAGGAAACCAUACACGUAGUCUAGUUGGCGAUAUCCUAAGGAUAUGAGAUAAGAAGUUAUACCAAGUCGAAUUUGCUUAUAACCAAAGAUAAAAAGCAUCAUUGAAGAAGACUACCGAAGGUUAUAAAAUUGUGGCAGACAAAAAGCGUCGAAUUUUAGAAUUUUAAGUGGGAGAUCUUAUGUGGGCUGUCCUAACCAAAGAUAGGUUCUCCGUUGGAGAGUAUAACAAGCUUUCUGCCAAGAAAAUCAUAUCUUUAGAUAUUAUUGAGAAGAUAAAUCCUAAUACAUACAGACUGAAACUUCCUAGUGAUAUCCGCACAGUAGAUGUGUUCAAUAUCAAGUAUCUUAUUCCUUACAGAGGUGAUCAUGAUGAAUAAUUGAAUAUGAGGCUGUUGACUCUCCAUCCUAGGGGGAAUGAUGCAGAUUAGGAAUCUAUGUUAUACUAGGAUAUGUUUCCUAAUUGACUAAUGUUAAGGACUUUUAAGUUCUUUUCCAAAUUAGAAUUUUGUUUCCUUUUCAAUUUAGAAUUUUGUUUCCUUUGUGAUUUAGGUUAAUUAAUACUACUAUAAAUAGCUUCCUUUUGUAGCCUUUGAAGGCAGAUUCGAGUUCAAUAAUAUUUUUAGAUUUCAAAUCUUUGUGUAAGUAUUUGAGUUUAGUUCAUUCUCGGUUUUAUACGGAAUCAACGAGUUUCAACCCCUAAAUUUGCGAUAUUCUCUUGAAUUAACAUUAAUUUAGUUUGUUCUUUUAUUCUAAUAUUUUUAAAAAUCAACGGAAUAUUGAAACUAUAAACUUUUGCUACAUCAUAGAUGAAAGUUUGAAUAUUAUUAAAAUUUAAAAGAAAAAACCAUGUAGCUUGUUGCAUUUUGAUAACAUAUGUAUAGACUCUAGCACCGUGGCAUAUGAACAAGACCCAAUUGAAAAGAAGGAAACUUUUUGAAAUGUAAACUUACAACAUGUUCUCAGUUUAUUUGAGAUAAAUCACUAAAGAAAUUAGCAAACGUCACAUAUUUAAACAUCUUUAAUAGGCUAUGCAUAAAUCAUUCAUUUGUUACAACAAGCAAAUUUAAUUUAGUAGGAAAUUAUAGUUCAUUUGUUACAGUGAUAUUACUUUUGUACUGUUACUGCACAAAGCAUGCCUAGAUCUCCUUAUUCCUUGCUUCCAUCACUCCCUUCCCCUGAUUAAGUAAGCUAUUUCCAAAAAGAAACCCCGUUCCUUGGAAAGCAUAUGUCAACAAGGCCAUAAAUACGAACGUUUACUCAAACCAAACAAUUUCCACUCAAUGAAAAGGCCAGUUACUACCUUUACGAGUAGCUAUCGAGGUGGAUUCAGAUCCUCAACUGUGAUAGGACAGACCAUAAAUUGUGAACCGACUUCAAAUGCCCAAGUCGUCCCUCCCUCAAAGUUAUCUUUUAAAAGCAAACCGCCUUCCUUGCUGAUUACUGCAAGUUCAGGCAAGAUGAUUGCCUCAAAGCUAUCUUAGACUCCUUUGUUUGUUUUAGCUUGUUAACGUGCUUUUUCACACUUUGCAAGAAUUGCAUGCGCUUGAUGGUACUUCUAGAAUUACAUCUAUGCUAUAUUGUUGAACCAUACAAGGGAAUAAAGAACAUCAUCAGCAUUAAAACAUGAAUUACUAUUGACAAAAUGCAGAUAAAGUUAAAAUCAUUAGUGAAAAAAAAAAAUGCACUUACUUUUGCCCUAUUUUGUAAAAUUUCUUGCAACUCCUUUACGCCCUCUUAAUCAUCUAACGAUCUUUAGGCCUUGCUCCAAGGUUCUCACCGAGUUUAAGACUUUUGCGAUGUGAUACAGUUGUUUCAUCAUUUUUCUUAGAAUAUGCAGUCGAGACUAGGGAUGACAAUGGGGCAGAUAUGGGUUGGAUCUACUCUACUCCAGAGCCAAAUUCAUAAUAAAAAUUAAGAUUCGUAUCUGCUCCAGAUCCGUCAUGAAUCCAUAUUUUUUGCUCUAUAUACAGAUCCAAAAAAGAAAUAAAUAUCUAUAUCUACUCCAAAUCCAAAAAAAUAAAAUAAAAUCCAAAUCUGCUCUAGAUCCGUCAUGAAUUCUAAAAUUCAGUAACAAAAAAGUAAUAAUUUUUCUCAAAAAUAUAAUAAAUAUUGUAGCUUAUACUUUUACACCAAAACAACAAAUAAGAAAGAUAAUAAAAUAUCAUUUAGAAGUAAUUACAGAAGUAAGAUCAAUCUCAUAUUAUAUUGUUUCCUUCAUCAUUCUAAUAUCCACGAUACACCUACCCUCAUUCCUACAACAUUAGAUAAUGACAUAUAAAUUAAAUAUGAUUUAUAUUCAGUCCUUUAUUAUUUUUAUUAUGACCAUAUUUGACUAAAUAUAUGAAUAACUAUAUUCCUUAAAAAUUAUUUGGCCAAUAUAAUAAAAUAAAUUGUCAGGUUAUACUACUUGGCUUGCAAUUUAAAUAUUGCAUGUAUAUGCUUUGGGGCUGGCUGACCUUUAAAUUUAUAAAACUAACCUUUAAGUUUUAAGAGUUUAAAUGCAUGGUAAAUACUACUAAUAUGCUAUGAAUAAAAUUUAUUAUCAUUAUAAUUCCACAAUUAUUAAGAAACUUUUAAAAUUAAAUUAAAUUAAAAGAUGAGUGGAUAUGAAUAUGGAUUUAGAUAUUAAGAUAGAUCCAUAUUUGCUCCAGAUCCAUUUUGAAUCCGCACAUCAAUAUCAAAAUCCGAUCCAAUUAGAUUUGGAUCACGUGGAUCUUGGAUCAGAUCCAAUCCAUUGCCAUCCCUAGUUCAGUAGUUUAUGCUUCACACUUUGACCUUGUUGUGCCCAAGAACUGAUAGGGGACCCAUAAGUGGAACUAUUAUGGGAGCAAUUUUCUCUAUUAUUCCUACUAUAGCUAGACUGAAAAGAAUUGGAUACUGCAGCCCCUGCCUUGCCAAGGACUUAGUAAGGCCAAAUAGCUCCACAUGCAUAAAGUUUCUUGCCAGACGAGGGAGAAAUAGUGGGAAUAGAGGAGCAACUGAUUUGUGUCAACAUUUUCCUGCAAGAGGCAUUAUCAUACGAGUGCUGAUUCGAGAUAGUGUUAGCCCUAAAGAUUAUAGCUUUUAAUUAAAAAUGCAUGGCAUAUUCCAGAGAAGGAAGUGCAUGGAAACCUGCACUCACAUCAGGAGCAUUCAUAAACAUUGAACUACUUUCACUCAUAUGUUAUCCAUCAGCAAGCAAAUUAUUCCAAUUUGCGUUGAGGAGUUUAUUCUUAAAUCCACAACCAAAAUAUCAAAAAAGUAGUCCACUGAAGGUGGUUCCAUGCUUCUUGUUCAAAAUCUAGCGAAAACUAGAUUUUGAAGUCACAUAUUUCCAUAGUCAGAUGUUUGGCGGUCGUUAACAAAACCAAGCAUUUGCCCACCAACGUAUGUUGAUCAAGUUGAGUUAGGGGGUUGUUAAGAGUUUGAAACAAAUCAUCAUCCACCCUUCCCUUCUAUGAAGCUAGAUUAUUUGGAGUAUGAUUAGCAUCUCAAAAACUAUGACCUUCAUCACAGCCUCCUGAAAGCAUGAAACUGGUGGUUGUAUCCACCAGACUAUACAAAGAAACCUCCUCUUCAAAUGAAUUAACAUUUUAAUCGCAAGAGCAUGGGGUUUAAAAUAGACUUAUCUGAUUACUGAUCCCACCAUGUAGGUCACCAUUUACAGAAUAUUUUGUAGGAAGCAAACCUCUAACCAAGCACAUAGUGGCCGUGAUAAAUGUCAACAAAAAUUACCAGCACCAAAUACAUAGCACAAAGAGAAAUCAUGCAUUUGGUACAGAGCAAAUAAAUGAAUAAGUUUGAAAACGAACGGAGAAAAAGUUCAAGCUUUAAAGUACAUUAAUUUUGGCAACGAUGGACUAAAUUCUUAAUAUAAAACAUUCACUAAACUAACAUAAUUCCCUAAUUUCCAAUCAUAGAGAACACUAACAAUACAAUAGAAAGUGAACGCUAAACAAACUCUGAGAACUAAUAAGAAAGUGAAUUGCAAGCACCCAUCACUAAUUAGAAGAUGUUAAAAGCUAAUGCUCCUGUGAAACACAAAAAUCUGAAGACAAUCAGACCAGAAAAUCAAAUAUGAAAGAGAUGAAAUGAGAACUAAAAAACUCGCCACUUCGAGAACAAGACUCAUUAGCUGAAGUUUUCUUAAUGCCAGUUAAGUUUCUGACAAACUAUGACACUGAUUGCUGACAGCACUCCGGCAAUUAUUGCCUACAUUGGGUAAUAAACAUUCAAGCUUUCCUCAACUUUCUCAGCCGCCAAGCAAAAAAAUAUCCACAAAAAAAAACUCCAAAAUGGAGAUUAAAUAAAACAACAAAACAAAUAAGAAAAAAAGGACCUUUGUUCUAGAAGGGUGUUGUUGAAGCUGCGUCAAUUACUGUUGCAAUCCUUUCUUUGCAACUGAUCUCAUUUUCUUUGCACGGAUGAUAAUAAAAUGUCUUCCAUAAAAUAAAGUCCUGCCCCCAUUAGUGUUUGAGGUCUCACAUAACUACGGACAAGGGACAGAUUCUUCAAUAAAUAUGAAACAUGUGUAGCGGAAAAUGGAACAAAUAGCCAACGACAAAAAGAUGCUUAAGAUAAUAGGUAGUUAGAAUGACUAAGUACAUCCAAUCCUAUAUAGUUAGUAACUGUUGGGAAAGGGACUACCACAAGCAGUUGUAAAUUAAGCGGAAACAAACUUUUUCUUUUUUUGUGUAAUUAAAAAAAAGAUGUGCACCAUAAAUAAAUAAGCAGAAAAAUAAAUCAAUAAAUCAAAAGUAAAAACCAACCACAAGAGACGCAUAUUUUACGUGAAAAACCCAAAUCGAGAAAAAUCACGAGACCGUAGUUCGAUAUAAUCUUCCACUGUAUUAAUGGGAUUACAGCAUAAAUUCUUUUCUAGAUAAUAUUAGAAACUACCAACAUCAAUAAUCUGACUAUUUUUUACUGACAGUAAUAAUUUAAUAAUUAUUUUUUUAAUAAAUGAGUAUCUCAAAUAAUAGUCAAAGAGAAGAUAAAAUAAAAAUUAAAACCAAUAAAAUUAUAGAGGGCAAUGCCAGAAAUUUACCUUUAAAAUUUAAUAGAAAACAAAAUUAAUUUAUCUUUAGUCGCUAUUGAAAUCACCAUUCUUAAAUAAAGGUAUCCACUAUCUUUUUCUCUCUCUACCGCCGCUACUUUUCACGCAGGCACACUUAGGCAGCGCCUUUCACUUGCUUUUAUAAGCAAAAUUUCAUGGUAAAUUUCAUCGAAAUCCAAGGCUUAGUAAUAAUUACAGACCAAGCAGAAUUUAUUUGAACUUUGAGCUUUUGGGCCCCAAAUGAGGUGGAUCCAACAGGAACAAUAUAUAAAAGCAAAAAAAAAGUUCUCCAUUUGAAUCGAAAGAUAUCCUCAAAAUCACUUCUGUAAAAGGAGCUAUAUGUGAAAGGAAAGACCCUAUUUUCCAUUUCAUGUAAACGAAAUGAUGAAAAACAUAAUAGUCUAUAGCAGGCGCAACAUUAUCCUGAAUACAGCUCCAAUUUGCAAAGCAAUAAACUACAAGUAAUGGUUACUUGACAUUUCAGAUUCUUCAGCCCCAUCAACUUUGUUUGGUGCUGACCAGCUUAGCCUUGCUACUCCCAAUCAACAUCCUCCCACCCCUUCAGCCACUAUAAAUUCAUAAUGGAAUACAAUAAUUGUUAUUUUUUUAGGAAAUUUUGAAUUCAAAGAAAUUAGCAAAAGAAUUUCUGUGAAAACACCGACUGCAUUACCUUUGGGACAACAGCAUCAACAUUAUCUUUUAGCUUAAUACCAAAACGAAUUGCCAAAAAGUGACCAUUUGAAACCACCACAUCAUGAUAAUAGUAAAUUAUGAGAUAAUUCUUCAUGAUUGGCACAAAAGUAUUUAUUAGAGUCAUUAAGAUAUACUAGCAUUUUAUCACAUAACAAUAUGAGUUUUUUAAUUACUGCUAUCUCAGUUUCACAUACAAAUUACAAGUAUUCGAUGGAGAUGUAUGAUCUGUGUCGUCGAUUAUGUAUUCUAUGUAUGCAGGCUAUUUGUUACAACAUGUCACUAUUUUUUAUUUAAAUGGAACGAGUCAUUCAUUACAUUAGUAUUAAUUUAACAUACAUAACCCGUAUUAAAUUUCUUCGUCAAUCCCCGUGCAUGGAAUUUUAUAGAACUAAUGUUGACAUUUUGUAAUGAAAGUCAUAGUCUUGGAAGCUAAUCGUUGAAGCUAAAAGCAGCAUAUAAUUCGAGGUCUGAUUGGACAGAACAAUUAUAUUAUUAACCCCUUUAAUUAGUUUAACAAUAGUAAAUCCAUUAUUAUAAGUCAACAAAUUACUGAUGUAUAAUUUUUUUUUUUCGAACUAUAAAAAAGGAGUACAUUGAUUCAUCAAUCAAUUUUAUAAAUAGCAAUCAAAUUUAAAAAAUUGAAUAAGAAAAUAAUUUUUUAAUAUUUUUUAAUAGUUCUUAAAAUUUGUAUUCUACAGUGCGCAAAUCUUUGCCAUUGUUUAUAAGUUUCUGAUACAAAUAAAUGACCAGCUGAUGGCAUGGUUCAUUUAUUUUACUUCACAAGUUUGUUUGUGGUUUUAUGUACACAACUUGUCGGUCACUCAAUCUUUCACAUAAUUUAAAUUUGAGUCAUUAUUUAAUAAGAAAUUCUUUAAGUUAUUAAGUUAAGAGAUAAACUAAAAGAUAUAUAAAAUACAAAUUCUAAUACACUGUAUUAGAGUAUGUGCUUUUGUAACACCCCAAAUCUAACACGUGCAGAGCACGCGAUGAAGAAGUUUACUUACAAAUCCAAAUCCUUACACAAAAAUCUUAAACUGAAAUACUUCGAACUUUUAAUCAACUAAAACAUAAAUCCACGUAUCUAAUACUAAAUAAUCUCUCCCGGAGGUAUAAAUAUAACAAAAGUCUCAAAACUCCCAAAUUAUAAGUUUAUAAAAUAAACAAACUUAAGAGAGACAUGAGUUUAUUUUUUCUCUUAUUCAACUAGUAAAAGGAAAUAAGUCUCUAACUCAAUGAUAAGGACACCUCUCAACAAGGUACUUAAUCUGCAAAAAGUAAUGACGAUGGGUGAACUGUCAACUCGAUAAGUAAAAUCAUUCCCAACACACUAGGCUUAUCGAUACCAAAAAUAUUGCAAGCCUUCUUUUUAGUAAAACAUAUAUUAUAAUUCAUAAAUUUCAUAAAAUGACAUAUCAUGAUAAGAUGACAAAUUUAUAAUAAUCCAAAAUAUCAAAAGCAUAGUUAAUUAUGAAAGCAAAUAGUAUAACAAAUACGCAAAAAAUAAAAGGUUAGCUCAUGUCACAUAAUGUCACCUAUACUCUUGGUAACCCGGCCAGAAAAAGAAUCAAAAUCAAAAUCAAAAUCUCACGUGCACACUCAAAAUAGAAACCCACAAGUUCACAUUAUUUUAAAAAAAAUAUAUAAAUCAACAAGUUAGUCAGGACUCAGGAUCCAAUAAAAAGAGGUCAAUUUGCCCAUUAAUUUUGAUCACAAAAUUAAUUAUAUGUAUCCGGAAAAGUGUUUAAGAUCUUUUGGAAAAUGUAUAAAGGAGAAACUUUUUACGGCCAGUAAACAAGUUAUUAGCUAGUCAGGAUCAAUCCAAAAAGGCAGAGGUCAAUUUGCCCAUUAAUUUUGAUCCCGGAAUUAAUUCUCUUCUAGGACUACUUAAUUUUUAAGCUCUUUUGGAAAAUAGAUACAAGAAUGAAGAAUCGUUGUAGAAAAACUUCUGAGAAUCAGUCAAUUGUUUCAUUGGAAAAUCCAACCAUUUUAACAUGUUCUUGACUUAAUGAAGACACUAUCUCUUUUGUGGUUUUUAUUCCGAAAAAUGCUUUUUGAACAUAAUAGCGAUAAAAUUGUGACAAAAAUACAAUUAAAAUUUUAAAAAGAUCAAACAAUACGAUUUUUGUGUACUUGUUACCAUUUUGUUCGGCGAUUCAUAAUCUUUUAGAUUUUCAUUGAAGUUAAAAAGAAAGCAUAUAUAAUUCAAGGGCUGAUUCGACAGAAGUCACAGAACAAUACUAUUACUACCCUCUCAGUUAAAAUCUAAAUGGCAACACAUAUGGACCAAUUAUUUUCUUUUGAAUUUUGCUAUUUGAACUAAUAGACGACAAAGGGACGACAGAAACGGCAGCGCCCACUGCCGUUUCCUUAGGUCCCUUUGUCUGUUGCUUCAUUAUCCUUUGUCUGUUGCUUUUUUCAUUUAAAAAAUAAAAUAAUCAAAAGAAAAUAUUAAAAUAAUGAAAAGGAAACCAAAAGUAACAAAAAAAAAAGAUGACAAAAUAAGAAAGUUGACAAAAAGCUAAAAUCGCCAUUAUCACUCAAAUCCGACGAAGAAGCCAAACCAAAUAAACUCAACUCAAUCUGUAUUUGUGUUAACAGAAGAAAACUGAAGUAAAACCAGGGGCCACAAUCAGUUUAAAAAAUUAAAUUAAACAUGGCACGUGAGUGAAUAUAGCAUUUAACAAUAGCAACACUUUUUUACAAUCAAUUUUUCUUCUUGUCCUCUCUCUCUCCAUCUCUCACCUCUCAUGUAAUGUGAGCCAUCUGCAUUUAACAAAGAAAAAUCAGUUCCCUGUCCUCUCUAUCUCUCUGCAUCUCGCUUAUCACACAAGUAAUUUCUGCAUUUCCAACCGCUCGAUUUCAGCAACCAAAAAAAAAAAAGCGGCCAUAAGGAAGAAGUUAGAUCUUGAUAUGCAAACAGAGGCAACUUGAUAAAAUUGGUACUAAUUAAUUGAUAAGUUAGUGACUCUCAUUACAUUGAAAUAAAAUUUUUGUUGUGUUCUAUAUGUCGUCCGGUAACGAAGCAAAUGGUUGGAAAUGAUGGGGAUGAAGUUGCAAAUCAAAAGAAAAAGAAAAGAAAAAAGAAGCGGCUGGGCGAGAACAAGAAGCGGGGAUUAACGAAGUGCUACCGUUUCCAAACGAGGAAAAUGAGUGGAGGGGGAUUAAACUAAGGAAAAUAAGUGGUUGGGGAGGGAGGAGAUAACGUAUAAAGAAAAGAUAAAAGGAAGAAAUUUGACAUGCUUUCCAUUUCUAAAUUCUUUAUUUUAUUAUUUAUUGUGAGCCCACACAAAACUAAAGGAAGACUAAGGAAAUGCAUGAAACGGCAAGCCCACGCUGCGUUUCUGUCAUCCUUUAAUCUUCUUUUAGUUUGUUUAUCAUUUUCCUUUUCUUUUAUAGUACUAUACAUUAAGCAUGCGUCUAAUAACUUAGAUUACACUAUAUUGCAUUGCAUUAAAAAGAUGAUUAAUGCAUUGAAAGACGCAAAAAAUAAAUUUGGAAAUAAAAUUUAUGUUGUAUUGCAUUAAAUUUUUUUUUUUUUAAAGGAGAGUAAAGUUUAUUAAUUGAAGAGAGUGAGAGAAGAAAAAGUUAGGGCUUGUUCCUUGAAAUUUGUAUCCAUAAAAGUAGAAGAGGGAAAAAGGCCCAUAAGAAGAGACACAAAAAAAAUGUAUGCACUACCCAUGGAAUCUUUUAUGAAUUGGGCUUUUUAAUUUGGGGUUUACUAAUUAACAAAACCAAAAACAAGAGUCUCAGGCUGGCAAAAAAUACACCUUAUAAUACCUUGAUUUCAUAUCCUAGAUGCUCUACACAUUUGUUAUCCACAAAACCCACCAUUAUGGAGCAUAUAUGGCAAAUAACCUAUUCAAUAAUCAAUUAAUCAUCCUAACAUUCAUAUAUACAUCUCUAAAAGGAACAUACAUUGGAAAGUUGCUAAUAAGGAGCUCACACUAAAUGGAAUUUUCUCUGCCCGUAAAAAAAGUGAGAUUAGACAUAAUCUGUUUUGGGGGAGACGAGCAAUAACGAGCUUGCUCUCGACAUGUCCAGCGCCCAGAAAAAGUAUAACUACUGGGCCUACCAGUUACUGCAAUAGAAGUGGCUUGGGAAAAAUUGUGAUGAACCAUCCCAUCUGGCAGUUGGUGCGUAUGGUAGGUGUAGACCGAUUCCGAUUGAGAUCGAAAAUUUGUUAGUGCGUUUGGUAGGGAUAGAGAUUGAAAUUUUGUUGGUUCAAUCAAUCAGUACAAUCCCAAUUUUCUUGGUCAAUCCUCUUUUAUUUCUUGACUGAGAAAUUUUGAUCCAGUGCUGGAAAAUGGAUAUCUUAAAAUAUGUGAUGUAAUGUAGAGGUGUUGACGCAUUGACUAAUUGACCUCUUGCAAGCUUGACUACAUUCAUUUGCUUUCUUGUGUAUUUCUAUAAAUUUGGCUAAACUUUCUUAUUGGUGUUCUUAUCUUUAAUUGUUUUCUAAUGUUUCUAUAUCAAGUCUCAAUGAUGUGGUAAAAUUUGGAAAAUAAUAUACUAAUUUUCUCAUACGAGACUCCAGAGUCUAAACCAAUUAUAGAUCAAUAUGCUGAGAAUUUAUAGUAAUUUUCUCAGAUGAACUUUGAGGCUUCGAGCCACAUUAUAAUUGAAUGAUAAUAAGAGUGAUUUUAAAUUUCUUUUUGUUUUAAAAAAAAUUCAUUAACUACGUACACAAAAGGAAAGAUAAUAGUGGAAAAUUAAUUGAUUAAUUUAUUACUUUGUUUUUUUUUCUAUUUUAUCAGUUAAUACUUGUUCCUUUUUUCAUAAGAAUUUACAGGAUACUAUUCAAUUAUAAUCCCACAUUAAAAUUUAAUUUUUUAAUAUUCUAAUUAUCAAUAAAAGAUCUUGAAAGUUAAAAAAUCUUGUACAAUGAUUACCUAUAGCUAAUGCUACUUUAAUACCAAAAUUUAGUCAUUAGAAUCAAUGUAAGACAAAGGACAUGAUACGUGUUAUGCAAAAUUUUCAUAUUUUAUGUAAUUAUUUAUAAUAGUGAUUGGGAUUCUUACAGCUGAGUCAAAUAUUUAUCUCAAUGAUGCACUGAUUUUUCAAGAGUUUGCACGGGAUGAUAUUGGGUGUAUACGUGACGCUUUGCUGGUAAUUGAAAAUAUAAAAUAGUUAUCUUGAAAGAACAGUUUUUUAAAUUCUACAAAUGAUACAUUGACAUUUUGGAAUUAAUACCGUGACGGUUUACAUUCUUGGUAGAUAUCCGCUGAAGCUAGAAGAAGCAUGCAAUUAAAGGCCUGAUUGGAUAGAAAAGUAAUAUUCAGUCCCCAUUAAUUAGUUAAGAUAUGUAAAAUCUGAAUGCCAACACAAACAGACCAAUUAAUGUUGCUUGCAAACUUUAGCGGGCCAGCUUUAGAGUUUUUGGCGUCUUAGGCGAAGUUUUAUUAUAGCCCUCUUUUUAUUAUGUAACUAGUAAAUAGAACCGCACUUCGUGUGGCUUUAAAAAAAAAAUUUAGUAUUAUUUUUUUUAUUACUUUAUACUUGAUGAAAUUGAUAAAAAAUAUGAAUUGAUUUUUUUUUAAAGAUGACGCAGCCUUAUAAAACUAAUGUUAUUUAUGAAAGUUAAUUAUUUUGUUGUUAACUUUAAAAAUAUAUAUUAAUGUGUAUAGUUAAGUGUACACAACUUUUUCAUCAAUAAAAAUUAUGUUCACACUAAUAAACUCUCCAUUCUUUUUUGUAUUAACAGACUCCCACAUCUUACAAAGUCUAACACUUAUCAACCAACAAUCUUUAUCAUUGUUUAACUCAUGAAGAAAAGAAUACUCCAUGAAGUACACAAUACAAAAAAUUUAAAUAAGUCAAAAAAAUAAAAAAGUAAGAACAUUUCUAAAGAGGAUGCUAGUUAAAUAAUAAAAAAAAAUCCAAACAUAACAAAUCUUAAAUACUUAAUAUUUAUAGAGUUUGAAGAAGGUAAAAGACACUAAAUAAAAGGUUGCAUAAUUAAAUAUGAGAUUAUGGCAUUAAAACUGCUGUACGGCCAAGGCGGAUGUACGGUACAGCAGGUGAUUCCAUGAGUAUAUCCUUAAAGGAGAUAUGCUCACAAAAAUCAGAGAUUUCUGCAGACUCUUCCAAGGCAGAUCUCUCCAAUCCUUUCUUCACUCACCAUUUGGAUAACCCUGGAUUGAUUCUCGUCUCCAAACCUCUAAAUGGAGAUAAUUACUUUGGUUGGAUAAGGGCUAUGGUUCAAGCUUUAAACUCCAAGAACAAGCUCGGAUUUGUCAAUGGUUCUAUCAAAGUUCCUUCAGAAGAAGUUGAUCCUGAAGGCUAUGCGACUUGGUCGAGAUGCAACGAUAUAGUUCAUUCCUGGAUCAUCAAUUCUUGCGAUCCAGAAAUAGCUGAUAGUGUGACUUUUUAUCUUGCUGCUCAUUAGGUUUGGGAACAUCUCUAUAAGCGUUUCUCUCAAGGCACAUCUUCGAGAUACAACGAGAUAUUGCUUUCCUUCGACAAGAGUAACUCUAUGUCUCUACUUAUUAUACUAAGUAAAAAAGUUUAUAGGAUGAAUUGGCAACACAUUCAGACAUAGCACAAGCCGAUCGACAGAAAUUGAUGCAGUUUCUAAUGGGUCUAAACAAAACUUAUAGUGCAAUUCGAGGUCAAAUCCUGCUCAUGAAUCCUUUGCCUUCUAUUCGCCAAGCCUACUCUUCAAUCUCCCAAGAGGAGAAACUACGCCUCCUCAGUUCAACGCAUACAAGCACCGAUUCAAGCAGCAGAGCUGCUGCCAUGGUUGUACGCAGCAAGCCGAUUCCUUCGGCAAUAGGAAAAACCGAACAAACUUGCUCUCAUGGGUUCCCAGAUUCUCGCGAUCGAACAUACUCUCAGGUGUAGGAAUUUGCAGGACCUCAAGAUGGAGAUCAGCGUUGAUCUGGCUCUAGGAGAGGUAGGGCUUUGUGUGACCACUGUGGAAAUUUCGGCCAUUGGAUCCAGAAAUGUUAUAAGUUGUAUGGAUACCCACCAGGCCAUCCUAAAGCUAAAAUGAACUCAGGCCAAAAUUCAAAUCGGCAUAAAGGUAUUUCUGUGGCUGAUCAAGUUGGAGAGGUGUCAAACACAAAUGAAGGCUCACUUACAAUAUCCGAUGCUCAACUCAAGCAACUUUUGUCACUCCUGAAUAAUCAAAAUAAAGGUUCUCACUCCAAAGCAAAUGCGGUAACAAACCCAGGUUUGUCUAAGAUUGCUUCCCGAAAUUUGAUUAUUGAUAGCGGGGCGACAUAUGACGCAGCCUUAUAAAACUAAUGUUAUUUAUGAAAGUUAAUUAUUUUUUUGUUAACUUUAAAAAUAUAUAUUAAUAUGUAUAGUUAAGUGUACACAACCUUUUCAUCAAUAAAAAUUAUGUUCACACUAAUCAACUCUUCAUUCUUCUUGGUAUUAACAGACUCCCACAUUUUACAAAGCAUAAUCCUUAUCAACCAACAAUCUUUAUCAUUGUUUAACUCAUGAAGAAAAGAAUACUCCAUGAAGUACACAAUACAAAAAAUUUAAAUAAGUCAAAAAAAUAAAAAAGUAAGAACAUUUCUAAAGAGGAUGCUAGUUAAAUAAUAAAAAAAAUCCAAACAUAACAAAUCUUAAAUGCUUAAUAUUUAUAUAGUUUGAAGAAGCCGAAAGACACUAAAUAAAAGCUUGCAUAAUUAAAUAUGAAAUUAUGACAUUAAAAUUAGGUCCUAGUGCUAUUGGUGAGGGAAGAUGAAAGAACCUUCAUUCCUAUAUUAAUUAGUUGAUGUAUUUUAAACCACUAAAGUUUAGUUGUUGGCUUAAUAAAAUAAAUGAAUGUUUNNNNNNNNNNNNNNNNNNNNNNNNNNNNNNNNNNNNNNNNNNNNNNNNNNNNNNNNNNNNNNNNNNNNNNNNNNNNNNNNNNNNNNNNNNNNNNNNNNNNNNNNNNNNNNNNNNNNNNNNNNNNNNNNNNNNNNNNNNNNNNNNNNNNNNNNNNNNNNNNNNNNNNNNNNNNNNNNNNNNNNNNNNNNNNNNNNNNNNNNNNNNNNNNNNNNNNNNNNNNNNNNNNNNNNNNNNNNNNNNNNNNNNNNNNNNNNNNNNNNNNNNNNNNNNNNNNNNNNNNNNNNNNNNNNNNNNNNNNNNNNNNNNNNNNNNNNNNNNNNNNNNNNNNNNNNNNNNNNNNNNNNNNNNNNNNNNNNNNNAAAAAUUUAAAUAAGUCAAAAAAUAAAAACACAAGAACAUUUCUAAAGAGGAUGUUGGUUAAAUUAAAAAAAAAUCCAAACAUAACAAAUCUUAAAUACUUAAUAUUUAUAGAGUUUGAAGAGGCAAAAAGACACUAAAUAAAAGGUUGCAUAAUUAAAUAUGAGAUUAUGGCAUUAAAAUUAGGUCCUAGUGGCAUUGGUGAGGGAAGAUGAAGGAACCUUCCUUCCUAUAUUAAUUAUUUGAUGUAUUUUAAACCACUAAAGUUUAGUUGUUGGCUUAAUAAAAUAAAUGAAUGUUUCAAAACUAUAAUUAUUUUAUUAUUAAUGGUUACACAUUGUUAAAUUUAAAUAAAAGAAAAAGAGACAUGUAAUCUUUUAUAAUCUACUAAUUAUUUUCUAUUUUUAGUAUUUUCUAACGUAAUUAUUUUUUAAUCUCAACCAAUAUAUUAGAUAAUAGAGAAUAUAAAAAGAUGAGAAAUAGUGAUGCCACAUCACCUCUUCUAGUCCCAACUUUAUAUAUAUAUAUAUUUUGUAAUGUAAUUAUUUUUUAAUUUCAGCUAAUAUAUUAGAUAAUAAAGAAUAUAAAAAGAUGAGAAAUAAUGAUGUCACAAAUUUUAAAUAUUUAAGGGAAAUUAUCAGUCAUAUACCCUUAAAUAACACCAGUAUCAAACGUGUUACAACACUUUUCAAGUGUAUCACUCGUAUACCCUAAGUUCACAAAACACUUCUGCCGUCCACCGAUCCGUUAACUGUCGUUUACGAGCGCUGACAUCACAAGAGUAAUUUAGUCUUUUUCUUAAAAACGACAUGUCAUCCCAUUUACUUAGUAAAAAACGACAUGUCAUAUGAUAUAUUUUGAUAAAAAUGACAUGUCAUCCCAUUUACUUUAUUUUGAGUUUAAAGGGUAAAAUAGUCAUUUUACUCAAAUUCUGUUAAGUUCUUAAUGUUAGUAAAUGGAAAGGUGGACGCUAGAACUCUUUUGUCAACUUAGGGUAUACGAGUGAUAUAAGUGAAAAGUAUUGUAAUAUGUUUGAUAAUUGUGACAUUUAAGGGUAUAUCGGUGAUAAUUUCCCAAUAUUUAAUGUUUAUGGAUUUGAAGAAGUUAAAAGGCACUAAACAAAAGAUUGAAUAAUUAAAUAUGAGAUUAUGACAUUAAAAUUAUGCUCUAAUGACAUUGUUGAGGGAAGAUGAAGGAACAUUCCUUCAUAUAUUAAUUAAUUGAUGUAUUUUAAGCCACUAAAAUUUAAUUAUUGGCAUAAUAAAAUAAAUGAAUGUUUCAAGACUUAUAAUUAAUUAUUAUUAAUGGGUACAUAUUGUUGAAUUUAAAUAGAAAGAGGAAAAGACAUGUAAUCAUUUAUAAUCUAAUACUUAUUUUUUAUUUUAAUAUUUUGUAAUGUAAUUAUUUUUUAAUUUCAACCAAUUUAUUAAGUAAUAGAGAAUAUGAGAUGAUGAGAAAUGGUGAUGUCACAUUACCUCUUAUAAUCCCAACUUUAUAUAUAUACCAGGAAAUAGAACCGCACUUCGUGCGGUUUUAAAAAAAGAAUUUAGUAUUUUCUUUUUUUAUUACUUUGCACUUGAUGAAACUAAUAAAAAAUAUGAAUUAUCUUUUUUAAAGAUGACGCAGCCUUAUAAAACUAAUGUUAUUUAUGAAAGUUAAUUAUUUUUUGUUAACAUUAAAAAUAUAUAUUAAUGUGUAUAGUUAAGUGUACACAACCUUUUCAUCAAUAAAAAUCAUGUUCACACUAAUCAACUCUCUAUUUUUCUUGGUAUUAACAGACUCCCACAUCUUACAAAGCCUAACCCUUAUCAUCCAACUAUCUUUAUCAUUAUUUAACUUAUGAAGAAAAGAGUACUCCAUGAAGCACACAAUACUAAAAAUUUAAAUAAGUCAAAAAAAUAAAAACACAAUAACAUUUCUAAAGAGGAUGUUGGCUAAAUAAUAAAAAAAAACCAAACAUAACAAAUCUUAAAUACUUAAUAUUUAUAGAGUUUGAAGAAGCCAAAAGACAUUAAAUAAAAAGUUGCAUAAUUAAAUAUGGGAUUGUGACAUUAAAAUUAGGUUCUAAUGGCAUUGGUGAGGGAAGAUGAAGGAACAUUCCUUCCUAUAUUAAUUAGUUGAUAUAUUUUAAACCACUAAAAAUUAGUUGUUGGCUUAAUAAAAUAAAUGAAUGUUUCAAGACUUAUAAUUAAUUAUUAUUAAUGGUUACAAUAUUGUUGAAUUUAAAUCGAAAGAGGAAGAGACAUGUAAUCUUUUGUAAUCUAUUAAUUAUUCUCUAUUUUUAAUAUUUUGUAAUGUAAUUAUUUUUUAAUUUCAACCAAUUUAUUAGAUAAUANNNNNNNNNNNNNNNNNNNNNNNNNNNNNNNNNNNNNNNNNNNNNNNNNNNNNNNNNNNNNNNNNNNNNNNNNNNNNNNNNNNNNNNNNNNNNNNNNNNNNNNNNNNNNNNNNNNNNNNNNNNNNNNNNNNNNNNNNNNNNNNNNNNNNNNNNNNNNNNNNNNNNNNNNNNNNNNNNNNNNNNNNNNNNNNNNNNNNNNNNNNNNNNNNNNNNNNNNNNNNNNNNNNNNNNNNNNNNNNNNNNNNNNNNNNNNNNNNNNNNNNNNNNNNNNNNNNNNNNNNNNNNNNNNNNNNNNNNNNNNNNNNNNNNNNNNNNNNNNNNNNNNNNNNNNNNNNNNNNNNNNNNNNNNNNNNNNNCCAAAAGGCACUAAACAAAAGAUUGAAUAAUUAAAUAUGAGAUUAUGACAUUAAAAUUAGGCUCUAAUGGCAUUGUUAAAAUAUUGAAUAAUUAAAUAUGAGAUUAUGAUAUUAAAAUUAGGCUCCAAUGGCAUUGUUGAGGGAAGACGAACCUUCCUUCUUAUAUUAAUUAAUUGAUGUAUUUUAAGCCACUAAAAUUUAAUUGUUUGCAUAAUAAAAUAAAUGAAUGUUUCAAAACUUAUAAUUGUAUAUUAUUAAUGAUUACAUAUUAUUGAAUUUAAAUAGAAAGAGAAAAAGACAUGUAAUCAUUUAUAAUCUAAUAAUUAUUUUCUAUUUUAAUAUUUUGUAAUGUAAUUAUUUUUUAAUUUCAACCAAUUUAUUAGAUAAUAUAAAAUAUGAAAUGAUGAGAAAUGGUGAUGUCACAUCACCUCUUGUAGUCUCAACUUUAUAUAGAUAUAUAGAUAGAUUCAUGUAUUUUAAGCCACUAAAGUUCAAUUGCUAGCAUAAUAAAAUAAAUGAAUGUUUCAAAAGACUUAUAAUUAAUUAUUAUUAAUGGUUACAGUUAAAUACAAUCAAAUUAAUUAUGAGAAGAUGAAAAGUCAAACCUAAAAAAAAAUCUCUAUUUAUUAGAUAAUAGAGAAUAUACAAAGAAGCAAAAUGGUGAUGCCACAUUACCUCCUCAAGUCCUAGCUUUAUAUAUAUAUACUAGGAAAUAGAACCGCACUUCGUGCGGCUUUAAAAAAAGAAUUUAGUAUUAUCUUUUUUUAUUACUUUGCACUUGAUGAAACUGAUAAAAAAUAUGAAUUUACUUUUUAAAAAUGACGCAGCCUUAUAAAACUAAUGUUAUUUAUGAAAGUUAAUUAUUUUUUUGUUAACAUUAAAAAUAUAUAUUAAUAUAUAUAGUUAAGUGUACACAACCUUUUCAUCAAUAAAAAUUAUGUUCACACUAAUCAACUCUCUAUUUUUCUUGGUAUUAACAGAUUCCCAUAUCUUACAAAGCCUAAUCCUUAUCAUCCAACUAUCUUUAUCAUUGUUUAACUCAUGAAGAAAAUAAUACUUAAUGAAGCACACAAUACAGAAAAUUUAAAUAAGUCAAAAAAAAAACACAAGAACAUUUCUAAAGAGGAUGUUGGUUAAAUAAUAAAAAAAAUCCAAACAUAACAAAUCUUAAAUACUUAAUAUUUAUAUAGUUUGAAGAAGCCAAAAGACACUAAAUAAAAGGUUGCAUAAUAAAAUAUGAAAUUAUGACAUUAAAAUUAGGUCCUAGUGGUAUUGGUGAGGGAAGAUGAAAGAACCUUCUUUCCUAUAUUAAUUAGUUGAUGUAUUUUAAACCACUAAAGUUUAGUUGUUGGCUUAAUAAAAUAAAUGAAUAUUUCAAAACUUAUAAUUAAUUUAUUAUUAAUAGUUACAUAUUGUUGAAUUUAAAUAGAAAGAGGAAGAGACAUGUAAUCUUUUGUAAUCUAUUAAUUAUUUUCUAUUUUUAAUAUUUUGUAAUGUAAUUGUUUUUUAAUCUCAAUCAAUAUAUUAGAUAAUAGAGAAUAUAAAAAGAUGAGAAAUAAUAAUGCCACAAAUCUUAACUACUUAAUAUUUAUAGAGUUUGAAGAAGCCAAAAGGCACUAAACAAAAGGUUGCAUAAUUAAAUAUGAGAUUAUAGCAUUAAAAUUAGACCCUAAUGAUAUUGUUGAGGGAAGAUGAAUGAACAUUCAUUCCUAUAUUAAUUAAUUGAUAUAUUUAAGCCACUAAAGUUUAAUUGUUGGCAUAAUAAAAUAAAUAAAUGUUACAAGAUUUAUAAUUAAUUAUUAUUAAUGGUUACAUAUUAUUGAAUUUAAAUAGAAAGAGGAAGAGACAUCUAAUCUUUUAUAAUCUAAUAAUUAUUGUUUAUUUUUAAUAUUUUGUAAUGUAAUUAUUUUUUUAAUAUCAACCAAUUUAUUAGAUAAUAGAAAAUACAAGAAGAUGAGAAAUAGUGAUACCACAUCACCUCCUCUAGUCCCAACUUUAUAUAUAUAUAUAUAUAUAUAUAUAUACACAUAGAUAUAGAUAUAGAUUUUUAAUAUUUUGUAAUGUAAUUAUUUUUUAAUCUCAACCAAUAUAUUAGAUUUUCUAAAGAAGAUGUUGGUUAAAUAAUUAAAAAAAAUCCAAACAUAACAAAUCUGAACUGCUUAAUAUUUAUAAAGUUUGAAGAAGCCAAAAGACACUAAACAAAAGGUUGCAUAAUUAAAUAUGAAAUUAUGACAUUAAAAUUAGGUCCUAGUGGUAUUGGUGAGGGAAGAUGAAAGAACCUUCUUUCCUAUAUUAAUUAGUUGAUGUAUUUUAAACCACUAAAGUUUAGUUAUUGGCUUAAUAAAAUAAAUGAAUGUUUCAAAACUGAAGACUUAUAAUUAUUUAUUAUUAAUCGUUACAUAUUAUUGAAUUUAAAUGGAAAGAGGAAGAGACAUAUAAUCUUUUAUAAUCUAAUAAUUAUUUUUUAUUUUUAAUAUAUUGUAAUGUAAUUAUUUUUUUAAUAUCAACCAAUUUAUUAGAUAAUAGAGAAUACAAGAAGAUGAGAAAUAGUGAUGCCACAUCACCUCCUCUAGUCCAUUAGGCUUUAAUGGCAUUGUUGAGGGAAGAUGAAGAAACCUUCCUUCAUAUAUUAAUAUUAAUUAAUUGAUGUAUUUUAAGCCACUAAAAUUUAAUUGUUGGCAUAAUAAAAUAAAUGAAUGUUUCAAGACUUAUAAUUAAUUAUUAUUAAUGGUUACAUAUUGUUGAAUUUAAAUAGAAAGAGGAAAAGACAUGUAAUCAUUUAUAAUAUAAUAAUUAUCUUCUAUUUUAAUAUUUUGUAAUGUAAUUAUUUUUUAAUUUCAACCAAUUUAUUAGAUAAUAGAGAAUAUGAGAUUAUGAGAAAUGGUGAUGCCACAUCACUUCCUCAAGUCCCAACUUUAUAUAUAUAUAUAGAUAUAUAGAUAGAUUUUAAUAUUUAAAUAAACAUAAAAGGAUUCAAAAUUAAUUCCAUCUUUAAUUCUUGAAUUUGAACAAAUUAAAAGGGUCAUUCACAUUUGAUUUGAUGGUCAGAGGCAAAUUGAAAGUUAAGCAGUGGUAAUAAUAAUUCAAAAGAUUUCCAGAGAAAAAAUAGAAAUGUCUUCUAUACGUUCAAAACAGUAAAAAAAAUCAAGAAGAUUUCUUUUUUACUUUCAUUAGAAUCAUUACAAAUAAAUAUGACUAAUAUUAAUUUCAAAUAUAAUAUUUAGAAUAGUAACACAUAAAAAGUUGAGAUGAUCAGUUGAUGAUCAAAUAAUAGAUGUUGACUUUUUGUUUUAAGAAAUUAAUUUUUUCUUUUUAAAUGAACUAGUGAAUUUAAUAAUUUUCUUUAUAGAGAAAGAAGUAAGAAUUUUUUUUUAUCUAUUGAUUUUUGAGAUUGUAAGAUUUUUAAUAAAAAUUAAAAGGAAUACUAAAAGUCAAUGAUUCUUACGUUAAAUAAUAAAUUUUUUUUAGGAAAUUGAAAAGGUGAAGAACCUAAUUUUUUUCCUUGGAAAGAAUAAUAAUGAAUUAAUUAAUAGUUAGACAACAUUAUUAAUCAUAUUUCUUAACACUAAGUUUACCAAAUAUUGAUUUUCUAUUAAAUAAUGAUUCUUAAUUGUAGGAUUAUUAUUAAUUAUAAAGAUGUUUAAUAGGCUUUCUUACAAUACAUAAUUAAAAAAAAAUCUUUAUUAAUUAGAAAAUUAUCAACCAACUACUAAAAACAGAGGCAUUCACAAAAUAUGGGGCUUUAAGCGACCACCUUAUUAGCUUAUAAUUAAACUACAGUGUGUUGCUUUGAUUUCUCGAUUUACUAACACAGAUAUAAUCUUUCGAGAGACAAAUGCCCAGUAAACAAUUUUGCUAGUCAGGAUCCAGAAAACAGAGGUCGAUUUCACCCAUGAAUGUUUGUGGAAAAAAUUUUGCGAGUUGACUCUAUUGAAAAGGCAAAUAGCAUCAGCUAGCCCCCAACCACGAAGCAUAGAGCAAUAUUUCAUUCAAAUUUGUGAUUUUUUCUUUUCUAACAAAAGAAUAAUGUAUGAAAGAAAGAGUACGUUUUCCAUCUUCAUAUAAACCAAAUGAUGAAAAACUUAAUAGAAUCUUUAGCAGGCAAAACAUCGUCCCGAAUACAGUUCCUUGACUUUUCCAAAAGAAUAAACUACAGUGACAAGUUCUGUCCCGAAAUUGAGCACUGCCUAAGUUUAAGAAUUGAUAGAAGAGUAAGGAUCUAACAAUAAAAUCAGCUACUUGUCCAUGAGUAAGUUCCAAAUCAGCUACUUAAACUAACUGGUCUACCUGAACACCUGAACCAGCUUCAAAUAAAAAUCUAACAAAUUAAGAUAUAUUCUUGUGAACAUUAAGCCCAAAAUUUUAGCUUAAUAAAUAUCAAAGGAUCAUGUGCUGUCAUCAUACAAAUUGUACAUUAACUAAGCUCUCCAGAUCAGUAUAGCAAAAAUUUUAAACUUUCAUUAAUUUGAAACAAGAUUAGGAGAAAAUUUAAAAAUUAUGCAAUAAUAAAACCAAAAACGAAAGAUUAAAAGAUUUGAAGUUUUACCCUCGUUCAUCUGUAUGAGAAAGGAGCAGAGACAAAUUGUCAAUGUAAUUAUUAUUGGCGAUGUCAUCGACUGAUAUGGCCUAUCGGAUAGGAUUCUUAUAAGUAAAUUGAUUGAUUUGUACCUUUGAUAUUAACCGAAUUUUUUUUUACCCCUUAAAUGUCAAAUAUUUUGAAUCGUAUAGAGAAGCUUGCCGAUCCAACCAUGAAUCUGAACUCGAGGAGAUAUCCCAGUUUUAGGAUUCAACACUUCACAUAGUGGCUUGGAAGGAUAAACUCAAUGCCCCAAUUCCACUUCCUAAUUUGACCAACUUAACUGUCUUGUAUUUUUAUAAAAAUUCACUUUUUGAUUUAAUUUCGAAUGAAAUAGAAUUUUUUUCAAAUAAUGAUAAAUAUUUUAAAUUUCAUCUUAAAUAAUGUGUUAUUCAUUAAAUAGUUAAUAAUUCUUUACAAGAAUCAAAUAAAUUAAUUGUAUUUCCUAUCAAUCAAUUGACAAAUACUACAUAAUUUAAGAUAAUUUUUAAAAUAAAAAAGUUAAAAUAUAUAGCACUACUCGGAUUUGUUUUUUUUACAUCACUCGCUUGUUACAAAAGAAUUAAUUUAACAUACGUAACCAGUAUUUAAUUUCUUCGUCAAUCCUCGUGCAUUGAUUUUUUAAAUCAACUGAGGUUGACAUUUGGAAUUUGAUACCGUGACGGUUCAUAAUCCUGGUAGGUAUCCGUCAAAGCUAAAAGAAGCAUAUAAUUAAAGGUCUGAUUAGACAGAAAGGCGUUAUUUAGUCCCAUUUAAUUAGUUAAGAUAUAUAAAAUCUAAAUGGCAACACAUAUGGUCCAAUUAAUGUAGCUGGCCAGCCUACUGUAGAAGUCUUAACACAUGAUGCCAUGCAUUGACUUUUCCACCUCCCGUGGAUAACUUGUUUGCCGUGCAUUACAGAAGAAGCAUAUACAUUCAAUUAAUGUGGCCUCAAUUGACAGAUCACCCACUAGUAGCUAGGGUCUUCCUACUAUGCACCCGGUGUAUGCAUGGUUCACUGUGACAUGACAUAAAGCCAAUUAAAUUUUGACAUGUGUGCAAUAAGCAUUGCAAAGUAACCGGUUAUUCCGGUUGAAUUCACAACUGCCUUUAUUCGUGUGUUUGUGUUCUAAGUUGCGUACACCAUGUCACAAGUUCUCUAGUUACUCUCUUAUUAUCACAACUGUUGCUCAAUAAUGUCACAGGUAAUCUACUACAUGUCACAAGUACUGUAAUUGUGUUUUUUCGUCUUAAGUGGCGAACUGAGGUACAAAUUUUGUAAGAAACGUUUCCAAUAAAAUAAAAUAUUUAAUUAAUUUAAUUAGAAUAAAAUUAUUUUGUGAAAGAAAUUAAAAUUUAAUUUUGAAUGAUUUUGACCAAAAUUUAAGUUAUUCUAUGUGUUUAAGAAAAUGAAUUGUAAUUGUUUUAAUUAAUUGGAAAUAAUUAAUAAAUUAUGCAACCAAAAAAAAAAAAAGCAAAACGGUUAGUUUUGGAUAGAUUCGAAUAUCUCCCUCCACCAAACUGCAAAAAAUUAUCAAAAAUCACUAAAUCAUUUAUUUUUUAACUUAAAAAAUCUGAAACUCGUAUUUUUAUAUUUGUGCCCUUAUAAAUUAUAAAUGUUAAAACAUAAAUAAGAUUAUAUAUUAUCAUAACCUAAAUUAUGUUUAAUAGAAUACAACCCUUUAAUAUUAUAAAUUAGUACAUGUUAAUUAAUUUUAUUGUAGUUUAUAAUUUUUUUUAUAAAACAAUAUUCAUAAAAAUUAUGAAAAUAAAUAAUUUUAAUUUAAAAAAUAAAAAGAUAAAAAUAAUAAUUGUCUAGAACUAUAUUAUCACAAGUUAUAGAAAUAGGUAAUAAUGUUAAUUAUUAAAUUUUAUUUAGGUAAAGAUAAAAAUUAAUUAAUUAGAUAUGGAUUUUUGGAGAAUAUCUUUUAAUGAUAUUAGCUAAAAAAUUAGCUUAAUAACUUAAUAAUGACUGAAAAUUUUUAUUAAGUUGAAAAAACAAAUGACUUAAUAAAUUAACUUAUUGAAAUUAGUCAAUUAAGUCAUUAAAUAAAAAAAUGACUCUUUACACUAAUAUAAUCCUAAUUCCAAUUAAAUUUUUUCCAAGUGAUAUUUUUUUUUCAAUGGAUGGCAGCUGAAUUGAAAUCAACGGAGAUAAACAAUUUGAAUCAUGUGGAGUAUAAGAUUGUAGAGCGAGAUUUGGAUGCAAGAGACUUCGAAAUUAUAUCAUGAAACCUGUUGAAGAAAAUCAAAGUAGUGUUAAUCAAGAUGCCUUAGAGGUGGUAUAAAAACUUUAUGCACUGUCUAAACAGUAGAGAUCCAAUAAUUUAUUAAUAUGUUUUAAAUUAUAAGACCUCUUUGUAGACUCAAAGUCAUUAGGGGAAGGUAAUGAACAAUAAAAUGGAGGACCCAAAACUUUAGAUUAGUGGAAACUUGGUUCAAUCUAGUAAUAUAAGAUAAUCUUGCAAAAAUGAUCAAAUAUAUUCUAAAAAUAAUAAAUGUGGUUGUUCAGAUUCAAACCAAGCUCUCCAUAAUUACUAUAUUAUAGCCAUCAUGUUUUAUUUCACAUAUUGUUACAUUUAUUUUAAUGUCUUUUUUAGAAGGACCUUGAGGUAUGCUUAAAAGGAAAAUUAAUGGCCUCGAAUGGGAAUUUGACCGUAUCUUUUCAGAUUUUAGAUAAAUUUAAAAAAAAAAACUGCCUAAAUAUUGUAUAUCACAUAUUCCAAAAUACAAUGUCCCAAAUCUUUCAUAAUUAAUAUUGAGAUGAAAACUAUGAAUAAGUUGGUGGCCGCGACAUGAGAGUCGGGAUGAUGACGAUGAUGGUAACAACAAUCUAUCAUCAUUAGAAUGAAAAUUUUGUAUAAAAAAACUAGGUAGGUAGUUUUGGCCGCAAAAGGAUGAUCAAUGGAACUUUUCAUAAGGGUUAAGACGGUAGAUUACCUGCCUAAAUGUUAAUUUUAGUGUUUCUAUAUGAAUAUUAUUAAAGAAAUAAUAUAAAUACAUAACAAAUAUGAUUUCAAAUGCAAUAAUAAUAUUAAAGUUAAAAUAAUAUUAACAUGGCUUAUGUACGUCAAUUUAAUUAGUCAAUGGUUAUAAUUAUGAUUGAAUUGAAAUUGAAAUUGUAAUGGCAAUCGUAAUUGUAGUUGGAAUUGAAAUUGAACUUAUAAUUGUAAUUGGAACUUGUAAUUAAAAUUGAAAUCAUAAUAAUAAUUAAAAUAAUUCUAUUUUGAAUUAAGGAUGGUAAAUAUUUAGAAUUAUCCAUAAUAUCCACAUUCAUCCAUAUCUAAUUUUAGCUGCUUAAUAUGGAUAUGGAUAACUAUGAAUAUUUGUAGAUAUUUAUUUAUUUUUCAAAUUCACAAAUCAUACAAGAUAUUAAUAAGUUAGUAACAUGAUUAUUAAUUUGUUUUAUAUUAUAAAAUUUUAAUUAUUUGUAUUUCCUAAACUCAUUAAUAUUAAAAGCUAAUUAAAUUUAUAUUUUAUAAACAAUAAUAAAUUAACAUCACCGGUGUUACUAUUCUACCACGAUUUGCUACAGUGGUCCCGUCAGAAACAGAGACAAAUGUAGUAACUGGUAAAAUAAUCUGAGUAUCUGACAACCCUUAUUAGAUAGGGCCCACGCUUACCUUCUCUCCCGUUGCCCGCUUCUUCUUUUUUGAUUAUCCAACCAUUGAUUUACUUUGAAUUAGCAUCGAACGGUGUGAAAUUUUUUUAUAAUUUUUUAUUCAUCCUGAUCUAUCGAUGCACCUGAACCAUUGUAGUCGUGGCCUGUGAUUUGUAAGUGAUUACGGUGUCCAAAAAAAUUAUUUAAAUUUACUAAUAAGAUAUAAAUUGAGAUUAAACAAAUCUUUAAUCCUCAAUUUUAUUAAAAUUAGAGGCCAUUUGGGCUUGCAGCCGAUAAUAGUUCGAGCCCAUUAAGGGGGCGUUUGGCACCCAAUAUUAUAUAGGAUUAUAACCAUGUAUUGUAUUAAACUAAUACGAUCUUGUGUUUGGUAAAAAAAUGACUUUGUAUUAAACCGCAUAAUAAUAUUGUUGCAAUACACCGAAUGCCGCAAAAAAUAAACCCCUGUGGGAGUCAUGAUUAGGCGUGAUUGCAUUGGAAAAGUGGGAGAAAUAUUUUCUUUUUCAAAACACGAUCCUAAGCCACAAAACAAAAUUUUUAUUCUCGAAACCCGAUUUUUCUUCUUCACCGAAAACAACACAGCCACCACUAGUCAACGCCGUUAAGUGUUCCGACGCAACACCACAACUAGGGGUGGCAAAAAAGCCCGGGCCGGCCCAUGCCCGCGGGCUUAGGCCCGACCCUCACCCAUGAGGCCUAGACAAGGGCCCAAGAAAAAAAGCCCGGACAAAGUCCAAGCCCACUGCUUUUUAAAAAAAUAAUUUUAUAAAUUAGAAUAAUAUAAUUAAAAUUGAAAAUUGAAAAGUAAUUUAAAAAUAAAAAAGAAAACUUAAAUUCUUAACUUAUAAAUCAAUUAUGAUUCAAAAAAACUAAAAUUAUGAUACUAAAUUCUUUUUUUUGUGUCAAUUAAUUAAGAGAGCAUUUGAAUUAGAAAAUCAAGUAUUAACGAAAAUUAAAGUUAUGAGUUUUUAUUUGCUUUAUUUAUUAUUUUAAUUUAAAAUAUUCAUUUUCUUUAAUUUAUUUAUGAUUGUAAUAACUUGUUGCUCAUUAAUUUAUUUCAAAUUUACAAUAAUUUAAAAUUUUUAAAAUAAAUAAAUAAAGCCCAAGCCCGACCUAGGCCCGUACACUUAACUGACAGAGGGCCUGGACAUGGGCUUGAAAAAGCCCGGCCUAGGCCCAUUGUUUGCCAUCCCUAACCACAGUUGUUGCUUCAUCGCCCCUGCAUCACGCCUUCACGGUUAUUGCUCCAAACUGCGCAAAAUCCCAAGAGCUACUCCAACACCACUAUGCCUUCUCUUCACCACAAAAGUCAUCAAGCAACAAGUUAGUAUGGUUUGAUUUUUAAAUUGAUUUAUGUUAGGGUUUGAUUUGACUUUUUAAAUUGGUUUUGGUUAUGGUUUGAUUUGAAUUGUUGAAUUGGGUUAAAUCUUAAUUAUUAAGUCCAAUUUAUGCUGGAAAUCUUGAUGCUUCUCUGUCGCUCAUGGAAUUCCAAUUAUUGAUAUUGGUCUCUUGACAUCCCCAUCAGCCAGCACACAAGAACUUGAGAAACUUCACUCAGCUCUCAACUUUUGGGGCUGUUUCUAGGUCAAUUUAAUUUUUCCACGUAUUUCUUUAAUAAUUUUGCAAUCGACUUGAUUUUGGAUUUUUCAAACAUGUUGAGAUCUUGCAAAACUUAUGAUGCUCAUAUAAUUGAUAGAAAGGUAAGAUCGAAAUUUCUAGUGAAUUUUGUUACUCUCAAUUGGUUACCAUUUUUUCCCUAAUAAACAAUUUUUGCAUAACAAGGUUCAAGAACUGAUAGGCAGAAAGCAAUGGUAUGCAUGGGUAGUUAUAUCCUUCUUCAAUGGCCGUAUACAGAUGCUUAACUUUCUUUUUAUUAUAGAGGUAAUUAACUAUGUUAUAUUAGCGAAAUUAAUAAUUUUAAAAUGCACUAAAAUCCAUAAGCAAAAGGUGACUGUUGAAUGAAGUUUUCAAUUAAAUUUUUUCAAAUAACCUUAUUUGUUUACAAACAUUUUAGUGGCUUUGAAUGUAAAACAAUUUGACAAGGAGGAAUAUCAAAUAACUUCAAACAUGGACUGGUUUAACAUGGAAAAAAAACUUUGAUGUUUUUCGUCCAACCUUUUCAUUUUCGUUUUUAUUUUAUUAUUUCAUAUGCUGAGUUUAUAGUUACAUGCUUGAGGAUUGAGUUUAGGUCGGUGUUGAAAUGAUGUUGACUUUCUAAAAUUUUAAUUAUUUAGUUUUUUUUGGAUAAAUAGAUGUUGAUUAGAAGGCAAAUUGGUAAUUGGACCAGUGAGAUUGAUAUUUGAAAAGAUUGAUUUAUAAUUGAGCAAUUUGAAGUUUUUUAGUUGGGUUGUUAUAAUCAUCUUCUCCCUCAUAAUUGGACUGGUGAGACUGGCAGCUAACUUGCUUGAAUUGAUUAUAAUCAUUGGCAUAUGCAUUUUAUGAUGAUAGAAAAUUGAAUUGCAUUGAAUAUAUGCAUGUAUCUAGGUUGUUAACAGAAAUUAUUAAGAAAAGGAUUCAUGUUUGCAUGUAGCAUGUUCAACCUUUGAGGUGUAUUGAGGAGUUCAAGCUGAGGAAGAAGAAGAACGACAAACUCAAGGCUGAAGCUAAGGCAAGAGGUGAAAGAAGCCACGAGGUUGCAUGGUGGAAGGUGCAGAAUUGGAAACUAUCACUCCUAUUACUUAUGAUGUCAUCAACCAUUUAAGAGUGGUUACUAGGUCAUUUUUUAAGUUUUAUCGUUGUUUUCUUAAUUUUUAUGAACUUUUGUAGACAUGGUCAACUUAUUUGGAUGUAUCUUCAUCUUCAAUAGUUUUGUUUUUGGAGAGGAAUUAUUAUAGCAGAAAUGUUCAUUUUUUAUUUGCAUUUCAUAUAAAAACAAGAGAUAUUUUUCAAUGCAAAGUUAUAUGCUUGUAAGGAUGUAUUAUGGAGAUCGGUUCAAAAUGCGUGUUCAGGAAUCAUGAAACAAGACGAUUUCUAGAAGCACAGGCUGGCUUUGCUGGGGGCAACAAACAAGUAUGACAUUGCAGACUUGGAAGAUGCUUGAGAGGAUAGCACUCUGAAACAUAUCAAUUCAGGGAAUAUCCUUGAGAGGUUGCAAGAGGCUUGGGUCUAUCAGUUGAACAAGUUAAAGAAAUGAUGCUUGAUGAAUUUGUUUGAUAUUUGCAAGGUAUAUGAUAUUAGAGAUGAAAUCAAUAACUUUUUCAGGCAAGCAGACCAAGAACUGAUGGUGAAUAUGUUUUGCGAAGUUCUGACGGUUUGGAAAUCGGUAUAAUUUUCUUAUGGAGGUCCUCUAAUUCAUAUUUGCUUGCUGUUGAAAUGGUUGUGUAUAGUAGUUAGAUUUUUUGUCAUAUACAAAUUCAAUGAUAUGAACUUUAUCUACAUGUAAUGAAUCUGUAACUAAUAAGAUGGUGUGAUUAUCAUUAUUUAUCGUUGAAUGAUCUGAUUCGAUCAUUAUUUCACAGGCUAUCUAUUUGGAAAAUGCUGAAAAAAUGAAUGUUGUGUUGCCGAAAUAUUUAGGGCCAUAAGCUUUAAUUUUUAUGAGGAAUUAUGAUAUUUUUUUAACAUUCAUACAAAAAAUAAUGUUAAAUUUCAAAAAUUUAAAACUUCAUAUAGUAUUCUUUUAGGUACUAAUAAAUAUUAUUUUUUAAAUAUAUACAUGUAAUGAAUCUAUAACUAAUAAGAUGGUGUGAUUAUCAUUAUUUAUCAUUGAAUGAUCUGAUUCGAUCAUUAUUUCACAUGUUAUACAUUUGGAAAAUGCUGAAAAAAUGAAUGUUUUGUUGUCCAAAAAUUUAGAGCCAUAAACUUUAAUUUUUAUGAGGAAUUAUGAUUUUUUUAACAUUCAUACAGAAAAUAAUGUUAAAUUUCUAAAAUUUAAGAUUUCAUAUAGUAUUUUUUUAGGUACUAAUAAAUAUUAUUUUUAAAUAUAUAAUUUAAGUUAAUUAUUAAAGAAAUUAAUACAGUACAGUGUAACACCAAACAUAAUAUAACUAAAAAUCAAUACAGUACAAUGUAGCACCAAACAUUGUACAACAUUAUUAUAAUACAUUAUUAAUGCAAUACAACAUAAUACAAUACACCUGCAUUAAAAUAAUGUAAUACAGUAUAAUACAAUACAGUGUACCAAACGCAACAUAAGUUUAUUAGAUAUUUAGCAGAUUUUUUUAACUACAUUAUAAGUGUCCCUAUAUUAGUGUCCAUGGCUAAAAAUUUAGUUGAUUUCAAAUACAUAAUUGUAGAUUGUACCAAUUUUUUUAAAAAAAUUACAAAUGUGAAAACUAAAACAUGCAAAAUGUGUUAUUGAGUUGUGUUCAUGUCGUAUCAGUUUCAUAUCGUGUCAAAUUUAGGUCGACCGAAAUAAGACUUAUUUAAUAAUUAUGGUAAAAUAUUAAGACCUUAACCUGAUAUGAAAAAUAAACGGAUUAUUUGAUAACUCACUUAAUACACACACACACACACACAUAAUUUAUCGAUAUUAUAAAAUAUAAAUGUCUACCAAUAUUUUACACGUUUAUAUUAUUGAAGUUCUAAAUUUAAAUAAAAUUUUACAAAUAAAAUAUUAUGUAUAUGUUUAUUCUAAAGAGAGAGGGAGAGAGAGAGAGAAUCAUAUCCAAUAUUUGAGUUUUGAUGACAAGAACUUAUAAAUUAAUUUCGAAUAGAAAAUAUAAUCGUGUUAUUGAUCAAAUAAAUAAAUUAAGAACUUCUACUUUAACUUUAACCCAAUACGAAAAAAAAUGUGUCAACUUGGACCCCACCCAUUUAAUAAUCUUAUUAAAUUUGACAACCGUACUCAUUUAUUCGUGUCGUGUUCUUGCCAAAUAAUUGGGUCAUGUCAAAUUUUAUCAACUUUAGUAAAAAUAUGUAACUAUCAAACAAAAAUGAUAACGAUGAAUUGACGAUGUGAGUAAUACUUUCGCACACGAUGAUUAGGUAACGAUGAUUUGAGAAUUAUGGUGAAAGCGGGUAAAUGCCAUGAAGGUUAAAAUAUAAAUUCUCUACUAUAAUGUAACAACAACACAACAUAUGUUAUUUUUAUGCGUUGUGUUCUUGCGUUAUAUGUUUCUCACAUUGUCCGAGACUAAUAAUUAUUACUGGUGCAUGAUUCAUUCUUGUAAAAUUUUUAACUAACUAAAUGAAAUAAGUUGGUUAACGUUAUAGCCAUUCAUUUAUUAUUUUCUCCCUAAUUUAUAAGAUUUUAUCACAAAUAAAUUCUGUUUUAAUGAUUGGGCCGGGCUAAAACGAUUAACGACUAGCCCACUUCAAUUCCGUUUAUCCAGCCAUCCAGGUAAAUGACACGUCGACGUAUGAAUGCACGUGUACAGCUGUGACCCACCAGUUUCAUUUUCUUUCUUUGUUCGUUUCAUUUUGUGAAAUAAAGCACAACGCGCUCACUCGCUCUCUUGUCCACGCGCGCUCUCAUUUCGACUUCGUCGGCUCCGCUACACAAGACUGAAGAAUCACACAAACGAAACUCUCUGAUCUCACUCUAGGGUUAGGGAUAUCCCUAAUCCGGACACCGUUAUCCCGAUUCGGUUUAGGAUUCGAGAAUCAAAGAUGGGCGCGAAUUCGUUAUCCACUGACACGACCACCGACCUCGACGAGCAGAUCUCGCAGCUCAUGCAGUGCAAGCCUCUCUCCGAACCACAGGUUCCUUCCAAUUAACGCUCGCAAUUUCAAUUAAUCUGAUCAGCCAAUAUUUGAUUGAUUAUCAGAAACUUGAAAAAUCUUUGUUGAGUAUCAGGAGUUAGAAAAUGAAAUUAUCCAUUUCUUGUACAAAAAUGGAAGUAUUAAGUAUAAAAAAAUACGAAUAAAGGUCCUUGCAAUUAGGUAUUAUUGGAUUUAGGGUUUAUAGCGGAUGGAUACUUCAGAUCUCAAUCAUUGAUCUGUUUUAGGUAUUUGUAUUGGCAAAAGAGAAGCUUUAUGAAGUUGUAUUGGCAAAAGAACAAGAUUUGUAUGAGUUGCUAUUUUUUGUCGUGAUAUAACAAUGAUGGCUUGAGGAUAAUUCGCAAAGAAGGAAACAGUGAAUCACAUCUUGUAAUUGCAGUGUUUUUGCUUAAUUCUGGAAGCUCGAAAACUAAAGUGUUUGUGAAAUAGCAACAUUUAAUUGGCAACUAAUAUUUACCAACAAUGUAUCCACUAUCCUUGCAAUGCUAUAAAGGGACCUAUCUUGUGUUAUGUUGUCAAAGUGUGUUGUCAGUCUCGCAAUUUAUAAUGCAACUGAGGUGGAUUAGUAAUCAUAUUUGAUUUGAUUUACUGUUCUGUAGGUUAAAGCAUUAUGCGAGAAGGCUAAGGAGAUAUUGAUGGAAGAAAGCAAUGUACAGGUUGAACCCUUUUAUUACUUUUGAACAUAACAUCUUUUUUUUUUUUUUUUUCACGUCUUUGGUUUCUAAGAAGCUUACCUGUGGUGGUAUUAUUCAUAAUCUUGGGAAAGAUAGGCAUCUUCUUUGGAACUAGAUACUCUACUGUUGGUUGCCUUCAGUUGGAAAUUUAUUAUCUUGGUUCUGAAAUCCCGGUCUCAGUGUAAUUGUUGUCCUCCUUUUCUUUUCUCGUAUUUCACCACUCUGUAGAUGUUAUACUCUUAUGUUGAAAUGCUGAAGCAUUGAUAUUUUCUCCCUUCUUUUGUAUCUCAGCCUGUGAAAAGUCCAGUGACAAUUUGUGGCGAUAUUCAUGGGCAGUUUCAUGAUCUUGCAGAACUUUUUCAAAUUGGCGGGAAGGUAUCAGUUUUGACUAUGACUAUUUUUGUAUUUAGUUUUCUGUUUUAGGGUUUCUGUGUGUAUUUUAUCAUCUUUUAUUUUGUUGGAAAGUGUCCUCAAGAGGUGAGUCAAAAUGGUACCAUUUUGGUUUGAUUUAUGUUAAUUGACUUUCUGAAAAUCCAUCAUGAAUAAUGCUUUUAAUGGAACUCUCACUACUUAAUAGCUGCUAUACAUCCUGAUUUAAAGACUGCUUUUUGGUUUUCUCCUUCAUGCUUUACUUGUCUGCUUUAGGAUAGGAUACUGUGUUGAUUUUUUCUUGAACUUCCUUCAUAUUGAUUUAAAUCUGAUCUUUAUUUUAAAUUGGCAGUGUCCAGAUACCAAUUACUUGUUUAUGGGAGAUUAUGUGGACCGUGGGUAUUAUUCUGUUGAAACAGUUACGGUACGUUACAUUUAAUGUCAGAGUAUCUUUUCCAUGUUAUUAUAAAUAUUAGUACUAUAUAACAUCUACAAGUGUCAAAAUUAGUACCACCAGCUGAUAAAAUUGGUUUAAUUAGCCUUUUAUCCGUUUGGAGUGGUAGUCUUCUACAAUCAAAAAACGCUGUGAUUGAUUUAUCAAACCUUAGUUCUUAUCCUUCCUCUCCUCACUUCCUCUUAGUCUUCGUGCUGUCUGCCUUGGGAUGAUGUAUUACUUGGCAUAAAAUGUUGCACUCAGGAAUGCUGACACCUUUAUAUUUUCAGUAUAGCAGCUUCAUUGGAUGUCAAUAUGGAGUGAUGUUUAUGAAUCUUAUUCGUGGCUUUUUAUAGAUACUGAAAUUCCUCAGUACUAUUUUGAAAAAUAUGUUUUCCACAGCUCUUAUCUGUGGACUUUGGUUUUGGAGAGAGAAUUUUGGAUUUAUUUGAUUGCUUUACUGGUAAUUUCCUUAGUGUUGCACCUGAAGUUACUUAUUGAUUCUGAGUUGGGUGUUCAUACAGCUCUUAGUGGCCUUGAAGGUGCGGUAUCCUCAGCGGAUCACUAUUCUUAGAGGAAACCAUGAGAGUCGUCAGGUUCACUCUCGCAACCUUUUCUUUCUGCUUUCAUUUUCUCUGUUAAAAGUCCUCUUUUUUUUUUUUUUUAAUUUGGGGUGAAUCUAUAAUCUCAGUAAAUCCUGUCUACUGUACUAUUCAUAGUGUAGAGAUAUGGUCUUUGAAAUUGAGCGGGAGUCUUAUUUUGUUCAUCGGAAUUUAUUCUACUUUAUUAAUUUUUAUUUUACAUAAUUGUGGAUUGGAUCUGUAGACUGUUCAAUGAAUAAACUAAAUAUUGCUUUCAUUUAAUCUGCUACAGAUUACUCAAGUUUAUGGAUUCUAUGAUGAAUGCCUACGGAAGUGAGUUCUCUACGCACAAACUUUAUUUAAGAGAUCAUAAUGAAAAUCAUGUCUUGAUUUUUGCUGCAAAGUUAUUUUCUGGAUAACUUCCAGUUCAUCAGUUUAUCAAAACGUAUUCUCUAUUCAAAUUAAGAUAACAUUAUACUUGCGAGUUGAAAACUCCUGUAAGAUGUCACUCAAGCUUGCUAUCAUUGAUGCAGUACUGCUUUUAUAACAGUAUACUUACAUCAACUUUUCUGCAGAGUGGCAGAAAGGGUAAUUUAUUUUUCAACUUUUCCUUUAUCACCCUUGGGAAUUCCAUUUGUAAUACAUUGCUGCAAAGAAUUUUAUUACUAAAGACUUCAUACUUAGUUUGUUAUUUCUUUGAUGCUGAGAUAUUGGCUCCUUCGUGUUGGAUUGAAUUCCUAUUGGAAUGCAUCAUCUCCAUGAUUAUAUGGACUUAAAUGUGCAACUAACAUAGUUUAUGCUGUUCAGCUGCAAAGAAUUAUCUCAUUACGGUUUAUUUACAGGUAUGGCAAUGCUAACAUUUGGAAGAUUUUUACUGACCUUUUUGACUACUUUCCGUUGACUGCCUUGGUAAGUGGAAGUAAAAUUUGAUGCUAGCCAUUUUGGUUGAAAGUUAUAAAUGAAGUAAAUACAAGGAAGCAACAGUUAGUGCACCUACCUUAGCCCUUAUGCAUUUUAAUUGUUUGAUCUAGAUGUUUGCUUAGCUUUAAUUCGUAUUGGAUGGGGCGGAUGUGGUUCUGAGUUUACCUUUGUCAUGACUCAGCUCACUUCUGCGCAAGUGUUUUUAUGUAUAGUGGUUGUAACUUCUGAAUUUCGUUAUGGAUUCCACUAGGACUUUUAUGUUAUCACAUUAUUUUCCGAUCAUAAGAAUUGGCAAAUUCCAGGAUUUAAUUUUAAGGAACACACUGCAAAUUCUCCAUUUCCAGUAGGGUAGGAAUCUUAAAUAUAUUGCUAUUAUGAUGCUGGGUGGCUGCUUAGCUUCCAAAAUUAAUUUUUUUAAUUUUAUAUUGGUGAAUAAAAAAUGUGAUUCUAAUCAGUUGUAAGGAACCCCUUUUUUUAUGCUGGUAGUCAAAAGGUUAUUUAACUGUUGCUAAAGUUCUAUGUUUUCAUGUGUAGGUAGAGUCAGAAAUAUUCUGUCUGCAUGGUGGGCUGUCCCCUUCAAUUGAAACUCUUGAUAAUAUCAGGAACUUUGAUCGUGUUCAAGAGGUUCCUCAUGAAGGGCCCAUGUGUGAUUUGUUAUGGUCUGACCCAGAUGAUAGAUGUGGUUGGGGUAUCUCACCUCGUGGUGCUGGAUAUACUUUUGGCCAGGUACUGUACUCUGAAUUUCUACCUUUUGUUAUUCAAAGUUAGCUCUCAUCGAUGUUUUUAAUGGUAAUUGCACUUAUUCUUCAAUUGUCUAUCUUAACUGUUGGAUUCUGUUUGCAGGACAUAUCUGAACAAUUCAAUCAUACAAACAACUUAAAAUUGAUUGCUAGAGCUCAUCAACUGGUCAUGGAUGGAUUUAAUUGGGCGCAUGUAAUAUUUGACUUUCAGAUACUUACCAGAUAAUAAUCUUUUUCCCUUUGAUAAAAGAAUAUUAUAUGUAUUAUCACAAUGAUUCCUUGGUGCAGGAACAAAAGGUUGUUACUAUAUUUAGCGCACCUAACUAUUGUUAUCGCUGUGGCAACAUGGCUUCUAUCUUGGAAGUUGAUGACUGUAGGAGCCACACGUUCAUUCAGGUAUUCCUCUCUUCUGUUUCCCCUAAAACUUGAAAGUGCAUCCCUUAUUGCUAUAUUCUGAUGAUGAAUUUGUACUUGCGUAAAACUUAAUAAACUUUGUCUUGUUACAGUUUGAGCCAGCUCCUAGGAGAGGAGAACCAGAUGUUACACGCAGAACACCUGAUUACUUCCUGUGAAGCUGCCUUUGUGUCAUACUGAUUCAUUUCUCUUGCUUCUCCUCCCCUCAUUGCGUAACAGUCGGGCAACUGUGGAUCCUCCAUUAAUCCUCUACGUGCUUUUUUUUUUUUUGGGUGGUAAUGUGUCCAAAAAAGAACGUGAGCUACGGGGUUAGAUGCCCUUCUAUCCGUUUUACACUUGAAAGCGUUUUCAGACCUCUGCUGGGGAUAUUGCCUAGGUGAUGACCAAUUGACGAUGUCAGAAAUGUACUAAUUAUGUAGAUAUUCGUUUUUAAUUUUCUUUUGCGUUCAACUGUUCCCCCCACCAUCCCUCUUCUUUUCUCUUAUUUUCCUAGCCUUAAUUCUCAUUUGAUUUUGGUUGGGAAAUACAAGAAUCCCAUAUCUAUUGAGUGCUUUAACCUUUUUUGUUCUUCCCUUUAUAUCAUUGACACGACACUAGUGCUUGAAAUUGUUCACUUUUCAGACAGUUUAUGUUGGUCGUUCCUUUUUUUUAUUUUUUAUUUUUAUUCUUUUGUUGACAUUAAACUAUUUUUCCUUUUUAUUUUUUAUUUACCGUUUAUUUUUUGGCUGUUGUCUAUUGAUCGUUCAAAUGCUGAAUUCUCGGGCUGGGGAGCUGAAUUAUUUGAAAAACUUGCAUUAAUUGUUCGUAUUCAAUCUUAAAAGGAAAAUUUAUUCAAAGAUUACACUUGUGAAUUUGGAAAUUUUUAGCCCACAAAGGAAUCAAAAUAGUCAAUAACCACUGCUUUUUCGAAUAUUUUGCGCAAUUUCUAAUUAAUAUUCUACAACACAGACAGCUCUAAUAGAUACAGCCUCUGGUCUCACCGUAGCAAAUGAUAACUAUUUAUUAAAACAAUAAUAGUAACUACAAAUAGCAAAAGAAUAUGACCAGUAAAAAUGGAUUACUCUAACUAAACGUUUGAAUGUGAUUUACAGAAUUAACAGGUAUAUAGAUUACCUGCCAGGGACUUAGUAAAUUUAUACUCAUCAUGUCGUGGAACCACCGUCCACAAGCAUGCAUUAUAAUCUCAAGUGAGCGAAAACUGAUGGAGCAAGGUCUACCACUGACCAUGCAAGGCCUGCAUAUUGAAGGAACCUAAUGCCGGUAUCAACAUCAAAAAUGUCCUGUCCGGAGAAAAAGAAUAAUUUUUGGGCAUAACUUGAUUGCUUAAUCUUAUCCGAUUCCUUUCCCUUGACUGGUGCAUUAAGCAUGGGGAUGUAGCUGGUUGACUUUAUUGGGAUGCCCAAGGUGUUUGAUAUUACAGGAACAAUCCAUUUUGCAAGAGCCUUGCUACAGAACUUCACAAGAAGUAUUGUUGGCAUUCCCACAAGAAUUCUUCCUACAAAGGCAGGGAUUGACAGUUGUGGGCUAAAGAUGACUGGAGCCGCUUCAUGGUGGAACUGGUAGUACGUAAGGUGGACUCCAGCCACCUGCACAAAAUUGCCACUUUAGUUUAUGAAACUUAAUCAUGAAUGCAUGUAUGCACAAGUUCUUCCCCUUUCUUUAUUAGAUAACAUGACAUAUAUAAUAAACAAAUGCAAAAAUAAAACUUAGCAAACAUUAAUGGAUGGUAUUUAAAGUAAUAUGCAUAAAAGACCAACUGUUAGUACUAUGUAUGAGUUUAGAUAAAAUAUUUCCUGGAAUUAAAGGAAAUGUUCUAGGAAGCCAGGACUUGAGAAAAGUUUUUGGCACCAAGAACUAAAUUGAACAUUCAAUGAUUCCAUCAAUUUUGCUGGUUCUAGAAGAUGGCCUUCCACCAACAACUGACAUUGGGCUCAUAGUUAAUUCAAGAUCAGUAAGUAAUAAAAUUUGAAGAGAUGAGAAUGAACAGAAACAUCACCAUGUACCAUUUCUUCUAAUGUUUCAGAUGAAUUAUGAAGAGAGUAAAAUUAGAGUUCAGCUAAGCAUGAUUUCAAAGGCAAAUGAGUGAACAAGUGCUUACAAUUCCCAAUGCGACUCCAUUAAAGGCUGUAUGGAACUCAAAGCUUGGAGUCGGAAGCUCUGGAGUUGGAUAAGCAAAGAGCAACAGGAAGCUGAGGGCAGACCAAAAAGAUAAAACUGCAAGAGAAAUAAUGUUGCAGAAUAAGAAGACACACUAAAACAAGAUGAACUGCAGCUUUGAUUUCUGGAUGCAAUUAAUGACAUUUCAGUUCAAAUAUGACCAAAUUCCACAGAUAAUCAUAAUUUGAAAUCAAGAGCGUUCUAACCAAAACUACGCCUACCAUUUUGUCCUGAGAUAAUGAAGUUGUCAACAUAUUCGUGGACAGUAAGCCAAAAUGCAAGGACCGCCAAUCCUAAAGCCAGCCCGGCAAUGAUGUCAACCAAACUGUGCAUGCCAAGGUAAAUUCUUCCUACCAAGAAAACACUAUUUCAGUAAAGGAAUUUCCAAUAAGAAAAUUAACAAUGCUGCUGAUUUCUUAAACAAAGUUAAACCUACCUACAGCAAUGAGGCCCACAAGCAAGCAAAAAAGGGCAACUCCAGCAAACUGAGUAACGGCAUAAUUAUUUUGGGAAUAAGAUAGGACAUAGUGCAAAAGAUAUCUGGAAUACAAGCCCGAAAAGAAACAAUUAGUGCAAAGCAUAAACUCUAGAAUGCUAAAGUGGAAGGAAAGUCAUUUAACUAGCGUCCUCCAAAUUGAUGCACAUACUUUCAGAACAAUUUACUACUGAUAUUCAAUAAAGAAUAUCUACCAACUGACAACUUAUCAAUUAAAUAUAUAUGCUCAGCUUUGUAUCCUCACAACUUGGAAUUCCUUGGAGGCAACUACUUUAGCAACUUGGAAAACAUGAGCUAUGUUAAUGUGUAAGAAUUAGGAACUUGGUGAAAGAUGCAUACACCAUAUGCUUUAAACUGCCGAGGAAUACGACUUCAUUUUCAUUUUAACAUAUUCUGAAACCAGCUUGAAUAACUAUAACUACUUUACUUUCUAUUAAGCCUUUUUCACAACAUCUCAUUUCGAGACUGCUCUAGAACUCAAUACCUCAAAUUCCUGCGGCACUCAUGGCAUUGCCCAGUAAAUUUCAGUAUAUAGUAUGAAGGAAAAGCAAAGAAUUGCACAGGAAAAAGUGAACACGAGAAGGAAUCAUGAGUACCCUGCUAAGCAAACUGUAUUGAGAGUGUGAGAAGAAGGCAAUCCAUAUUCCAAGGCAUUCUCUUUCUCAUCUUUUGUGGCAGUUACUCUCCUCACAGGAGGGCAACUUGGUCUAGGAGCUGAUACUGUAUCCUAUAUAAAACACAACACCAAACAAAAACAAAAGAACUAGCUUCAUGACUUCAAUUUCAGUCUUACAAUCAAAAUUGAAAAACUGUGAACAUCACGUAACUAAUAAAUUAAAUACCUUUAUAGUGUUCCCUAAAUAAUCACAAAAGGCCAUCAAAAGAGUCAUGUGCCGAGCCAAUUUCACAUGCCCACUCUACAAUAAAACAAAAAAAAAAAAGAAUUUACAUCACAACAUGAACAUAAAUCAAGCCUUAGCACAAAUAGAUGAAAAAGAAAACAUACCCAGAAGACCAAAGGCAAAAAUCCAGUGUAAAAUGGCACUGAAACAACGCAAGACAAGCCAGAAAACAGAGAAUCCAAAAACUUAUGCUGGUAUUUCUGCACAAACCCACAAAAGCAAAACUCUAUUAAAGUCAACAUACAAUGAAAAAAAAUCAAAUUUUGGAAUAUGGGUAUUGUUCAAUUUGGUGGAAAGAAUCUUGAGACCUGGAUCUGGAGAAUGAAAGCGGUGCCAAUGAUGACAUAGUGAGUCACCCAAGGCUGCAGCAAAGAUCUGAGCUUUUGAGUCACAUUUAGACAUGAAGAUAUCAUAAUCCACGACACAAUCCCACCUAAGGUCGCCACUUGCCACGCUGCUAAUACGCUCUCCAUUUUAUCUUCUUCCCUCUUCAAUGAGAGAGGGAUCAAAAAUCAAAAGGAAGAAGACUUUAGAGAGAGUGAAUUUGAAUAUAAAGAGAAAAACUAGAAAUCUUUGUUUGAAUUGUCUUGGCCGAACAUCCAAGGUCCACUACGAGGAAGAAGAACGAAUUUCAGUUCGGUAUUUAAUCAAUAGGUACCCUCAGUUUUAUGUUUUAUCGAAUCAAGACUUAUAUUUACAAUUUUUGUUAUAUAAAUCCCUUGUCCCGUUAUCCUGUGGCCCCUGCUUCUGGCUUUUCUGCGAUGAUCAAACUUACUGUAUGUGUAAUUGCGUAUGAUAUCAAGUUUUUUCCUUUUUUCUUUUUUUAUAUACAUUGUAUGAUAUCAACUUUAAAAUAUCAUAUGUUGGUGUCAUUUAAAAAAAAAAAAAGAUUUGUUGAUGUCACUUAAUAUUGCAUAGAGGUCUCCCCACUUGUUGGGUAGAAUUUAUCAUGUUAAAGUUUGCAUUUAGUUAAAUUUAAUAUUGAAAAUAUAAAAUUCAUUAACAAUCCAAAUAUAUUGUUACUACAACUAAAAAAAAUCCUCUGAGAUUAGUUUAUAAUUAUGUUCUCACUAAUAUUUUAAAAAAAAAUCUAUCUCCAUCAAUAUUUGUGAAAAAGAAAAUAUUAAAUAAUUUAAAUUUUCAUGAGAACUCGAGUAUGUGCCAUUAAUAAAAUUGAGAAUCAAAACCUUAAUUAGAGUUACCUUACGUGAAUUUUUCUUUAAAAAAUUUUUUAAGUGAAUUUCAUUAUACUAACUAUCAAUUUAUUAAACUACUUGAGUUUAGCCCAAGUGGCUAGAGUUCGAGUCCCCGCAGACGCAUUACAGGGGUUUAAUUUAAAUUUCAUUUCUUGGAGUCUCAGAGCUUAAGUGAAGGCAAUAUUUCUUUCAGAAUGGGAGUUGGGCGUCCCUCGAAUAUUUGAGAGGGUUAAAAAAAUCUGAGCGGUGCCAUAUUAAAAUUGAUGUAAACUGGUUUCAGUAAUUUGUAUGGUGUAAAUAUCAUUAGCAAUAGUUCUCCUAAAAAAAAUAUCAAUUUAUUAUAUUUAUAUAUAAUUUUGAUGGAUGAUAUCACAGAUGAACAUCACAUACUAAAAAUAGUAGAGUAAGGAAAUGAUUAACAAAAAUACAUAAGAUAGUUCUAAUCCGUAAAAGGUAAACAUUUAAGGACCUAUACGGCAUAGUCUCAUUUUUUAUUUUAUUGUCCGUUACUCGUUAUUAAUAUUGUUUUUCAAUAAUGAGAUGCGUGAGCCAGGGGCUGGGCUUCCGCUGGAUUUAGGUGGCAAAGUAAAGUCAGCCAGCGACGCGUAAAUAAAAAGGACAACCAUUUAAAUACUUUGAUCCCAAUUGUUUUUUUUUUUUUUUUCCUUGAGAAAAAAAAAAUUCCCUUUGAUCCAUUCAUUCACAAAUACCUAUUUUAUCCAGUUUCAUUAUAAAAUAUUAUUACUUACUUGGUUUAUGAACUUAAUAUCUCAUAUUAAAAUGUGAUAUAUAUAUAUAUAUAUACAUAAUUUGUACAUUUAGACUUAUAAAGGGUUUUACUUGUACAUAUACUUCCAAAUGAUCACAUGACACGAUAUUUCGAGGAAGGAUGGUAGCUCUCCCAAAACAUGCCCGUGACACAAAGUUGACCAUUGACCAAAUAUGAGCACAUCAAAGAUUUUCGAUUAAUUAUUAUUAUUAUUAUUUUUUAUUUUGGCUACUAGAAGAAGGUUGACCAAUCUAAUCUAACACCUAAAUAUGAAAUUAAUAAUUUAAUCAUAAUAAUUGUUUGACAGAUUUUUUUUUUUUAAAGAGAACUAUUGCUCAUGCAUCAACUCUGAUAUAGCACCGUUCAAAUUUUUUAACUCUCUCAAAUAUUCGAGGGACGUUCAACUCCACUCCUAGGAGAAAGAUUGUCUCAAAUAUUCAAGAGAUGUCCAAUUAUACUCUUAGGAGAAAGAUUAUCUUAGGAUUGUCUUAAAUAUUCGAGAGAUGUCCAAUUAUACUCCUAGGAGAAAGAUUAUCUUUACUUAAACUCCGUAGCUAUAAAAAAAAUAUUUAAUUAAAUUACUGCAAUACACCUGUGGGAGCUCGAACCUCUUCCUUCACAAUUAUGAAGGAGUGGUUUUAGCUAUUUGAGCUAAGCCCAAGUGGUUAUUGUUCGACAGAUUCUAAUUUAAAGAAUUUUGCGGUGUGGCCGUGGCGGUCAUUUGGAUCGUGCCAAACAUGUCGUUUUCAAUUAUUCACUUUGGCAAAUCCGACGAUUAUCACUAUGUUUAAUUGGACGGCUGUGAUUUGUUUGUCUUCAACAACUUUACAGGCACUUAUUUGUUCUUUGAGUAGGUUCUUUUACACCACUCAAAAUUCCACGUAAAACUUAUCUUUGGUGGAAAUUAUCUAAAUAAUUAAAGAUAAAUUAAUUAAUUUUUUUAUUUCGAAUAGGAAUUCAAUUAAAUACUUAAAUAAUUUAUUCUUUUAACAAAUUAUUAACAACCAUCCUAUUUCAUAAUUUAUGUUUACAUCUUAAACUUUAAUUGAAAAAAUUAUAAGAGGCUAGAGUUAUGAAGAUAAAAUAUACGUUAUUAAAAAAAUAAUUAAGAUUUCAGGAUUUGUAUGUAUUUUAUAAAUAAAAAUUUUAAAAAUACUUUUUAAGGAUAAAAUUUUAUGAGAAAAUAAUUUUUAAUAUAUAAAUUUGUAUUUUAUAAAUUAAACUGCGAAUUUUAGAAAAUACAAUUUAAAAGGAGGGUUAUAAAGAUUUUAGAGGGGAGUUAUUUAAAAGCUCCACUCUUGUUUUGUGUGUAUGUUUAAGAGACCAACCCAAAUGUAUUUAUGGUCAAUUCAAAUGGAGUCCGAAUAUUCCAAUGCAGUCCGAAUUUUCUCCUAACUCUUUUUUUAUUAAAUGGUAAAAUAGAAUAACAAAUAAUGCUAUGAAUUAUAAAAUUGAUCAACCAAUAAAUUAGCCUCACAACACAACAUUACUCGAGAGUUGAGAUGAAAUUAUUGGUAUAUUACUUUAGAACAUAAAUACACUCACGCUAGUAAUCAUCAAAUAAAAAAUAAGAAAAGAAAAUAGUAUAUUCUUAUUAUUAGUAACAAGGAACUAAAAAGAAUACGAGGAGCAUAUUUUGAUUUUCCAAAAAGAAUAAUUUAAUUUCCGAGGAUGUUGGUCAGCAGUUACUCUCAUUGCUGAAAACACGCAAAUCGUAUUUAUGAGAUUGGUUUGGUUUUCUAUUAUAAGUAGUUUAAUAUCAUAAUCCCGUUGGUUAGUGUGGUACUUGUUGGGCAGCACCGACUGCAGGUCUCAAGAGAAUUUUCUUUACUAAUAAGGUCAGUUUCAGAUUAUAAAUAAUAAUUCCAUAUAUGUACAAAAAGUUGGACUGGGGAGAAUAAAGUAAUGGGAGACCUUUAUGCUUACUUUAUACUGUUAUUUGUCAACUUUUUUAUUUAAAAAAAAAGGAUAAUUAGAUACUCUUAUUUCAGUUGAGGCUGCAGGUUUAAACAAAUUAUGGAACGUAAAAUAUUUCUAAAAUCGAUCACCAACAAGAGUAAAUUAGUAAUAGUAACACUUGUGUCUUUAGUUGCGAUACUUCAUAUCGUCCAAUCUAGAUUAGAAUUUGAUUUAUUUUAUUUCAAGGAAUUUAAAUACAAGACUUUAUGUUAAAUUCUGCUGUACGGCCAAGGCGGAUGUACGGUACAGCAGUAAUUAAAAUUGAAAAAAUUUUUUUAAUUAGUCAUACUUGCCAUCACAAACACCGAAUGGAUUAACGAGGUUAAGAGCUGAAGAACUUAACAAUUUGCAAGGCGAUGGACAAGGAGAGCGUAAAAUACACGAAAGAAUAUAUGAUUAUGAUUAAAACUAAACUAAAAGAUAAGAAAAAAUAAAUAUUCCUAAAGGAAAUCUUAUUAUUAUAUCUUUAUAACAUAGCUAGUUUACAGAUACUGAUCUUUAAUUUGGGAAUACAAGUCCUUAAAAUUAGGAAUGACAAUAAAUGGGGUAUGGUGGAAAGGCCUUCACCGUAAGGAUGGGCCAAAAUCCAAAAACCUGAAUUUAAAAAUUGAGCCGAACCAAUUAACGAUUAUUAUAUUUUGAAAAAAUCGAUUAGUUUAAUCUAAAAAAUCAAAAAUUAAAAAAAUUAGAAAAUAAAAUUGUAAUUUUUAAAAAAAUAAUUAAAAAUUAAAAAAUAGAAUCAAAUUGCAAAAACUAAACCGAACUAAAUUUGUGCCCCACCGUUGCUUCAUGUCCCAACCUUACUUCGUCAUCCGAUAACUUGGGUUCUAUUUAAACCCCAUUAGGUGUCAGUCUUGCCAACGGCGGAACCACAUGCAUGUCUAAGGGCUAAGGACACCCCAAAUUUUAAAUAAUUUUUAGAGUUGGGUGAAAUGCAAAUACAUUGAGAAAUUACCAAUAUCGGCUUUGCAAUGUUUUGAGAACACAUGUAUGUAUGUGACAAUUUAAUCUAUUAAAUGAAUGAUGAUUUCCUUACAAGAAUGAAUGAUAGAUGAUUUUCUAGAGAUGAAAAAAAUCGUAAAAUUCUCUUUUAAUGUAUAAUUGACUAGAUGAUAUAAGAUAUCAAUUAUUUUAAAAAUUAUUUUCAUAUAUUUAAAGAUUUAAAACACAUUGAUGUUAUUUUUGCUGCAACAGCUUCUUCUUUUUUUAAUUUUUUAUUUUUGGAGUUGCAAAUUUGUCCUACAAAUUAACUCUCAACCAAAAAUCUCAACUCAUCAUAAUACAUGUCAGCCACACCGAACAAAAAUUUUGAUUCUGACUUCUCCCGCAGAACCCCCGUCGAAAUUAAAUUGGGCCAAACUCGACCUGCAUUUAAGAAGUCGGUUCAUUCGCACCUACAUCCAUUUAUUGUUAUUGAAGAGAAGGAGAUUGCUUUAGUAUUUAUAUGUGUACGCUAAAACCUCUCUCUUAAUUUGUACGUUACCAACAUGGAAAUUGGCAUUGUCUCAAGAGAAGUUGUGAGGCCAUCUUCACUCAAUGUUCAUCUUUUAAAGCCAUUCAAAAUUUCUCUUUUAGAUCAACUCACUCCCACAACUUUUGCUCCACUCGUCCUCUUUUACCCCAUGAAAAGUACACAUCUAAAGGGUACCCAAAUCUCAACGCAGCUCAAGGAGUCACUCUCAAAAACCCUAGAACACUUUUACCCUUUGGCCGGAAGAGUGAGAGACAAUCUCAUCAUCAACGAUUAUGAUGAGGGAGUUCCAUACAUUGAAACCCGCGUGAACACUCACUUGUUUGAGUUUCUUCAAAACCCUCCAAUGGAACUAUUGAACCAAUGUCUCCCAUACCCUCCAUUUAGUUACCAACCAAAUCCCGAUCGAGUUCCCCAAGUUGCUGUACAAUUGAACACAUUUGAUUGUGGUGGCAUAGCACUUGGCUUGUGCUUCUCACAUAAGAUCAAUGAUGGCGCCACAACAAGUGCUUUCCUCAGAAGUUGGGCUGCAUUUUCUCGUGGAGCUUACCAUAAAGCAGUAAAGUACAAAAACAUAUCUGAGGCAUCAAUGAUUUUCCCUCCUCAAAACCCUUCGCCGAAUCACCGUUUAUCCGUAAUGGAAAAGAUUUGGUUCAGAGAAGCCAAGUACAAGACAAGAAGAUUCGUGUUUGACGCGAAGGCCAUAGCAACCCUAAGGUCUGAAUGCAAAGGCGAACGUGUUCCCAAUCCAACGCGCAUUGAAGCAUUGUCAGCAUUCAUUCUGAAGUCGGCCAUGCUAGCUUCAAGAUCAACAGCAAGUUCACGAUUUGUAUUGCAUCAAGCGGUGAACCUUCGAAGACUAACAGAACCAAGGUUAUCGCCCUGCUCUGUUGGGAACCUGUUUCUGUGGGCAACCGCCGCUUAUAAUAUGGAGCAUGCAGCUGAAAUGGAGCUGCAUGGAUUGGUGGCACGUAUGAAGCAAGCUGUGGGGAAAAUCAAUAGUGAGUACUUAAAAACAUUACAUGGUGAUGAAGGGUUUCCAAAAGUGUGUGAGUAUAUAAAGAGAAUCGAAGAGGUCUCUGCCCACAAAAAUUUAGAAGCCUUCACAUUUUCCAGUUGGGUCAAAUUUGGUUUCAAUGAAGUUGAUUUUGGGUGGGGGAAUCCAAUUUGGAGCGGCAUUUUUGGAGAAGUCGGUUCUAAUUCUUUCCGAAAUUUGACAUUUUUUAAGGAAACAAGAAGUGCUAAUUAUGAUAAUGCAGUGGAGGCAUGGGUGACAUUAGAUGAAAAAAUAAUGUCUGUAUUGGAGCAUGAUCCUCAGUUUUUGGCCUUUGCUUCGCCGAAUCCGAGCAUAUUAUUGUUUGAUGUUUGUGGAUUCUGAAAGUUUUUUUGUUCGUGAUGAAUGACACUGGCUAGCUAGCGAGUGGCUACUACUAAGCAAUUGAUGGUGGUGAUAGAUUUUGAAGAUGGCAAGUAGCUGAGUUAUUCGAAAUGCAUGCAUGUACUGCGACAAAAUAAAGGUUGAUAUUGUAAAAAUAAAUGAAUAAAUAAAUAAAUAAAUAAAUAAAAGCGAUAAUAUAUAACCUCCGGAUCCCUGUUUUUUUUUUUUUUUUUUUUUUUAUUGAUUUUACAAGUUACGGCAUAAAUUUAUGUAUUUGUUUUCCAGCCAACAGAUGCACUAAAAAAAGAAAAGAAAAAAAAAACAUGAAUUUUGAUGGAUAAAUUCUCAAGUCUCAACUAUAUGAUGGGUACUUGCAUCAUUUUCAUAGGUUUUACUAAAAGAAACAAUUAGUUUGAACUGGCACGAAAGUAGCAGGCCGAUAAAAAGCAUAUAUAACUAAGUCAGCCCCCAAGAUUGUGGUCGGUGGUUUCAACCAUAUGAUGGGUACUUGGAUCAUAUUCAUAGGUAAUAGUAGUAUUAAUCAAUCAAAUUUUUAUUACUAUUCUAUGGGCAUCUGUCUUACCAAUCACAUUCCAAAUUACUGAAGAUGGAUAGUGUUUUCAACUGAUUUUGGGGUAGGAAAAUCCAAAAUCAAUCUUCAACAAUGAAUUUAUAUUUUUGGGGGAGAUGGGGUACCUCACUAGUUUAUUGUGUGCGGUGCGGUGUAUCUGAAAUGCGGGGAGGUGAGAAAGGGAGAGAGAGUGGUAACAAUGGUGGAAGAUCAGAAACAAGAGAGGUAUCCUUCAAAAUGAGCUUCACGCCUGCAAAACAAUGAAAUAGAGGUUAGAGGUGAAGCCAGGGGUACCCCGGCGUUCACACUCCGACGCUCAAGUUAGCAAACUCAAGCUUUUAUUGCAAAGAGAGCUAGCUAGCCCUCUGUAAAUUAGGGUUUAAGGUUGAAGAAAACCUUUUUUUUUUUGGAGUGUGAGUGUUUUUGGGCGAAUGAGAGCAUGAUGGAGAAUGAAACCUAGGCGCCUUUAUAUAUGGAGUACCUUAGCUGCCACGUGGCAUACCCUUUUUGGCUAACGUCCUUUUACCGCUUUUAUGAUUCUUGGGGCCGUUAUGUGCAUGUUCGCGGCGUAUCUCAUCUUUUGGAAACGUGGCGUGCGCUGGAGAGUGGUCCAGGGUACCUCUGCAGUAGCUGUCGGGUAGGCGGCUAGGGACCACUGUCCUUGGGACAGUGUCCUUCACUUUUGGCAGAGGUAGCAGACGGCUGUCCCUCCUUUUAGCACGUCGCUUUUGAUUCUUAAUUCUGACAAAAUCAAAUGAUAUCUUUUAGGAGGCGGAGACGUUUCUCAUGGCGGAUAUUUUCGGUGGAUUCUCUUGCAUCCGCUUUGCCGGGUACCUCGAAUUACAUGGGGUACCCCCUAUUACGCAGGGUACCCCUAUCUGUAUGGGAUACCUCUAUUUGUAUGGGGUACCUCUAUUUGUGUGGGAUACCUCUAAUUGUGCAGGGUACCUCUAUUUAUACGGGGUACCUCAAGUCAUGUCGGGCACCUCGGAUUAUGUAGGGUACCUCCGAUUGUGCUGAUAUCAUUCCAUUGGCUGACACGUGGCGCUCUAUUACCUUUCCCAUCUUUCCCUCAAACAGAUAGAAUAAAUUAAUCAAAGGAAAAUGAUAAUUAGCGGGCGGGACUAUAUUUACAUGAUGAAAUAUGCAUUGCACACCUUUCCACGCACUCAUUUGAUAAAUUAAAAAUAUAUACUAGUACUCCACGCACAAAUAGGCCCGUCUGAUAUUAAAAUUAAAAUUUAAUAAAUUACUUAUUUCAUAAUUUUAACGAAAAUAGUGUUGGUUAAAUUUUGUAAAAUUAAACUACUUAAUAAUUUUUAUUAUAAUCUUAAAAGCAGGUAGGGAGUUGCUUUUCAUAAGCAGUUUAUUAAAUAAGUUACCACACAUUUUUUAAAUUUCUACUAUAAUCUUCAUAUUUUAAAAAAUUAUGUCUUAUUUUUUCAUGCACCCUAAUAUAUUAGUUAUUAGAUAUCAUAUUACUACCACAGUUAAAGUACCUCUACAACUAUUGUAAUACUAUUUAACAAUAAAAACUAAACUAGAAGAUAAGAAAAAUAAAUAUUCUCAUAGGAAUUCUUAUUUUUCUAUCUUUAUAACAUAGCUAAUUUAUAAAUAUUGAUCUUUAAAUUGGGAAUACAAGUCCUUAAAAUUAGGAAUGAUACCAAAUGGGGUAGGGUAGGAAGGCCUUCACCAUACAAGUGGUCAAAAUCUAAAGCCCUGAAUCUAAAAAUUGAACCGAACUAGUGACCGAUUAUAAUAUUUUAGAAAAUCGAUUAGUUUAAUUAAAAAAUUAAAAUAAAAAAUGAAAGAACGAAUCGAACCGAAAUCGAAUCCAAUUCUGUUUGGUUCAAUUUAUACUUUUUGAUAAGUUAAUUCAGUUUAUGUCAAUUCCACAAAAGCUAAACCAAAUUGAAUCGUGCCCCACCCUUACUUCAUCAUCUCAUAACCUAAUUCCUAUUUAAACCCCAUUAGAGGUCCGUCCUACUAGCAGUGAACCCACUUGCAUGUCUAAGGACUAAGGUCACCCCAAAUUUUAAAUAAUUUUUAAAAUGUUAUUUUAGAAUUGGGUGAAAUGUAAAUACAUAGAGAAAUUACCAACAUCGACAUUGCAAUAUUUUGAGAACACGUGUAUAUGUAUGACAAGUAAUCUAAUCUAUUAAGGAUGCGUUUGGCACACUGCAUUGUAUUAUGCUGUAUUGCAUUAUUUUAAUGCUGAUGUAUUGUAUUAUGCUGUAUUGCAUUAGCACUGUAUUAUAAUAAUGUUGUACAAUGUUUGGUGCUACACUGUAUUGUAUUUUUUUUAAUUAAUUUAAAUUAAAUAUUAUAUUAUAUUAAUGUUUUAUAUUAUAUUAAUAUAUUUAAAUUGCAUUAAUAUUUUAUGUUAUCAAAAAAAAAAACAAACAAACAAACAAAGCUAAUGCGUCAACUAACGCAUUAGCCCCCCACCCCAAUCCCUUGCAAUUUUGUUCCAAACAUGGGUUUGGUAUUAUUUUAAUAUGAACAGUGUAAUAAUACACCAUAAUCACAUGCACCAAACACACCCUAAAGGGAUGAUGGUUUCCUCACAAGAAUAAAUGGCAGGAGAUUUUGGAAAGGUGAAAGAAUCGUAAAAUUUCCUUUUAACAUAUAAUUGAAUUAGAUGAUAUAAGAUAUCAAUUACUUUAUAUAUAUUUUCAUAUAUUUUAAGAUUUGAAUCAUAUUUAUGUUUUUUUUUUAUUGCAAUAUUUUUUUAAAAAAAAUUUGGAGUUCAAAUUUGUCCUACCAAUUAACCCUCAACCAAAAAUCCGAACUCAUAAAUACAUAUCGACCUCGCCAAACAAAAGUUUUUAUUCUGAUUGCUCACUAAAACCCCUCUCUUAAUUUGUACAUUACAAAAUGGAACUUGGUAUUGUCUCAAGAGAAGUUGUGAGGCCAUCUUCACCCCAUGUCCAUCUUUUAAAACCAUUCAAAAUUUCCUCUUUUAGAUCAACUCACUCCCACAACUUUUACUUCACUCGUCCUCUUUUACCGCAUGAGAAAUACGCAUCUAAUGGUUAUCCCAAUCUCAACUCGACUCAGAGAGUCAUUCUCAAAAACCCUAGUCCAUGUUCACCCUUUUGCAUGGAAGAUUGAGAGACAAUCUCAUCAUCAACGAUUAAGAUGAGGGAGUUCCAUAUAUAUAUUGAAGCCCCAGUGAACACUCAUUGGUUUGAGUUUCUUCAAAAUCCUCCAAUGGAACUAUUGAACCAAUGAGCUAUUUCAACUAUUAAAGUAAAAAAAAAAAAAUAUUAAAAUUAAAAUUUGAAAAAUUGAAUCGAACUGGAGCAGAGUCCAAUUUGUUUGGUUCGAUUUAUAUUCUUUGAUAAGUUAAUUAAGUUCAUGUCGAUUCCGCAAAAGCUAAACCGAACUGAAUCGUGCCCCACCCUUACUUCAUCAUCUCAUAAACUAGUUCCUAUUAAACCCCAUUAGAGGUCAGUCAUGCCAGCGGCCACUAUAAGAAAAGUAGUCGUUUUCGACUAUAGUUAAAUAUGGUUGCUAAUAGGGCAAUUUUCAACAGUAAAAAUUAAGAUAGCUACAAAAAAUAAAACAGUCACAUAGUUUUUCUAAUGAAAAGAACACUGUUGAAAAUAACUUCAAAGUCGGUUGAUAAUAAGUUUAUUUUAGAGAGAAAUUUUAGUGCCAUUGGCAUUUAUAACCACUAUAAGAGUAUAAGUAACACAUUGGGAAUGUAUAAUUAAUUCCUACUGUUUCAAAAACAUAGUAAAAAAUAAAAUAAUAAUUUCAAUUAUUAUUUUGAAUUAUUAUUAGAGGUCAGUCAUGUAUUAUUAUGAAUAAUUCAUAGUGGCCGCUGGCAUGGCUUAAUUAUGAAUUAUUAAAACUAAUACAGCUUCAUAGUUUUGGUGUCAAUAUCUAUUUUUAUCUUUUGUUUACCUUACUAAUCUGUCAUUUAAAUUUAAAAGCCAUGUUAAAGAUGUUUAAUCAAUCAAUUUAGGCUAGAGAGUGAUUAAACAAUCUAGUAAUUAAUCACAUAAUUGAUAUGAUAUAUAAUUGUUCAAUUAUAACAAAAUGUCAAUUUACAUUAAUAUGAUAAGAAGUUUCGUUUUGCAAUUAAUCAAAUCAUAUGCGCUAACAAUUUUCAAUAUUUAUCUAUAUAAAAUAAGUAAUGUAGGAUAAGUAAAUUAAUUGAUUUUUUUAAUUUGAAUAUCUUUUAUUAUCUCUAGUAAUUGUUUGGUUCGUUUAAUUGCUAUAUAUAAUGCCACCUAACUAAAGAUUUUGGUACAAAUGAUAUGUUUACGCUAACUCACGUUCUCCAUUCUCUUUAACAAAUUUCUCAAUCAGCUACUGAAUCCUAUCACUUAAUAGAAUAAAAAAAAAUAUUAAAUAAAUAAAUAAAAGCCACCGAUAUUAAGCGCAAUGGAUGAAUUCAUUACCUCUUCUUUUGUAUUAUCCAUCUCUCCAAAGCUUUCAACUCCCUUUUUGGGAUUGGGACAUUUUCUUAAUUCUUUUAAAUUAAUUUUUAUAAAAUUUGGGGAGAUGUUUUUAAAUAUUUAUUAUUUUUUUUUCAAUCACUUUUAAUUUAUUAAGUUUGACAUCAAUUAUUGUUGGCUUCAACCUUACAAGGCUGGUUUGAAGCUUUUUCUGUCAGAUUGUUCGGUGAGAAUUAUUUGAUUAAUUGUGGCUUGCAGGUAAGAAUUUUUAUUAUUAUUUUUGUUCAUGUUUUUAAUUUAUUAGAUUUUAAUUCACAAUUUAUUAUAUAACAAGCGAAAAAGAGACGUCAAUUAGGAUAGAUUAAUUUUCUUGUUUAGUAUAUCGGCUUUCUGCUUUAAUUUAAUUGUAUUUUUUUUUAUUGAUAUGCGGGAAUCAAGAGCUUAGAAAGAAAAAAAAACUAUGAUAUUCAGCUUUCACAAGGAUUCAGUUGUUCAAUCCACAUUGAUUCUAUCUUUUAUCAACACCAAAAUAUCAUUAUCCUAGUGUGGUGUAACUCUGGGUGUAUUAUAUUUUAUUUAAGUAUUUGUCAGUGAUUCAUUGAUUGAUCCAUGUUGAUUUUAUCUUUUAGCCACACUAAAUCAUUGUAGUGGUGUCCUAUUGCUUUUGGUAUAUCAUUGGUAUUUGUAUAAAGUGCACAUGUAUUUGUUGAAAUUAUUUGUAAAAGAAUAUUAAUUUGUCAUUGAUUCAUUGAUUACUAAGUCAUUCUAUUAGUUGCACAUGUAUUUGUUGAAAUUAUCUAUAAAAGAAUAUUUGUCAUUAAUUCAUUGAUUACUAAGUCAUUGUGGUAGCACUGUGUAGCUUUUGGUGUAUUAUUUUGUAUUUGUUUAAGCUGCACAUGCAUUUGUUGAAAUUAUUUGUAAAAUAAUAUUUGUCAUUGAUUCAUUGGUUAUUAAGUCUUAGUAGUAGCUGCACAUGUAUUUGUUGAAAUUAUUUAUAAAAGAAUUAAUAUUUGUCGUUGAUUCAUUGAUUAUUAAGUCAUUGUAGUAGAAUUGUGUAACUUUUGGUGUAUUAUUUGUAUUUGUUUAAGCUGCACAUGUAUUUAUUGAAAUUAUUUGUGAAAGAAUAUUUGUCAUUGAUUCAUUCAUUACUAAGUCAUUGUAGUUGCAUUGUGUAGCUUUUGGUGAAUUAUUUGUAUUUGUUUAAGCUGCACAUGCAUUUGUUGAAAUUAUUUGUAAAAUAAUAUUUGUCAUUGAUUCAUUGGUUAUUAAGUCUUAGUAGUAGCUGCACAUGUAUUUGUUGAAAUUAUUUAUAAAAGAAUUAAUAUUUGUCGUUGAUUCAUUGAUUAUUAAGUCAUUGUAGUAGAAUUGUGUAACUUUUGGUGUAUUAUUUGUAUUUGUUUAAGCUGCACAUGUAUUUAUUGAAAUUAUUUGUGAAAGAAUAUUUGUCAUUGAUUCAUUCAUUACUAAGUCAUUGUAGUUGCAUUGUGUAGCUUUUGGUGAAUUAUUUGUAUUUGUUUAAGCUGCACAUGCAUUUGUUGAAAUUAUUUGUAAAAUAAUAUUUAUCAUUGAUUAUUAAGUCAUUGUAGUAGCACAUGUAUUUGUUGAAAAUAUUUAUAAAAGAAUAUUUGACCAUUGAUUCAUUGACUUUUUUUUUCUUAGAAGCUAUUAAAAAAUCAGCUUUAACUAUAUAUUUGUCUAUUAGUUCAUUAUUUUUUUGAGACAAUUAAUAAAAUGAUCAUUUUAACUACGAAGUCGAAUAAAAUGAAUUUCAACAAUCAUCAUUUUAGAAAUACUAAAAUUCAAUUAGAAAUAUAAUUUAUUCCAACUAAUACGACAUAUUUUCGAUUGCAUAAUCAAUUAGAACUAAUAUUUUUUCUAUUGUAAUUUAUUUUUUUUCGAUUGUGUUUGCCCCUGAAAAAUAGUGUAUUUUAACGAUAAUUAAUUAGUUGAAAUUGAUAUUGCAAAUACAACCACUAGAGAAAAUCGAAAACGAUAAAGUGGUUAUAAAUAUCAGUCGUUAGUCGCAUGUUCAUAUUAAUUUUCAAUCUAUAUUUAUAUAUUUAUUAUGGUUAAUUUCGCUCGAAAUAAGCAUAUUUACGACUGCUGUUUGAAAAAAGUAUAUUUUUAACCUGGGUAUUAGCGACUGCCAGCGAUUGUCUGUGGCCAUUGUAAAAAUACAUUUUUCAACAGCAUGACACUUAUUUCAACAGCAGUCAUAAAAAAACAUGCUUUUCUUGUAAUGGGCGGAACCACAUGCAUGUCUAAGGACUAAGGCCACCCCAAAUUUUAAAUAACUUUUAAAAUGUCAUUUUGGAAUGGGGUGAGAUGUAAAUACGUUGAGAAAUUACCAAUAUCGACUAUACAAUAUUUUGAGAACACAUGUACACGUAUGACUAUUUAAUUUAAUCUAUUAAAUGGAUAUGAUUUCCUCACAAAAUUAAAUGGUGGAUGAUUUUGGAGAGAUGAAAGAAUCGUAAAAUUCCCUUUUAAUGUAUAAUUGAGUUACAUGAUAUAAGAUAUCAAUUAUUUUAUAUAUUUUUUCAUAUAUUUUAACAUUCAAUAUAUUUAUGUUAUUUUGGUUGCAAUAUUUUUAUUUUUAUUUUUGGAGUUUAAAUUGUUGGAUCUUUAAUCUAGCAUUAUUGGAUUAUUAAUCCAACGUUGAACUUAAUCUAGUAUAAGGGUCAGUCUAAUGAAAAGUGAUCUAUUAAGAUUUUCGGUAAUAUAGACUUUAAUGUAUCUGAUAUGGUGUGAGACUUUAAUGUGUAGAGACUUACGGGUAAUUUUUAUUCUUAUGAUGAGCUAAAAUAAAAAUAACUAAAGACAACAAGAAAAAUGAUCUAUAUAAGUGGUCAUGGUCUCCAGGUGUCACGUAUAAUUCCAUUCUUUCUGACAUCCCAUCAUCAGAGAGAGAGUAUAGAAAAAUUUAAAGAAUUCUAUAGGAGAACAUAUUCAUCUGAAAGAUAAACCACAUAACUCUAGAGAGCAAUUAUUCAUUAUGGAUUCAUGUACACUUCCACAUAUUUUGUUAUUGAUUCGUGAACCUUUAAUGUGUGGAGACUUACAGGUAAUUUUUAUUCUUAUGAUGAGCUAAAAUAAAAAUAACUAAAGACAACAAGAAAAAUGAUCUAUAUAAGUGGUCAUGGUCUCCAGGUGUCACGUAUAAUUCCAUUCUUUCUGACAUCCCAUCAUCAGAGAGAGAGUAUAGAAAAAUUUAAAGAAUUCUAUAGGAGAACAUAUUCAUCUGAAAGAUAAACCACAUAACUCUAGAGAGCAAUUAUUCAUUAUGGAUUCAUGUACACUUCCACAUAUUUUGUUAUUGAUUCGUGAACCUUUAAUGUGUGGAGACUUACAGGUAAUUUUUAUUCUUAUGAUGAGCUAAAAUAAAAAUAACUAAAGACAACAAGAAAAAUGAUCUAUAUAAGUGGUCCCAUUUAUUGUUAUUAUUGAAGCAAAGAAGACUCAAACACAGGUACUUUUCUAUUUAUAUGUGUACACUAAAACCUCUCUCAUAAUUUGUACGUUACCAACAUGGAAAUUGGCAUUGUCUCAAGAGAAGUUGUGAGGCCAUCUUCACUCCAUGUUCAUCUUUUAAAACCAUUCAAAAUUUCUCUUUUAGAUCAACUCACUCCCACAACUUUUGCUCCACUCGUCCUCUUUUACCCCACAUGAAAAGUACACAUCUAAAGGGUACCCAAAUCUCAACUCAGCUCAAGGAGUCACUCUCAAAAACCCUAGAACACUUUUACCCUUUGGCCGGAAGAGUGAGAGACAAUCUCAUAAUCAACGAUUAUGAUGAGGGAGUUCUAUACAUUGAAACCCGAGUGAACACUCACUUGUUUGAGUUUCUUCAAAACCGUCCAAUGGAACUACUGAACCAAUGUCUCCCAUACCCUCCAUUUAGUCACCAACCAAAUCCACAUCAAGUUCCCCAAGUAGCUGUGCAAUUGAACACAUUUGAUUGUGGUGGCAUAGCACUUGGCUUGUGCUUCUCACAUAAGAUCAUUGAUGGUGGCAGGCACAGCAAGUGCUUUCCUCAGAAGUUGGGCUGCAAAUACUCGUGGAGGUUACCAUAAAGCAGUGAAGUACGAAAACUUAUCUCAGGCAUCAAUGAUUUUCCCUCCUCAAAACCCUUCGCCGAAUCAUCAGUUAUCCGUAAUGGAAAAGAAUUGGUUCAGAGAAGCCAAGUACAAGACAAGAAGAUUCGUGUUUGACGCGAAGGCCAUAGCAACCCUAAGGUCUGAAUGCAAAGGCGAACGUGUCCCUAAUCCAACGCGCACUGAAGCAUUGUCAGCAUUCAUACUGAAGUCGACCAUGCUAGCUUUAAGACCGACAGCAAGUUCACGAUUUGUAUUGCAUCAAGCGGUGAACCUUCGAAGACUAACAGAACCAAGGUUAUCGACCUGUUCUGUUGGGAACCUGUUUCUGUGGGCAACCGCAGCUUAUGACAUGGAGCAUGCAGCGGAAAUGGGGCUGCAUGGAUUGGUGGCACGUAUGAGGCAAGGUGUGGGGAAAAUCAAUAGUGAGUACUUGAAAACAUUACAUGGUGAUGAAGGGUUUCCAAAAGUGUGUGAGUAUAUAAAGAGAAUGGAAGAGGUUUCUGCCCACGAAAAUUUAGAAGCCUUGAAAUUUUCCAGUUGGGUCAAAUUUGGUUUAAAUGAAGUUGAUUUUGGAUGGGGGAAUCCAAUUUGGAGCGGCAUUUUUGGAGAAGUUGGCUCUAAUUCUUUCCAAAAUUUGACAUUUUUUAAGGAAACAGGAAGUGUUAUUUAUGAUAAUGCAGUGGAGGCAUGGGUGACGUUAGAUGAAAAAAUAAUGUCUGUAUUGGAGCAUGAUCCUCAGUUUUUGGCCUUGGCUUCGCCUAAUCCGAGCAUUAUUGUUUGACGUUUGUCGAUUCUGAAUUUUUUAUGUUCCUGAUGAAUCAUGAUGGAUGAUACUGGCUAGCUAGUGGCAACUACUAAGCAAUUGAUGUCGAUGGUAGAUCUUGAAGAUGGAAUGAAGUGCAUGCAUGUGCUGCGAUAAAAUAAAGGUCGAUCUUGUGAAAAAAUUAAAAAAAGGAUGAUCCCUGUUUUUUUAUUGAUUUUAAAAGUUACGGUAUAAAUUUAUGUAUUUGUUUUUCAGUAAAUAGAUCCAUAAGAAAAUUAAAAAAAAAAAAAAAAAGCUCGUGAAAUGUGAUGGUUUAAUUUUCAAAUAAAAAAAAAAAUUGGUUUGACCAGGCGCGAAAAUAGUAGGCCAACACAAAAGCAUAUAUAAAUAAUUCAACCCCAAGCUUGUGGUUGGUGGUUUUCAAGUAUAUGACAGGUACUUGGAUAAUGUUCAUAGGUACUAGUAGUUAAAAAUAAAAUAAAAUAAAAUAAAAUAAAAGGGUUGAACUGGCCUAAGCAUAUAUAAAUAAUUCAGCACCAAAGGUUGUGGUUGAGUGGCUUUCAAAUAUUGGGGAGAUGACGGAUAAAAAAAAUAAAUUUAGGCAUUGUUUAUGACUUAUGUGUGUGUAUAAGUAAUGAAUGGACAUUUGUUUUACCAAUCACUUUCAAAAUUACUAAAUACGGAUAGAAUAAAUUAAUAAAAGGAAAACCAUAAUCGGUGGACGGGACUAUUUUUAUACCAUGAAAUGUGCAUUGACAUCUUCCUAUACAAUCAUUUGAUAAGUUAAAAAAAAAAAUUUGUAAUCGACGCACACUUUAGCAUAUUAAAAUAUGCAUGCUUCAAUUAGAUCUCAUUAAAUCCCUAUUGUUACACAUUUAUUAUUUUAGAUUCAUGCACACAUAUGAAAAUAGUCAUGCCCACAUGUUUCCUCAUUGCAUUUAAAAAUUAGUGACUCUUCUACUACGAAAUGAGGACUUAUAUAGAUGAUGCUUAGAGCUCAAACCCUCACUAAAAUUCCCAGUUAAGUUAAAACAAAAUUUUAAGUGUGAGCAUAAGGGAAAUUGGGGGUUAGCAAGUUUUAACAUAUAACGUGUUCUUGUACCAUACAUUAAUGUUGUAGCAUAUGCUUUUGACAGUAAUUUUAGAAGUGAGAUAGAUAGAAUUGAGUUGUUUCUUAUUUUCAAUAGUAAGUAGCAGCAACGUCGUAAAAUUUUAUUCGAUUUAUAGUAAUCUCUCUUCCCACACAGUAUAAUGUUGUCUAUUUAAAAACUUUGAUCAUCCGUACGAUUUUAUUUUCGGAUCCAUCCAUCUGAAAUAUCAUAGAAGAAAGUACUCUACACGUAUACUAUUUAAUUAACUAGCAAUCAUUUGAUUCUAACUAGAGAUUGUUAGAUUCUAUCACCUCACUGUUGCAUGUUACAGCAUCAAAGCCCAACCCAACGUCAUCCCUGUCCCAUAUCCCACACCCUUUCGUCCCACACCCUUUCUUUAAAAGCUAUGCAAAUUCAUGCAAAAAUUAUAUCACACAAAAUUAUUAAUCAAAAGAGAAGCAAGAAAAACUUCCUCCAUCUUAGCCGCCGGUGCCAAGCAAAAAGAGAGCGCCUCUUGCAACUCCAAAACCUUCUCUCUUUUCCUUAGUAAUUUUAAAUUGAUUUUACCUAACUCUCAUCUCCUUUUAGCUUAAAAACCACACCCCAGUACUUCAUUUUAUUUGUCUUCACAAAUCUGCUCUUUUGAUCAAGAAACCUAACCUAACCUAACCAAACCCUCUUCUUAUGUUUUUAUAGAGAUCAGUUAGUUUACUUGUUUAUUUUUAUUUUUAUUUUUUUGGCUUUCAGGAAGGUAUUAGCUAAGUUUUUAAGCCACCAAUUUCCUUAACUGCAAAAUCUUUUCGGUUCAUUGGCUUUAUGCUUUGCUUUUUGAUCUUUCAUCUAAAGCAUCUCUACUUUAUUAUUUUCUUGGCAGUGUGGCGGUGGAGAUGAUGGGGGCUUUGUUCCUUAACUCCCUCUCAGUUGCACCAAAUAAAUUUGUCAAAGCCUUUGAGAACAAUUGUGACCUGUGCUUGCUGAGGAAGAAAAGAAGCAUAAUGCAUUGCCAAGGUGGUGGCAAAACGACACGGUCCAGCGGCGUUUCUCCGGCUUUGAAAGAGAGAUCAACGGUAACGGAUACAGCUGCUGGAAGCUUAGUUUUAUCUCCGAAUGGGAAAGGCCAUGCUGAGAUUGUUGUUCAAGAUUUGGUGCCUUUUGGUGGACAAGCCACUUCUUUGGUAGAGUUGCAAGAUGGAAUUGGCAUUGUCAAAUUUCUCAAAGCCAAAAAUUUUUUCGUUACUGGGGCAACUGGGUUUCUAGCAAAGGGUAUCAUUUUUUUUUUUUUCCGGAAACCUUGAUAGUACGAGAAAGUUUUAUUAUAAUUUACAUUUAUUUCUUUUUUUAAAAAAAAUUUUGCAGUGCUUAUAGAGAAGAUUUUACGAACGGUACCUGAUGUGGGCAAGAUCUUUGUGCUGAUCAAGGCAAAAAAUGAAGAGGCUGCAAUGGAGAGAUUGAAAAAUGAAGUAUUAUCUACCCUCUGAAUUAGCAUUUUGUAAUUAAUUAGGUUUUGCUAUGUGAUUAAUUAAUUUGUGCUGCAAAUUUAACUUAUGGUAGUGUUUAUAGAUUAUUAAUGCAGAGCUUUUCAAGUGUCUGAAGCAAACUUAUGGAAAAUCCUACCAAGCUUUCAUGUUAAGCAAGCUGGUUCCUGCGGUAGGAAACGUUUGUGAAAAUAAUCUUGGAUUAGAAGAAGAUUUAGCUGAUGUGAUUGCGAAAGAAGUUGACGUAAUUGUAAAUUCCGCGGCUAAUACAACUUUUGAUGAAAGGUGAUGGCCUUCAAUAUUAAUUUAUAACUAUCAUUAAGGCCAAUUUCAAGUAGUUAUAAAACUUUAUAGUGAUAGCAUGUCUGAUGAGUUUUUGAAAAUGCAUGCAGAUACGAUAUUGCUAUUGAUAUAAACACAAGGGGACCUUGCCGGCUAAUGGAGUUUGCAAAGCAAUGCAAUAAACUUAAGCUCUUUGUGCAAGUAUCAACAGGCAAGUACCAAAAUUAAAGCCAGUUUUGGAAAUUGGAAGCUUUUGAAAAUUGAAAAACUUUGGCUUGUUUAAUUUCUUCUUGAUAAAUUUUCUUGUCUUGUUAAGGUUGCUUAAAAAUUAAAAGUAAAAUUACAUAAUAAAAGCUAGAUUUGUCUUCUUUCGUGAACAGCAUACGUAAAUGGACAAAGACGAGGCAAAGUUAUGGAAAAGCCAUUUUGCAUGGGAGAUAGCAUAGCAAAAGAAAAUUUUGUCUCCAACUCUCGAAGGCUUAUACCAACUUUGGAUGUUGAAAAUGAAAUGAAGUUGGCUUUGGAAUCAAAAGAAUUCUCCACAGAUGGUGAAGUGGCUCAGAAAAUGAAAGAAUUGGGUUUAGAAAGGUGAAGUGAUCUACUUUUAUUUUAUUUUUCCUCUGUUUUGUCUUGUAAAACGGACUUUUUGUUUAAGCUUGCUCAAAUACCACGUGUAACGGGUGGAUAAAUCACUUGAUUAGGGCAAGAAAAUAUGGAUGGCAAGACACUUAUGUGUUCACGAAGGCUAUGGGAGAAAUGGUGAUUGAUAACAUGAGGGGAGACAUACCGGUUGUGAUAAUUCGACCAAGUGUUAUUGAGAGCACUUGCAAAGAACCAUUUUCCGGUUGGAUGGAAGGAAACAGGUGCAUUUAAUUUUAUCAACCAUUUUAAUUAAUUUAGAUUAAUUGCAUUUGGUCUGCCCAAAAAAAUGAAUAAAUAAAAGUAAUUAAUCCUCUCUCUGACUUUUAAAGGAUGAUGGAUCCAAUAAUUUUAUACUAUGGGAAAGGGCAGCUGACAGGAUUUUUGGUAGACCCAAAUGGGAUUCUUGACGUAGUAAGUAAAAUUUUAAUUAACCAUUGAUUAAUUAAUCUCUUGCUACGGUUUGGCUGUGUAGCAAUUAUUUUGCAAAUACAAGAAAACUUUGUGCUUUCAUGACAAAAUUAGCUGCUGCAGGUCCCGGCUGACAUGGUUGUUAACGCAACAUUGGCAGCAAUAGCACAGCACGGAAUGAUUCAAAAACCUGAUAUAAAUGUCUACCAAAUUGCUUCAUCUGUUGUGAAUCCACUAGUGUUUCAAGAUCUUGCAAGGCUGCUUCAUGAACACUACAGUGCUUCGCCGUGUGUGGACACGAAGGGCAGGCCAAUCCGUGUGCCAUCAAUGAAGCUCUUCAGCUCCAUGGAAGAUUUUUCAGCUCACCUCUGGAGAGAUGCUAUUCAGCGAAGUGGGCUGACAUCCACGGCUAAUUUGAACGGGAAGCUGCCUCAGAAACUUGAAACUAUUUGCAGAAAGUCAGUAGAGCAAGCGAAGCACUUGGCUGAUAUAUAUGAGCCAUACACCUUUUAUGGAGGAAGGUAAUUAGGCUCUCUCUAUUAGCAUGCACAAUGCAAUAUGUAUCGACCCCUUUUGACACUACUAGCUCCAGAUUCCUCCUUAAUUAGACUCGUCGUAAACUUUAAAACUACAUAUUAUUAUACGUCUAAAUCUAAAUUUAUAAACUAAGUUACGUAAAUUUGAAGCCAAUCUACUCACCGCAGCCUACAUCAGCCACAUUUUUCUUACUAACCAAGAAGUCAAGAAACCCAAAGAAAACAAAAAAUCAAUCUCUAUCUGAUGUUAAAUUGUAUUUAUGUUAUGAACCAAUAUUAAUUUAAAUGCAUGAUCAUCAAUAUUUUGGCAGAUUUGAUAACAGCAAUACAGAGAGAUUGAUGGAGAAAAUGUCCGAAGAAGAGAAGAGAAAGUUUGGAUUUGACGUGGGGAGCAUUGACUGGAAAGAAUACAUCACAAAUGUUCAUAUACCAGGCUUAAGGAGGCAUGUCAUGAAGGGAAGAGGAAUACACGUGUAGCUAAUAAAAUUAUAUGUGCUUCUUUGUUAAUUUUAAUUAUAUCCCGUGUUAGGGCUUUCAAGUAAUUAUAAUAAGUGAAUACUUUUUCUUUUUCUUUUUUUCUGUCUUGACUUUGUAAUAACUGAAUGCUUAAUCCUGCGUUUUCUUUUUUCUGUUCCAAAAUUAUAUAUAAAGGUAGGCAAGAAUUUGGGUGAAUUCAUGGUUAAUUAGAUGGACUAUGUUGCGUGGAAUUUAAGUUCCUUUCCUACGAUAAUUUCGGUGAUUGAUGGUUAUAUUUUUCGAUAAAUUUUCAGUCAUUUGUUUAGACCAUAUAUUUACAAUAGGAUCUUAUGUUCAGUUAAAUUUCUGAUCGUUCGUUUAAACCAUAUGUUUAUGAUUAACACAGACAAAUAGUAAAUAAUUAACAAAUAUUAAAACUAUUUAGUACUUUGGACGACAAUUAUUAUUUCAUGAAGUAAAAAGAAAAUCGAAAUGAGUCUAGCUUUGUGGCUAAUCUUCUAAUAAGACAAUUUUCUUUUUUUGGGAUAAUUUUAUUUAUGACUCUACAUAUCUAUGAAAUUGAUAUACAUGUAUAAUGAGAACUUGAUAUCUUUAAAAUUUUCUUAGUUUUUAUGGAAAUUAAAUGAACAGGUUUAGGUUGUUAAAUGAAAAGCACCUAUUCCAAAUAAUAUGCAAAAUCUAAAAGAAAUUUGUGACAGGGAAGAAAGAUUUCGUGAUCAAAGAGUGAACAAAAUUUUUAUUUUUCUUUUCCCCUAUUUAUAACGAUUUAUCAUUUAUCACUGCUAGCAGAUCAAUAACAUUACUGGUAUGUCGACAAGAGAUCGUUUCGGUUACCAAAGUGCUAAAACCAGAGGAAAACACGAGAAAACGCUUCUCAGUCACCAGAUGAACACCGCAAGCAGUUGCACUGAAAACCGAACCCUUGCGUUAAGAUAGCUUGACGAGCAUCACGAGCCAUACUUGCAUCGAUGUAGCAUAUCCGAAGUUCUUCCCCUGUGAAAUAAACAUAAAAUUAAGAUUAUGGCAUUGUUAUUAUUAUGUUGAAUAUUUUUGCAUGGUGGGAUUUGAGGAAUGAAAACGUUAAUCUUGAAUGCAUGCAUCUUCAUAGCUCUGCCUGCUAAUUUCCCUCGUUUUCUUUAACAAUGCUGUGAAAUUUUUAAUGUGAAAGCAACCUAUUCUUUUUCUUCAUUCUCAUUGGCUACUCAACAGAUGAAAAUUCAUUUCCCUAACAUGCAUGCUAUAGAAGUGACCUACAAGAGAUUUUAAUAUUGGGUAAGAAACCGGAAAAACAAAGAAACAUGAAAGCUGUGCGAUUGCUGGACAAACCUUCCUCAACAUCACGAAGGGCCAUCAAUCUUGCAUCUGCAUUGUCUAUCCACAUAAUAUGUGCAUUCGGAUCUGCAAUCCAAAUUCAGCUCAUUCAGUUCCUUUCUUAUUUUCUCUCUUCUUUUGGCACAAAAAUUCUGUUUGGCUUAUCCUAGCAUGUCAUCUAUUUCUAUGAACAUUUUAACAAUCACUAGAUCUGCACUUGAACCAGUUUUGGGCGAUCAUUGAAUUGUUAUUUCGCCAAUCCCCAUAGAUUCUUCCUUCCCCAAUAAUCUUAUAUUCUAUCUCCCUUUAAUUCUUUUUCUUCUCUUCCAAUUGUCCUAAUUUUUCUUCUAUUUUGUAGUCUACAUCAAUUGAUAUCUGAUCAUGCACUAUGUAAAUAAGGUUAAAUUGCACCUAGAACCUCAGAAGAGGAAAAAUAAAGUAAAACAGUUAAAAAGAAGAAGAGGAAAAACUAACCACAAUCGUGGUUAUAGAAGGAUGGAAGCAUAUAAAUUGCAUUCCCAACUGCAAUUUCAGAUUCUAUGGAGGCUGCAGCUGAUGAAAGAAGAUCUUCAUACAAUCCUCCAGCCAAUUCAAUACGAAACGCAUUGAUACGAAUUUGAGCCAGUACAUUAGUGUACCAUUGCUUGUUUAGAACUUGUAAUGUCAAAGAUCACUGUUCUCCCAAAAAACACUGGCAUAGAGCUAGAAAAAAGUAUAAGAUAACAAAAAAUAAUGAUAAUUGAUGUGGAGGAUACAUUUCAUCUGUUCAUCAUCUAUACCUGCCUUUUUAAAGGCACUCCUUAGCAUAACAAAACCCUCUUCCAUCUGAAAAUUCUCAUAAAAGUAAGAUGGCAUGCCGCAAAUUUAAAAUUUCACCAAAAGAAGAACAUAUAUGCACAAAAAUAAUGGCAAGGGAUGCUAAACCCCUAAUCAUCAUGGUCAUUAAUAGAUCAGCUCACUGAAUAUUUAUUAUCUAAUUAUUGCUUCUAUAACUAUGAAUAAUGCAUUUCCUUUGGUAGACAAGCAACAAUUAUUGUUUCUGUGAUCAAAUCACAUGCAGAAAUAAUAGGUUCUCAAGCUCCAAUUACUUGGUGCAACAAAGUAAUGAAUUGAUUUGAAUAGAAUUCAUGAUCUAACAGCUCUACCAACAAUUCUUUCUUAUUUCAAAAAUUUCUACAUCGGUCAUGAUCAAUAUUAAUAUAAGAUUCUUACCGCCAAAAUCAAUUCAGGGGAUAAACUAGCAGGUUGAAGUAUGUCAAUACAGUCAGCAGAUUCAGCUCCUGAUAUAAUCAUACAAGCCAACCGCUUCACCAGAAGAGGGUAUUUCAAUCCUUGACUCCUUUAUAGAAAAUGUAUUUAAAAUGAAAAAUUAAAGAAAUACAAUAUGAAAAUGAGAACAGACACUGAAAAGUGUUAAAAAUUACAACAAAUUUAGGAAAAUUUAGGAAAUCAUGUUGACAUGAAAACAUAAACUGCUGUUGGACUUCAGGAGACCACAUGUGUUGGUAAAUCAAUAGUCCCACAGAAAACUAAAAAUAGAAACACCACUAUCAUGUUCAAAAUAUUUCUAAUAGCAUUACUGCUCUUGCUGGCAAUAAACCCAUAAUAACUAUGAAAGGUAAUUCAAAUGGCUUAAAGGAAAAUCCUGCGUGUUUGCCCCUAACAAAAAAAACUUGAUGAGCUGCCAUCUAUUUAAAAUUUGCACCAUGUUAACAUGAUGCAUGAUACUAUAUACUCAAAAAUGCCAAUUAUUUUUAAGAAUUUAUCAUACUGUGUUAUUUUAUUCGUUUCAUUCCAUGUAGUGAUACCAACAGUUACUCAGGGAAAGCGAAUGAAGAAAAUACAAAUUCUGCUGUAACAAGUCUUAAUUAAUACCUUUAGAUGCACUGAACAUUGCUAAAAGAAUCUCAAAGUAGGACAAAAAGGAUAUGUACAAAUCUAAUAUGACACAAAUAUGAAAUGUAACUGAAUGCAAAAAAAGAAGAUAAAUCCCAUAAAAAAAUGAUGUAGACAAAAUGUAAUUGGGAAAAUCUAUCAACCUUCAAGCAAGUGAAAUUAAAAGAAUUUCAGAAACUCACAUACCGGCAAUAGUCAUUGAAAACAGACCAAUCCGCUCUCCUCUCAACAUCAUAAAAUGCCUGAGAAUAUGAGAAUAAAACAGAGAUUCUUUAAAAGGCAAAAAGGACUUAAAGUUCAAACCAAUUCAACUCACUGAAAGUAAGAGCUCUUAUAGCCAGCUUGUAUUCUUAAGCAAAUAAACUAUUGAAAUACUAAGGGGGACUUCAGCUACUACAACCUGCUGUAAAAUGGAAUCACUAACUAUCAAGUAUUAGUGCUUCGUCGUUGGUAAACAUUAGCUUUCACAGUUAAACAUAAGCAGAGGCGGAUGUAGUGUAGGACUAGUGGGGGCUCAAGCCCCCACUGAAAAAAAAAACUAUUUUUGUUUGAAAGAAAAAUUAAUAAAUUUUUAAAUAAUCCCUGUCAUAUUUUUAAAUAGUCCAAGUUUUUUCAGUUUUUACAACCACAGUAGAGAGAACAUUUUCAACAACGAAAUUUGUGAAGAAUGAACUUCAGAAUCGGAUGGGAGAUGAAUGGACAAAUAAUAAUUUGAUUGUUUAUGUAGAAAGAUGUAUUUAAUAGUAUUGAUAAUGAAUUUAUUGCACAACGUUUUCAGAAUAUGAAAUCGCGUAGAGAAUAAUUGUAACUGUGUUAUCAAAAAUUUUAUAUAUUCAAGUUUCAGUUUUUAUAUUUUAUUAUCAUUUAAUUUAGCCCCCGGUAAAUUAUUUUUCUAGAUCCGCCAUUGAACAAUAAGCACAACAAUUAUAAACAUACCCCAAUGAGCAACAAAAACUAAUAUGCACACUAGUAGUGUUGUCAUGAACAUAACUUGGAUUAUAUGACACUAUGUAUUCUGAGAAGUUCAUGCAAAAUGUUCAAGCUCUUCUCCUACUACCUUAGAUACUCUGUAAAGACAUACACUACCCUUGCAUAAAUUACAACACAGUAAAGCUUAGAUAAGGGUUUCACGCUAAUGAAUAAUGCCUUGACUCUACCAAAGCAUAAAGGAUUCACAAAUUGUAAUCUCAGCUAGCAACAGAUGGCAUUAAUAGCUAAAAGGGAAGAACUCUGUUCAUCCUUAUAAACAAUCUGUCAAAAAUCCCUCCACCAUUAUUUAUUUCUCAAAGCUUCACAACAUAAAUGUUAACAUUCUAUGGCACAAACUCUCCUUAGGCAAAACAUUACAGGGUUUAAUAGCAUAUGGGUCCCCGAUUUUUUAUGAAAUAGCAAUUAAGAACACAGAUUACAUUUUUUCCCAUGUAGUCCCUUGCCUUCAUACAAUGAUAAAAAUCCUAUAAUACAAUCAAGGCAUGUUUGGUUAUAGUAUUAAAGGGGUAUUAAAAUAUUGUUCACAUUAUCUUAAUAUCAAUAUCAUGUUUGGCAAAUUUUACAAGGGAUUAAGGGGUAUACUAAUACAGCAAACUGCCGCAUUAGGUAAACCUGACCGGGAGUCGAGAAAAGCUAGCAAACUGCCGCAUUAGCUUUUGUGCUUUUGCAUUUGCUGCUUCUUUUUUUUUUAUUACUUUUGCUUUUGCUUUUUUUUCAAUACUAAUAAAUAAUAUAACUUUUUAAUAUAAUAUAAUAUUUUCUUUUCUUUUAUUUUUAUAAUUUAUUGCACAACGUUUUCAGAAUAUGAAAUCGCGUAGAGAAUAAUUGUAACUGUGUUAUCAAAAAUUUUAUAUAUUCAAGUUUCAGUUUUUAUAUUUUAUUGUCAUUUAAUUUAGCCCCCGGUAAAUUAUUUUUCUAGAUCCGCCAUUGAACAAUAAGCACAACAAUUAUAAACAUACCCCAAUGAGCAACAAAAACUAAUAUGCACACUAGUAGUGUUGUCAUGAACAUAACUUGGAUUAUAUGACACUAUGUAUUCUGAGAAGUUCAUGCAAAAUGUUCAAGCUCUUCUCCUACUACCUUAGAUACUCUGUAAAGACAUACACUACCCUUGCAUAAAUUACAACACAGUAAAGCUUAGAUAAGGGUUUCACGCUAAUGAAUAAUGCCUUGACUCUACCAAAGCAUAAAGGAUUCACAAAUUGUAAUCUCAGCUAGCAACAGAUGGCAUUAAUAGCUAAAAGGGAAGAACUCUGUUCAUCCUUAUAAACAAUCUGUCAAAAAUCCCUCCACCAUUAUUUAUUUCUCAAAGCUUCACAACAUAAAUGUUAACAUUCUAUGGCACAAACUCUCCUUAGGCAAAACAUUACAGGGUUUAAUAGCAUAUGGGUCCCCGAUUUUUUAUGAAAUAGCAAUUAAGAACACAGAUUACAUUUUUUCCCAUGUAGUCCCUUGCCUUCAUACAAUGAUAAAAAUCCUAUAAUACAAUCAAGGCAUGUUUGGUUAUAGUAUUAAAGGGGUAUUAAAAUAUUGUUCACAUUAUCUUAAUAUCAAUAUCAUGUUUGGCAAAUUUUACAAGGGAUUAAGGGGUAUACUAAUACAGCAAACUGCCGCAUUAGGUAAACCUGACCGGGAGUCGAGAAAAGCUAGCAAACUGCCGCAUUAGCUUUUGUGCUUUUGCAUUUGCUGCUUCUUUUUUUUUUAUUACUUUUGCUUUUGCUUUUUUUUCAAUACUAAUAAAUAAUAUAACUUUUUAAUAUAAUAUAAUAUUUUCUUUUCUUUUAUUUUUAUAUCAUAAUUGUUAAUAUAAAUUAAUAAUUUAUUAUUCAUAUUUUAAUUUUUAUUAUAUUAAAAAUAUUACUAAAUAAUGUAUUAUUUAAUUAUAUAAUAAUUAAUAUAUCAAAUUGAUUAAUAAGUACUUAAAUAAUAUAUAAAAAUAAGAAUAUAACUUGAUAUUACAUUAUUUAAUUAUAUUAUAGUAAUUAAUAUAUAAAAAUUUAAUAUAACUAAUAAAAAUAUUUAUAUAUGAAUAAAUUUAAAUAAUAUUAAUUUAAAAUAAAUGUUAUGUUGUCGAUUAUAAGGCUAUAAGCUUCAAUCUUUAUGGAAAUUUUUUUAAUAUUUAUACUAAAAAAUAAUGUUAAAUUUCUAAAAUUUAAGACUUCUAUAUUUUGUAUUUUUUUAGGUACUAAUAAAUAUUAUUUUCUAAAUAUAUAAUUUAAGUUAAUCACAAAAAAAUUAAUACAGUACAGUGUAGCACCAAACAUUGUACAACAUUAUUAUAAUACAGUGCUAAUGCAAUACACCAUAAUACAAUACACAAAUAUUAAAAUAAUACAAUACAGCAUAAUACACUAUAGUGUGCCAAACGCACCCUCAGUGAUUUAACAUUAUACUCAUCAAAAUUUUGAAAAAGAAUUAAGUCCCCUUAAUAAACUCAUUUCAAGGUGUGACUGAAAAGCCAAUGAUGUUAAUCAGCCAGCAAAGACCCACAAGAAAAUUUUUCAAGUAAUGUCCUUACCUGUGACUUUGUCAAAACUUAGGGACCCAAACCUAAAACUUAAAAUCCAGUUAGUCAUAGAAGCAUAACUGCAAACAGGUGAUAGGUACAUCGUAAACCUCAAAAUCCAUGAAGAAUUUUUUUUAUUUUUUUUCCCCUGAAAGAAAGCCCAUUUUACCUUAGCGUUAUCUUUGCACACUUCACUGCAAAAGCGAGCAUUAUGAUGUUGAAAAUGCUGCGAACUCGAAGUAAUCUUUCUGAGACAAAAGUAACACACGCUGUUUAGUGUGGAAAGAGUCGGGUGAGUUAUGAUGGGCUUGGCGGUGUGGAUGAGAUCGCCGGCCCCGAUUCUCCGAGUGGCGAAGACGCCGCGACCGGCGGACUCGGUGAGCGCGACUUGGAUUGGCGGCGGCGAGGGUUGACUGGGUUUCCCAUUGUGCGUUGCGGCGGAGCAAAGCUGCCUCUUUUCUAAAUGAAGACUUUCGAGGCGGGAAAUCAGGCAACGGCUAUAACGGCGUAAGCACAUCUUCCAAAAGUAACAGACUUGUGGGAGAAAUGGAAUAAAUAAGAUCACAAAAUUAUGACCAAUAAAAUCAUACUGAGCGAGUCUGGGGGUUAGCAGUUGUACAUACUCAUUCAUGGAUUCAUGCUCCUCUUGAGGAAAAAAGUUACGUAAACAUGGCCAAAUGUAUCAAAAAAAUGCAAAGCAAAGGCUUAAAAAGUACCAAGGACUAACCAUUUUUCUAGUCUUUGGUAAUACCAAAAUCUUUGGUGCCAAAACAAAUAACAACUAGAAAGUAAUUACAGUAUAGAUUAUAUAUACACACAUAUAAAAAGAGCAAUCACCUAUCAAGUUAAUAAAAGGUAAAUGCCGUAACAAUUAGCGUCGUCAUCAAUUUGAUUCAAAUUCAUCGCCUUAUUAACACAUUUAAUAAUUUUCAUCAAUGUAAUGGUGAUCUCCAAUCAAGAUUUUCAUCAACCGGGUAACUAUCUUUCUGCACUUCUUUAGGAGGAAUGAAGCAAUCAAGUGACAAUCCGGCCACGUUAAAUGCAAGAUCAUCAAUGGUCCAAAUCUCCUCCAUCCUCGUGAUUGAAAGGCCUGCUUUCAGAUUAUCUCCAAAGCGUGUGAUGAUUACACUUGAUUGGCCCGAAUGAGCAAUCAUCACACCCUCGAUUGCCCUAUAAUCUUCAAUUUUAGUAGCCAUUGUGGUUUCCCAGUAAGUAGGCAGAGAUCCAGGUGAUUGAAUUCUUGUUAAGUACGAGUCCUCUAAGUACACUAGCAGCCCACUUCUUUGGCUGAAGUAACCAAAGAUUACAUGCUUGAUCAUCUCUGCCGUGCUGUCACUUCGAUCAGCUAAGUCCGUUUGAUUAGCAGCCAAUUUCAAGACAAAACAAUCAAUGUCGGAAAUUCGUUUCUCUCCCAUGUACUGUGCUGUAGAGAAUACAGAUGCUACUGCAAUAGGAUCCAGUCCCUACACACAUAAAUUAUUGUAUCUUCAGCACAACAUAGGGCCAUCUCAUAUCAGUAUUUGAAGUGAUGGGGGGGCCAGAAUUCGAACUAAUUGAUUCCAAGUUUGACAAAACAUAUAUGAAACAAGAUCUGGUGUCUUCGGAGAUUGGAUCUAGUUUCCAAUUAAAUUUGUGUGUGAGAAGAACAGAGGCAGCAAGUUGACAUCAGGAUGUAUAUAACUCUCAAGUGAAAUCCUUCUCAAUAUCCCACAUAAAAAAGAUAAAUAAACACUACUGAAAUUAUUUUGGGAUGCUAAAUUUAGAAUUUUUAUUGCACGACAACAUCCCAAAAAUGUUCGGUAUAAUCCCACAUCUACAAUCCGCAAAUGUUUCUAUCUAAAUCCUAGGUGGGCUAAAAAUAAAUUUAAGUGGCAAUAUAAUCUCAUAGCACUCUCCUGUCCAAGUCCAUUUUUAAGGGCGAGUUCUACAAGUAGGUAGGUAAACAAUCGGGCGUGUGGACUGUUCCAAUCCUGAAUCUCACAUGAACUAAAGUAGAAAUCUGAAUGGGUAUAUAAUCUCAUUGACAAUUCUUCAUACAAGCCUUCAUAAAUGAAAAAAUAAAAUAAAAAUAAAAAUCCAGAUCACAUUACUAUAUCUCACUCACAUGCCAAGAUCUGAGUUCGCCUGCAUGAUUCAUGUUACUCUAGAAAGUAGCUAAACGUGCUAUUGGUAAUUAUUUAUCCCAAGUGACAAGAAUUAAAAAAUGCAGAAGUACAAUUGUUCUAUCAAAAAACAAAAACCUGACAAAGAUACUUCAAAAAAAUAAUAAUUAACAUUUUAGAAAUAAACUAUCAAAGACUUGCCUGAAGAGCACGACGGAGAGGGCGGACGCUGCCUUUGGCAGCAUGUGAGCCGAGCCAUGGUGUGUGGCGCCAAGCAAAAUUACCAUCACUACCAGCUACGACUUUGUGGCCACCAACAACAAGCUCAAUGAGCCACUUGUUAGGAACCAUUUGCCACAUUACAAAGCAACCCUUUUCUGAAACCCCUCCGAGGGAGGCGCUGGCUCCGGCACCGGCAACGGGAACUGAGCCAGCUGAGCCGCCAAAAUCAUCCCCCAUGCCCAUUGUCACUUUCCCAGUGGCAAAAAUGUUCUUCACUCUCCCUUCUAAUUUCCUGCAACCCGUUGCUGCUGUGAAGUGUUGUAUGAUAUAUUGUGCUGAUGAACAUACCUGCGGUUACAACAAAUUAUUAAAUCUCUAAAAUUUAAGUGAUAAUGAAUUAUUGGAGCUCAUUUACUGUAACAUUACAAUUAAUAAUAUGUCGAAACUAAUAAUACUCAAAAUCUGAUCGAAUAGAAAGAAAUUUACCCACAAUGUGAAAUUAUUAAAUGCACAUAAUCAUUUAAUUUACCUCCACCCAAGAGUUGUUCUCAAUAAGUUGAGUGUUUGACAACUAAACAAAAUUUAUCAUCGAGAAUAAUUCUGGUGGAACUGUAAGUUAUAUUAUUGUGUAACUCAAUAAAAUCCAUUAAUUAAUUUUUUUUAUGAGUUACAUGAUUAUCUUUUUUAUUUGUAGGAAAGUAGCUUUUCAUUCAUUCAACGCUUUAAAUAAAUUCAGAAUUUCUGCUUGACAUUGAAUCCAGCCAAACAGUAAAUGUACUUCUUCCUAAAACAAAUUUAUCUAAGGAAUGGUCAUCAGCAUACAAAAUCCCGGGGUGUAUUGAACUUUAACAAUGAAUAAGUGAUACGAAGCUAUAAAGUUGGUUAAGUCAUUUAAUAAUGAAUAAGAGAUGCAAUUUUAACUAUUAUUUUUGGGGGGAUUUUAGGUAAAUACGAAGCUAUAAAGUUGGUAUAGUCAUUUAAUUUGAGUGAAACGAGAAUGAUGUAUAUAGUAAAUGACUUAAUCUACUUUCUAAAAAAACCUGAUCAAUAAAUACAACAAACUGACCCACAAAAGUUCUGGGCUUCGGUCUUUCCUUUUUUCAGUGGGAUACUGAUGGGGAUUUCAGAGCAUGUGCACAAAGUGGAAAAAAGCACUAGUUGAAUCAAGAAUAAUAAAGAUAAUAACAAUAUCUUUUUAGGUAUGAAAACACCCGCAUUUUUUUUUAUUAAUCUCUUUACCAAUAAUAAUAAGUAAAAAUAAAUAAUAAGCUCAAUGUAAAAUAAGAUCAAAAGAAUCCAUAACGUCGCACACGUUAAUGACCUCAAAAUGAUAAAAUCUGUGAUCCAUUUACACAACUAAUAAACAAUCAGUUUUUUUGCAGGAUGAUAUACGUACUUUGCAUAUCAAAUCGAAAAAUGCAAAUGUAUGUAUGUAUGUAUAGAUAUAUACGUACCUGGUUAAGGGGUUGCUUCGGAAGAAGGGGAACUGGGAAAAGAGGGCAACCAAGAACGCUUAAGAGGGUCUUGAGGUCAGAUUUCUUGUUGAUGAAAAAAACAAGAGACAAGUGAUUCUUGAGCCAGUGCUUCCACGAAAGUCCUUUCUUGGAAGAGUACUUCGUGUUGUUACUGCCGUUGCUGCUGUUGCUGUGUUGUUCUUCUUCAUUAAUGGGCUCUUCCGAUAAUGGAGCAAGCCGACUCAUUAUCAAAGAGCAGAACGAAAAAUACUACAGAGGCCGCAGGAUCAGCAGCAACAAAACGAGAGGAACGUUUACUUGCUCUCGCUCUACUUCUUAAAAUAGGGGAGUUUCUUUCUUUUUCUGUCUUUGGUUCGGUGCACUUCUUGUACACGCAGUUUUUGGGGCGCGUGAUUGGGCAAUGAUACCCUAGAGAAGUUCUUUUUAAUUUUAUUUUUUUUUAUUUUUUUACCACGAGGUAUCCUGGGGAGGGUCUCAACUGUGGGAGGCACUUUUAAGUCCGUAUUACAAUCCAGACUAGAAAGUCUCUGCUCGAACCGAGAAGCACAGGUUCUCCCAACAAAGGCGAUUUCCCUGCGACUCGAACUGGGAAGCAAAUCCAGUCAAAUCACUUAAGAGGACUCUAUUACCAAUGGAGUUAACACUUUAUUGGUACAUUAUUUAUAUUUAAAUAAGAAAAAAGGACCUAAGGUUUCCAUCUUACCAGGAAAAGUCAAAUGUAUAAUUCAUCUAUGGUUGUUUGUAAAGUAACUUAAAUGUUAAAUAUUUCUGUUUCAACACUAUGAAGUGAAUAAAGACUUUUACAGCAUUGUUAAGAGUAAGUCUACUGUUAAGGGUACGUUUGGAAUUGAGAUUUUAUAAUUUUUAAGUUACAGUUAUUAUAGAGAAAAAAUUUUAAUUAUAAAAUAAAAUUUUGUAAUAUAUAGUAAAUAUAAAUUUUAAAUAAUAAUUUUGAUAAAAUUAUUAAAGAUAUAAUAGAUUUUUUAUUAUACAAGUGAACAAUCAUAUCAACAUAUCUUCCAAAUUACAGCAGCUAAUGUUUAUCAAACACUUUAGUGUUAUAACUAAAAAAUAUAAUUGUCCAAUCUCAAUUCUAAACGCACCUUAAUUCACCUCUCUUUUAAUAAUCUUUUUUAUUAUUUUAAAUUUUCAAUCGACAAAAUUUUUAUUUAAUUCUAACGAGUAUGUUAGAAAUUAACAUAUAAGAUUAAUGAUGCAUGUGUGUAGUAGUAUUGAGUUCGAUGGACCACAAGAUGAUAUGAGACUGACAUAUCACAUCCAAACUCUUACUAAUUUUUCUAAUGGAAUAGAAGGCAUUAAGGAGAUAGGUUACCUAACACACGAACAUUAAAUUUAGGUUUAUGAUGUCUAAUAAUAAUAGUGAGAACUCAAGAAGAUUGCAAUUUAUUGAAAAAUAAUUACUUACUCAAAAGUCUAAAAAUUAAUUGAUUAAUUUUACAUAAAGAACUCAUCCGUGAGAUGGUCAAUGAGCAAAAAUAAAAUGUAGAGGAACUCAUAAAAUGUUCUCCCUUGUUUUCUUUUUAACUUAUUUUGGUGAAAGAAAAAGAUUUAGUUGGUUAACAAACAAGUCCAAUGAGAGAUCUUCCAGCAAAGCUAAAGAAAAUUACCAUAAUCAUUUAUUAGAUUAGAAAGGUGGGUGUGGUCCUUUCUACAUUCUAAACUAAUCAUCACAAUUUAGCAAACAAAAAUUAUGAUGUAAUGAAAAGUGAUCUACGCACCUAAUCUUUUUAAAUUUUAUAUUACAAAUUAACUUAAGAAUUUAUUAUAUCAAUUUUAGCUAUUCACAUGUUUUACUAGACGGGUCAUAUUUCUUUUCAAAUAUUUUUUUUAAAAAAAUCUUAUUUAAAAAGAUAAGCCUAACUUCAUGAUUUAUCAUCUUGACUAAUGAAUGGAUCUCUGAAAUAUGAUAAAAGGCGAAAAAGAGAGGUGGAAAAAUUAACAUGAAAAUGGCGCGUGAGGGGCAAUCAUAUCAACAUAUCUUCCAAAUUACAGCAGCUAAUGUUUAUCAAACACUUUAGUGUUAUAACUAAAAAAUAUAAUUGUCCAAUCUCAAUUCUAAACGCACCUUAAUUCACCUCUCUUUUAAUAAUCUUUUUUAUUAUUUUAAAUUUUCAAUCGACAAAAUUUUUAUUUAAUUCUAACGAGUAUGUUAGAAAUUAACAUAUAAGAUUAAUGAUGCAUGUGUGUAGUAGUAUUGAGUUCGAUGGACCACAAGAUGAUAUGAGACUGACAUAUCACAUCCAAACUCUUACUAAUUUUUCUAAUGGAAUAGAAGGCAUUAAGGAGAUAGGUUACCUAACACACGAACAUUAAAUUUAGGUUUAUGAUGUCUAAUAAUAAUAGUGAGAACUCAAGAAGAUUGCAAUUUAUUGAAAAAUAAUUACUUACUCAAAAGUCUAAAAAUUAAUUGAUUAAUUUUACAUAAAGAACUCAUCCGUGAGAUGGUCAAUGAGCAAAAAUAAAAUGUAGAGGAACUCAUAAAAUGUUCUCCCUUGUUUUCUUUUUAACUUAUUUUGGUGAAAGAAAAAGAUUUAGUUGGUUAACAAACAAGUCCAAUGAGAGAUCUUCCAGCAAAGCUAAAGAAAAUUACCAUAAUCAUUUAUUAGAUUAGAAAGGUGGGUGUGGUCCUUUCUACAUUCUAAACUAAUCAUCACAAUUUAGCAAACAAAAAUUAUGAUGUAAUGAAAAGUGAUCUACGCACCUAAUCUUUUUAAAUUUUAUAUUACAAAUUAACUUAAGAAUUUAUUAUAUCAAUUUUAGCUAUUCACAUGUUUUACUAGACGGGUCAUAUUUCUUUUCAAAUAUUUUUUUUAAAAAAAUCUUAUUUAAAAAGAUAAGCCUAACUUCAUGAUUUAUCAUCUUGACUAAUGAAUGGAUCUCUGAAAUAUGAUAAAAGGCGAAAAAGAGAGGUGGAAAAAUUAACAUGAAAAUGGCGCGUGAGGGGCAAACAAAGAAGAAAUUGUGGGUUUUACAAAGAGAGGGAGCUUUUAAGGAAGGCAAUGCUGGUGACGUGUCCGCAUCGUUUUCCUAUUCGCAAUUAUGAUUUUACUGGUAAGUCUGGUACGAAUUUACAAACUUUUGUUUGUUGCUUUCAAUUGCUUUAGCCACUUCUUUUGAAAAUGCAGCUAUGAAUUCUAUAAAUCAUAAAUGGUAUUUGUGUAAAACAAAAAGGCCAAAAAAACAACAACAAAAUUAUUUAGGGAAAUUUACACAAAUAGCCAUUAAAAUUUUACAUUUUUCACUUAUAACCCUACUAACUUAUUUCUAUCAAUAUUAGCCAAAACUAAAAUUUCAAGACCAAAGUGCCCUCUCCAUCUCUCCCCCAACUCCACCUCUUUCACGUGAGAUCUCCAAGAGGCAAAACGGCGGCAGCUUCAACCAUCACCGGCGACGGCUUCACACACCAUCAACAUAAGUAAGCCAUUUUAUUUAUAUUUGAUUAAUUAAGAAUGAAAUUUGAGAAUAACAAUGGUGGUGGUAGUGCUUGUAAUGGUGGUUGUGGAUUUUGGGAGUGUGUUGUUUUGUAACGGAGAUUUUUUGUGCGAAGGGUGCGUGAUUGUGCAGUGGGAUUGGGCUGCAACGCCAUGGGUGCAGCACCCAUCGCGCGAGCUGCAGCAAGCAUCGCGAUGGUUGCUGCAGCUCGUGCAAUGCUUGCUGCACCCAUUCCCAUUGCGCGAGUUUGUCCGUCGCACAAAAGUGCCUAUCGCAAAAAAUUUUGUGCGACAGUGUGCCCGUCGUACAAAAACUCACAACACACGUUCUGAAUUUUUGUGCAACGGGUGCCCGUCGCAAACAUUUUUGUGCGACAGUGUGCCCGUCGCACAAAAACUCACAACACAUGUUCUAAGUUUUUGUGCGACGGGUGCCCGUCGCAAAAAUAUUUGUGCGACAGUGUGCCCAUCGCACAAAAAAUUUUGUGCGACGGGUGCCGGUCGCACAAAUUUUUGUGCGACGGCCACCCGUUGCACCNNNNNNNNNNNNNNNNNNNNNNNNNNNNNNNNNNNNNNNNNNNNNNNNNNNNNNNUUUGUGCGACAGUGUGCCCAUCGCACAAAAAUUCAGAUUUUUUUUCAAGAGUAUUUGAUCUUAAUUUUUGUACAACCGGUGCCCCUUGCACCAAAGUUUGUGCGACGGGUGGCCGUCGGCUUUAAAUUCAAGCAUGUUGCUGAAAGAAAAGACUAUUUUUUUGUGCGAUAAGUGGCCGUCGCAAAAAUAUUUGUGCGACGGGCACUCAUCGCACAAAAAUUCAGAUUGUGUGUGAUAAAAAAAUGCAGCAAUAGAUUGUCGUAUAAAAAUAUAGAUUACACCCAAGGCCGUUUUUACUUUGUAGAUACCUUAUUUAUUUUAAAUUAUUAAUAUUAUUAUUCUAUAAAUAACACAAUAAUGAAUAAAAUUUCAAUUGUCUCAGGUAGAUGGCGAAAACUAAGUUGGCAAAGCGCAAUCCGCCUGAACCUGGGAAGGAGUCGGGCGUGAUGAAGUUAUAUUUUGAUGAUCAUUUCCCGGGUCGUAUUUCAGAGACGUCAAAACAGAGACAAUAUCCAAAUGCCAUGUCUCAACGUGUCACGCAUACAGAUACGUUUUUUUGGGUAAUGAUCUUACAGAACUUGUAAUUAACCUCUCAAUUUCUUAUCUUGUAAUAGCAUGUUGAUAUUGAUACUCUCCUGUUAUUUUUCUUUGAAUAUAUCUUCUAGGUCUUUUUGAAGCAAUUAUGGAACGAUGGUGACUGUGACCUUAAUUCAUUACAAUAUAGCUACAACUUUAAUAGUUAUAUUGAUGGACGAGAAGAAAUCAUGUCGAAACGUUUCACAGACGUCGAUAUGGUUAGAAUAGCUACGCAAUUCAAGAUGGUUUAUAUUUUUUUUAAUAUCUUAAACAUAACAAUUAACUUGCAUUAAUUAAUGUAUGUAGGUUUUCAUUCCCGUGAAUCUGGGCGGCGAUCAUUGGAUAGUAGCUUGAGUCGACCUUCGCAAGAAAAAUGUGUGGAUUUAUGACUCGUUGGUGGCAAUUCGUGAUGAUAAAACGUACAAGGAUAAGUUCAAGCCACUUGAAGUCGUCUUCCCUCGAUGGUUAGAAGAUGUCGGAUUUUACAACGUCCGACAUGACUUGCGGAAUGCCAACCCUUGGAAUGUCAAAAUAUGUAAGGGUGUGCCGCAACAAGAGCCUGGUAGUGGCGAUUGUGUCGUUUUUAUGUUGAUGAUCACGAUGUAUUUAAUGUUUGGGCUAAGACUUAAUUUUACUAGUGGCCACGGGCAAUACUUUAGGAAGAAAAUUGCUGUAGACAUAUUUAAUGGUGAUAUCGGCCUUUAGGAUAUUGUGGCGGUGAUAUAUAAUGAUGAAAUUGGAUUUUAGACGAUUGUAUUUAUAAUUAUUAUUGGUGUGUACAAAACUUUUUUUUUUACAUAUAAUUGAAAUAAAAAAUUUGCAAUAUAAUAGAAAUUAAAUAGGUUGUUAUAUAUAAUGGUGCAAUAAAUAAAAAUCAGAUCUCAAAAUACAUAACAAUUUAAAACGAUACAAUUAGCUUCGUGUCGACGCAAUGAGAGUUUUGCACUUUUUUCGGUUAUGACCCAUUUCGUUGCACCGGCCACAUCUUAUAGUUCUCCUGUCAACAUCCUCACCAACAGAGGGUAUUCUGAGCUCUGGACGAUGGCCGGGCAGUGGUGCUUCUAUUGGUGGGUUAACUUUCAUUGCUGGAAUUUCCUCAGGAACCUCCCAAUCUGCCAUGNNNNNNNNNNNNNNNNNNNNNNNNNNNNNNNNNNNNNNNNNNNNNNNNNNNNNNNNNNNNNNNNNNNNNNNNNNNNNNNNNNNNNNNNNNNNNNNNNNNNNNNNNNNNNNNNNNNNNNNNNNNNNNNNNNNNNNNNNNNNNNNNNNNNNNNNNNNNNNNNNNNNNNNNNNNNNNNNNNNNNNNNNNNNNNNNNNNNNNNNNNNNNNNNNNNNNNNNNNNNNNNNNNNNNNNNNNNNNNNNNNNNNNNNNNNNNNACUCAGCCGUAAUUUUCCUAUCAUAAAACCAUUGCUGCAAUGUUUUCCUAAAGUGAUCAACAAGAUGAGUUAUAGGAAAUUUCCUCGGUUCCCUCAGUAAUGAAUUCACGCUCUCUGCAAUGUUGGUGGUUAGAAUACUGUACCUUCUACCUUCGAACUCAGACCUUGCCCAAUUACAUGUGCCAACAUUAUUCUCUAAGUAGUCAGCUGCACCUGCGUGGAGUUGCCACAACCCCUCUAGUUGUUUUUUAAAUUCUUCGUGUCCAUAUGUUUUCGCUGCGUUUAUGAAGGCAGGCUCAAAUUCAUCCCAAAGAGCUUUCGACAUCUUGAAUUUUGACUUAACGUUACCUUUGACAUGGUAAAAACAAACGCCAUGGACAGCUGAGCGAAAUACUUUUAAAACGGCUCUAUUGAUCGCGGUGCAUCGGUCUGAGAUAAAUACCAACUCCGGCAUAGAAAUUAAAUAGGUUGUUAUAUAUAAUGUUGCAAUAAAUAAAAAUCAGAUCUCAAAAUACAUAACAAUUUAAAACGAUACAAUUAGCUUCGUGUCGACGCAAUGGGAUUUUUGCACUUUUUUCGGUUAUGACCCACUUCGUUGCACCGGCCACAUCUUAUAGUUCUCCUGUCAACAUCCUCACCAACAGAGGGUAUUCUGAGCUCUGGACGAUGGCCGGGCAGUGGUGCUUCUAUUGGUGGGUUAACUUUCAUUGCUGGAAUUUCCUCAGGAACCUCCCAAUCUGCCAUGUCGCCAACAGGCUCUACUGGUUGUGCAUAAGCCGUCACUAAUGAUUCCUGAGUGUAAAAUUCGGAACAAAGACUUAUGUAAUCCACGCGCACGGUUAUGCAAGCAGCAAUUGCAUGUGCACAAACAAGCUGAUCAAGUUGGAACACUCUACAGGAGCAAGUCUUCUCACGAAUGUCAACUAUCCCUUCUUUAAUACCACCACCAAAAACAUGAAAUCGAUACUGAGCCAUAGGACGAACGGUCAUUCUUUCAGCCAAAGUUCUCCUAUCAGAGACUAUUUCGUCUGCCCACGUUGUUAGACGAGUACUCAUCAACUCAGCCGUAAUUUUCCUAUCAUAAAACCAUUGCUGCAAUGUUUUCCUAAAGUGAUCAACAAGAUGAGUUAUAGGAAAUUUCCUCGGUUCCCUCAGUAAUGAAUUCACGCUCUCUGCAAUGUUGGUGGUUAGAAUACUGUACCUUCUACCUUCGAACUCAGACNNNNNNNNNNNNNNNNNNNNNNNNNNNNNNNNNNNNNNNNNNNNNNNNNNNNNNNNNNNNNNNNNNNNNNNNNNNNNNNNNNNNNNNNNNNNNNNNNNNNNNNNNNNNNNNNNNNNNNNNNNNNNNNNNNNNNNNNNNNNNNNNNNNNNNNNNNNNNNNNNNNNNNNNNNNNNNNNNNNNNNNNNNNNNNNNNNNNNNNNNNNNNNNNNNNNNNNNNNNNNNNNNNNNNNNNNNNNNNNNNNNNNNNNNNNNNNNNNNNNNNNNNNNNNNNNNNNNNNNNNNNNNNNNNNNNNNNNNNNNNNNNNNNNNNNNNNNNNNNNNNNNNNNNNNNNNNNNNNNNNNNNNNNNNNNNNNNNNNNNNNNNNNNNNNNNNNNNNNNNNNNNNNNNNNNNNNNNNNNNNNNNNNNNNNNNNNNNNNNNNNNNNNNNNNNNNNNNNNNNNNNNNNNNNNNNNNNNNNNNNNNNNNNNNNNNNNNNNNNNNNNNNNNNNNNNNNNNNNNNNNNNNNNNNNNNNNNNNNNNNNNNNNNNNNNNNNNNNNNNNNNNNNNNNNNNNNNNNNNNNNNNNNNNNNNNNNNNNNNNNNNNNNNNNNNNNNNNNNNNNNNNNNNNNNNNNNNNNNNNNNNNNNNNNNNNNNNNNNNNNNNNNNNNNNNNNNNNNNNNNNNNNNNNNNNNNNNNNNNNNNNNNNNNNNNNNNNNNNNNNNNNNNNNNNNNNNNNNNNNNNNNNNNNNNNNNNNNNNNNNNNNNNNNNNNNNNNNNNNNNNNNNNNNNNNNNNNNNNNNNNNNNNNNNNNNNNNNNNNNNNNNNNNNNNNNNNNNNNNNNNNNNNNNNNNNNNNNNNNNNNNNNNNNNNNNNNNNNNNNNNNNNNNNNNNNNNNNNNNNNNNNNNNNNNNNNNNNNNNNNNNNNNNNNNNNNNNNNNNNNNNNNNNNNNNNNNNNNNNNNNNNNNNNNNNNNNNNNNNNNNNNNNNNNNNNNNNNNNNNNNNNNNNNNNNNNNNNNNNNNNNNNNNNNNNNNNNNNNNNNNNNNNNNNNNNNNNNNNNNNNNNNNNNNNNNNNNNNNNNNNNNNNNNNNNNNNNNNNNNNNNNNNNNNNNNNNNNNNNNNNNNNNNNNNNNNNNNNNNNNNNNNNNNNNNNNNNNNNNNNNNNNNNNNNNNNNNNNNNNNNNNNNNNNNNNNNNNNNNNNNNNNNNNNNNNNNNNNNNNNNNNNNNNNNNNNNNNNNNNNNNNNNNNNNNNNNNNNNNNNNNNNNNNNNNNNNNNNNNNNNNNNNNNNNNNNNNNNNNNNNNNNNNNNNNNNNNNNNNNNNNNNNNNNNNNNNNNNNNNNNNNNNNNNNNNNNNNNNNNNNNNNNNNNNNNNNNNNNNNNNNNNNNNNNNNNNNNNNNNNNNNNNNNNNNNNNNNNNNNNNNNNNNNNNNNNNNNNNNNNNNNNNNNNNNNNNNNNNNNNNNNNNNNNNNNNNNNNNNNNNNNNNNNNNNNNNNNNNNNNNNNNNNNNNNNNNNNNNNNNNNNNNNNNNNNNNNNNNNNNNNNNNNNNNNNNNNNNNNNNNNNNNNNNNNNNNNNNNNNNNNNNNNNNNNNNNNNNNNNNNNNNNNNNNNNNNNNNNNNNNNNNNNNNNNNNNNNNNNNNNNNNNNNNNNNNNNNNNNNNNNNNNNNNNNNNNNNNNNNNNNNNNNNNNNNNNNNNNNNNNNNNNNNNNNNNNNNNNNNNNNNNNNNNNNNNNNNNNNNNNNNNNNNNNNNNNNNNNNNNNNNNNNNNNNNNNNNNNNNNNNNNNNNNNNNNNNNNNNNNNNNNNNNNNNNNNNNNNNNNNNNNNNNNNNNNNNNNNNNNNNNNNNNNNNNNNNNNNNNNNNNNNNNNNNNNNNNNNNNNNNNNNNNNNNNNNNNNNNNNNNNNNNNNNNNNNNNNNNNNNNNNNNNNNNNNNNNNNNNNNNNNNNNNNNNNNNNNNNNNNNNNNNNNNNNNNNNNNNNNNNNNNNNNNNNNNNNNNNNNNNNNNNNNNNNNNNNNNNNNNNNNNNNNNNNNNNNNNNNNNNNNNNNNNNNNNNNNNNNNNNNNNNNNNNNNNNNNNNNNNNNNNNNNNNNNNNNNNNNNNNNNNNNNNNNNNNNNNNNNNNNNNNNNNNNNNNNNNNNNNNNNNNNNNNNNNNNNNNNNNNNNNNNNNNNNNNNNNNNNNNNNNNNNNNNNNNNNNNNNNNNNNNNNNNNNNNNNNNNNNNNNNNNNNNNNNNNNNNNNNNNNNNNNNNNNNNNNNNNNNNNNNNNNNNNNNNNNNNNNNNNNNNNNNNNNNNNNNNNNNNNNNNNNNNNNNNNNNNNNNNNNNNNNNNNNNNNNNNNNNNNNNNNNNNNNNNNNNNNNNNNNNNNNNNNNNNNNNNNNNNNNNNNNNNNNNNNNNNNNNNNNNNNNNNNNNNNNNNNNNNNNNNNNNNNNNNNNNNNNNNNNNNNNNNNNNNNNNNNNNNNNNNNNNNNNNNNNNNNNNNNNNNNNNNNNNNNNNNNNNNNNNNNNNNNNNNNNNNNNNNNNNNNNNNNNNNNNNNNNNNNNNNNNNNNNNNNNNNNNNNNNNNNNNNNNNNNNNNNNNNNNNNNNNNNNNNNNNNNNNNNNNNNNNNNNNNNNNNNNNNNNNNNNNNNNNNNNNNNNNNNNNNNNNNNNNNNNNNNNNNNNNNNNNNNNNNNNNNNNNNNNNNNNNNNNNNNNNNNNNNNNNNNNNNNNNNNNNNNNNNNAUAGGAAUGCAUCCGUAAUUUACCACAUCAGAGGCCAUAUGUAACACAACCUUGACUAUUUCAUCGUUAAAUAUGUCCAUAGGCAGUGAACAUGUACGAUACAUUGUAUUACUAGACCUCAAAGUUGUCUUCAUAGUGAUAUUGUAUUCAUUACGAUUUAUCUGUAACACAUCAUAAACUCUUGCCAGAAACUGAUCAAAUGUACAGUCUUUUCGAAUUAGAAAGGCUGUAUUAUUGCCAUUCACGUACUCCAUACUCCCAUCCGCCAACGUCUCCCACCAACCGUCAUAACACAGUUGAAGCACAACUGAAUCCAUUAAAUCUACAAAAUAUACAAAAAAUAUAACAAAUGUGGUUACACAUUGUGGGUUUGAUUUGUUUCGUUGCAAGCGUUGAAAUGAUAUAUUAUACACAAAAAAUGAAUUUAUUUAGCUGUAAUUAUGACCUCCAAAAAAUAACCUAAAUUUUGUGUAAUAUGAUUUUUUUGUACGACAGCAUCUGUUGCACAAAAUUUGGUGCGACGGGAACCUGUCGCACAAAAUUUCAGAUAGUGUAAUCAGAUUUUUUUGUGCGACAGAAAGGCAGUCGCACAAAAUUUGGUGCGACGGGAACCUGUCGCACAAAAUUUCAGAUUCUGUAAACCUGUUGCACAAAAUUUCAGAUUGUGUAAUAAGAUUUUUUGUGCGACAGAAAGGCAGUCGCACAAAAUUUGGUGCGACGGAAACCUGUUGCACAAAAUUUCAGAUUGUGUAAUAAGAUUUUUUGUGCGACAGAAAGGCAGUCGCACAAAAUUUGGUGCGACGGAAACCUGUUGCACAAAAUUUCAGAUUGUGUAAUAAGAUUUUUUGUGCGACAGAAAGGCAGUCGCACAAAAUUUGGUGCGACGGAAACCUGUUGCACAAAAUUUCAGAUUGUGUAAUAAGAUUUUUUGUGCGACAGAAAGGCAGUCGCACAAAAUUUGGUGCGACGGGAACCUGUCGCACAAAACUUUGUGCGACGGGACCCUGUCGCACAAAAAAUUUGAAUUUUCACAAAUUGGUCAACAGCCAUUGCAACGUAUUGCCUCCAACACAGUCCGACAAUAGACCACCAACCACCACAAACAUCAUCACAACAACACACAAUCACAACACAACACAAGAACAAUAUAAAGCAUGUGUUUGAAAUUGCUAACCUAGGGUUUUUGAACUUCAACUGUUAUCUUGUAGAUUUUGAUUGCUAUUAUACGUGAUUUUGGUGGAAUUAGUGUUGCUGAACGGGAUUCCGGUGAGAUUGCUGCCGAUGAUGGUCUCCGAUUUGGCUCUCUAUGGUGCUUCCGUUUGGUGAGAAGUGUAGGUGAGUUCAAGCUUUGGUGAGCUUUGGGUGAGAUUGCAAGGGUAUUAUGGUCCAAAAGUUUGUUGUUUGGCUAAUAUUGAUAGAAAUAAGUUAGUGGGGUUAAAAGUGAAAAAUACAAAAUUUUAAUGGCUAAUUUGUAAAAUUUCCCCCAUUAAAUCUAGAUGAGUAAUUACAUGAAUCAAUUGUGAUUAAUUGCACUUGAGGAGCCAUGAAUUUCAACAAUAGAUGUAAUUUGCGCUGUUAUUUUUCAAUAUCAUAUUAUAAUUUAUUGAUGUUUAUAAUUUAAAAUUAGUUAGAACCUUUACUUACUUAGAUAAUUACUAGCACUUAUAAAUUAAAAUCGAAAUUCAAGAAUUUGUUGGGACUUCCCCUAGUUAGCUCAAAAUGGACCAAACAUGGCUUCUAAAUGAUUGAAUGAAAAUUUUCUCCCUGAAUAUACAAACGGGACUUGAACCUCUUCAUAAAAGGUCUCGUAAUUUAAUCUUAUAUUUAUCUUUUUAUUUUUUUUAAUAUGAUAUAAACUACCAAGUAUAAAGAAAAUAAAGAAAUUAUCAACCAUAUAUCCUUAAAUGACACAAGUAUCAAACGUGCUACAACAUUUUUCGAGUGUAUCACUUGUAUACCCUAAGUUAACAAAACACUUCUGUCGUCCACCGAUCUGUUAACUACCGUUUGCGAGCAUUGACAUCAUAAGGGUAAUUUAGUCUUUUUUUUAAAAACGACAUGUCAUCCCAUUUAUCGGAUAAUUGUUAAUAAUUACUAAAAAAAACUACUUUACAACCGAAUCUACUCCUCCAAAUUUAACCUAAAUUAUUGAAGAUCUACUCCUCCAAGCAUCAUUAUUUUUUUAUGGUAUAAUAUGUAUAAUUAUAAAUAAUAUGUUGUUAAUAAUUUUUUAUGGUAUAAGAUGGAUAUUUUUUAUGGAUAAUUGUUAAUAAUAUAUACCAUUAAUAAUUCAUUUUUAAAAAAUUUAUUGUUAAUAACAAAAUAAAAAAAAAUUAUGUAUUGAAAAUUUACAUUAAUUUUCAAGGCAAAUUUAUUUUUUUACCUCAUUUUGAGUUUAAAGGGUAAAAUAGUUAUUUUGUUCAAAUUCUGUUAAGUUCUUAACAGUAGUAAACGGAAAGGUAGACGAUUAUAGUACAUUUGAUACCGGUGCAAUUAAGGGUAUACCGGUGAUAAUUUCCCAAGAAAAUAAACUUGUGGUAUAUUGACAUAUGAACGACCAUCUCGUCCUUCCAGAUCUAAGAUUCUCCAUUUUUCAGCAAGCAUAGACAUAAAAGGUCAAUUUUUGGUUAGACAAAAAUUGUCAGCAUUUACAGACUUGGGAAAGAAAAGAAGUAGUUCUUUAUAUGAAAAUUUCCAAGUAAAUUAAAUUAUGUUUUUCGAUAACGGUUUUCACAAAUAAAAACAUCUUAUUUUUAUCAGAACGUUAAAAUAAAUAUUGUAUGUCAAACGAAAAUAAUCUAUUAAUCUUCUUACACUAAAUUGUACAAAAAAAUUAUGCUAAUUUUUGUUUUAAAAAAAGAUUUUGCCGAUUAGGUGUAGUCAAAGAGUAGUAAUAUUCGAACAAUUAAAUUUUAUCUGAUUAUCUCCAUUUUUGAAUAAACUUCAUUUAUUCCCAAAAUCACCCUUUAUUGAAAAUUAAAUUUUAAACUUUUUUUUUCUCUCUCCAAGCAUCAUCAUACUUAUCUUCAUGACCUUAAAGCUUUUUUUUUUCCCGCUUUUACAUCGAAAACUAAUAAUCUCAAACAUUUUAAUCAGAAAAUACCCAUUAGAGUGGCUUUAAGAAUGUGAUUGACCUUAAGAAUCUGGCCUAUUGGUUUGUUAAAUCUCGUUUUCUAUAAAAUAAAAAAAAAUUAUUUCCUUUUCGGGUUGUUAAAGUUUGAUUUUUAAGAGUCUUCAUUGAUAAUGUUACACUGAAAUAUACUUUAAUCGGAAUUUAUGAAGUGAGUCCAAUCAAGAAUUUUGAGCACAUCUCUUCCAUCACCGGCCUCAUUUAAUUAAUGAACCAAGACUUUGUUUUGAUGUAAAGUAUACUUUCAAUUCAUAAUUGUCAUCUAAAUACUCUUCGAUUUCUAUAGCAAAAUAAAUUUGCUAGAUCAACAAAGUCAACUACAAGGGCUCAAGUUGCUGCUAAAUUUUAAUUAAAGAGAAAUUUCAAAACCAUUUACAAGGUAAUCGGUUAAAAUUCACAAUUUAGAGAAAAAAAAAAGAUAAAAAAUAAUAUUUUAAUUAUAAUUUUUAUUCUAUAAUAAGGUUAGUUUCAUAAAUGACUAUGAUUAAUUGAGAAAUGAGUGUUGGUAAGAUAAAUUAAGGCGAUCAAGUAUCAUUAUUCUUAGUCAAAUCCAAUAACAAGCUCACUAAAGUUUCAUUGGCCCACCUCAAAUGCUUUUAACACCGGUCAAGUGACUUUUAUCACGUUCACAUUCUGUGACAAAAAUAUCAAAAAUAUGGAAAGGACUAUCAAAUCCCACAUACAUUCAAUCCAUUCUUCUUCUUUUUUUUUUUUCUUUCAAAAUGCUUGUUAGCAACUAUUGUUUGUGCCAUGAGUGGUGAUCUUAAUAUGAAUAUGCAUAUGAUAAAACUUUCUAAUUUAAAGCUCUCUCGUGGUGUGAUAUACUUUUUACUCCUAAUACUCGACACAAGUGAAAUGUGAUGCGAGUCGUGAGAGGUAUGUUUGACUUGCAUUUAAUCUAAUUAUAGCACAAUUAGGGUAUGGUUUAAGUAUACUCUCACAAAUGUCGUAAGGAGAUUUUAACCUUUAGGUGAGAACCACCCCUUCAAAGAAUAAUUUUGAAACUUGCUAAUUUUAAUUGAACCGAAUUUUCUUUGGAAUUAGUAAGUACACUGAAAUUUACCACACAUUGAUUAUGAAACUAUGUAUAGAAACAUUUUCAAAAACUUCUUACGAACAUUUCACAUGCAGGGCUCUAAGCUUCACAUCUAAAUGGGUACAUUUUCCCAUGACAAUGCCAUAUGAAUUUUUUUUUUAAUACUGUUAUACAGGACUGUAUGUAUUACAAUUAAUAUUUACAAACAGAUUCUACAAUUGGGACCUUUUUCGUGGCAUGUACUCCUCUAAAGCGCUGUCUAAAUUCUUUAAACACUCUCAAAUAUUCGAGAGUUGUCCACUCUACUCACGAAAUCCUCUAAAGCGUUGUCUAAAUUCUUUAAACCCUCUCAAAUAUUUGAGGGUUGUCCACUUACUCACAUUUCAUGAGGAAUAGACUGGCUCCACUCAAUUAUUUGAUAAUUGAAGAAAGAUUGUAAAUAAGCCUCAUAAAUAUUUUUAUGGAGGCUCGAACCCUUACACUCAUUAUUCUAAGUGUAAGAAUUCUCCAACUGAACCAAAGGCUCAUUGGUCAAUGCCAUAUGAAGUUGAAUAACUUAGGAUGGUCCCGAAAGCAACCCCAUUUAAAAGGAAAGGAACAGAAACAUAGUCUAAUCUAAUGUCAAAGUUUAAUAAAAUGGACCCAUACCGAAGCCCAUAAAAACUGACCAAAAGAGUGUCAACAUUCCUGUGCUCAGAAUAAGCUUUCUCUUUCUCUUGUGCAUGCGUCGCGUUCUAUUUUCCUUUAAAACACAUUGAAUCUUUUGUGGGAAUGCACAUGCAAGCAAAUCACAUUUUUGUUUAAUAGGGAGAGGCUUGUAAUGUAAUGGACCACUUCAAUCCCAGGUCCAAAUUGCGAUAGCCCAGCAACAUUUACACCCAAGGCCACAAUUGUCGAGUGGCAUCAAGAAACAUUUUCAAUAAAGAUGUGGUUUCUGUUUCUUUCAUAUAACAUGAAAUUCUCGAAUGUUAUUUCUUAUUAUACAUCCGUGUCGUACUCAAACAUUAAAAAAAAAAUGAUUAUAAAUAUUCAUGUGGCUCUAUACCUUUACCAAUGCUGUUUGGCCUUAUUGCAUGAAUCUCGACCCCCACUAAAUUUCUUUUUAUCUUUUUCUUUAUGUCACGAUGUGAUCCACCUCGCACGGUCACACUACACGUACGCAAUCUUAUCCUCAUCCCAUGGAGAAAAAAAGAAAAAGAAAAAAAAAAACAAUCAUUCACUCAACCUGUCUAUUUAUUUCUCGUCAUUGAUUGAAUUUGAUUGGUUAGUAGUAAUAUUAUAUUAUAUUAUAUAAAACCAAAUGAUGCUAUGUCAGUGUCACGCAUAUAUUAUUAAUUCUUAGUAGUAAUCUUUGUUGUUUUCCACGGUGACUAGCUCAGUAUGAGUCGUCGUUUCUUGUACACUUUGUCAUGAUUGAAAUUUACAACAUUUGAUAAACCCAAACGGAAAAAAAGAAAAAGAUUUCUAGAAGAAAAUACAAACUUCAUUCACAUCCCACAAAAUACAAAAUUAAUAUAUAACCCCACAUUUAAUAUUUAUUUUUUUUUGAAAAAUAUAUGAUGGUUUAGAAAUGUAUUGAAGUCACUGUUUUUUCUACUAGCAAUAUCUGUGUUUUUAAAUUUUGAGAACAGUCGCGUACGACUUUGACUACGUUACUAUGUAACCAAAAUAAAUCCAACCUCCUGAUUAUAUAGUUAGAUAAGUAUGGACAUCUCGUUCAUAAAUCUAGCUGUGAAUAAUUAGAGGUGACAAAAUGAGUUAUGAUGCGAAUACACGAUAAGGAUACAACACGAAUUUUUGUUUUAUAUUAACAAAUAUUAACAUGAUUAAUAAAUAGAUUGACAUAAAUAACCAUGUCAUUUUUGUAUUGGAUCAUUUCAAUAUACUUACGUGUUUAGAACACAAAUAUUAAUUAAUAUGUGGUAAUAUUAUCGAAAGAUAUUAUUUGUAACAUAUUAUAAAUAUAUUCGUAUCAUAAACUUAUUUAUUGUCUAUUUUUGAGAAUCUGUCGAUAUAUUUAUUAUUAUUUAAUUUAAUUUAUAUUAAAUAUGUUAAACAAGUCGUUGACACCGACACCACUAAUAAACAUGAAGUCUCUAUAUUUUAAUAAUUAACACAAUUAAUAUAUGAAUUAAUGGAUAAGGCAUUGUACAAAUUGACGCCCCCCCUAUGGUGCAUAGCAUAUUGACUCGCCUUUUUUUAACAUUGUGUUGUUUGCGAUAUUUUGGUGCAAAAUUUUCCAAUUGGUGUUCACUUCGGAACCCAACUUGUCUACAACUGGAUAUAUAUUAACAUAUGCAAUGCAAGUGUAGCCAACGGUAAACAGGUAAACUGAGACCCCACGUGACGAAAGCAUCGACUUCAAUGAAUGGAUCAAUGAAGUAUGAACCUCUCACUUUCGAGCUUCCUGUCCGCCUCUUACAUUAUUUUCAUGCAAUUUGCACAUCAAUUAUCAUCAGUCAUAUCAGUCUCUUGAUUACCUCAGAAUAAUCAGCUUUCAGUCUGGAGAUAGACAUAAGCCGAUAGCGCUCCAAAAGUGCAAAGUCAAUGACGCUUUUGUGGCCCCAACUUGGCGCUCGUUAUUUGGCUUUUGUAUAAAUGAAUGGAUAAACAGCAGCCCAAAACACAAUUCGCUUCAAACACUGAUCAAAGCAGUACAAUGGCUGAGUUUGGAGAGUUGGUUCCCGGCUUGCCUGAAGAAAUUUCACUCGAGUGCUUGACUCGGUUGCACUACUCGACCCAUCGAGUUGCCACUCGAGUUUCUCGGCGCUGGCGACAGCUUAUUCAAAGCAGAGAUUUUUAUUAUCAGAGAAAGCAAUCGGGGAAGACCCACAAGGUCGCUUGCUUAGUUCAAUCGUUUCCCGUUCAUUCGGGAUCCGGCGAGCUGAAGCCGAUGGGUCUAAGCUACGGGGUAACGGUUUUUGACCCCGUGAGUCUAACCUGGGACCGACUCGGCCCGGUUCCCGAGUACCCAGCUGGGCUUCCUUUGUUUUGUCAAGUGGCGAGCUCGCAAGGGAAGCUUGUGGUGAUGGGUGGGUGGGACCCGGCGAGUUACAGCCCGGUGAGUCACGUGUUCGUUUACGAUUUCACGACUCGGAGGUGGACUCGGGGGAAGAACAUGCCUGAUAAUAGGUCCUUUUUUGCAGCUGGUGAAUUGAAUGGCCGAGUUAUUAUUGCUGGCGGCCAUGAUGAGAACAAAACCGCUUUGAGCUCGGCUUGGGCUUAUGAUUUAAUCAACGACGAGUGGACUGAGUUGGCCCGGAUGACGCAGGAGCGAGACGAGUGUGAGGCCGUCGUUAUUGGGUCCGAGUUUUGGGUGGUGAGUGGGUACAAAACGGAGAGGCAGGGGAUAUUUGAUGAAAGUGCUGAGUCGUAUCAUCUCGGGACGGGUGAGUGGACGCGAGCUGAGAACGCCUGGAAGCUGAGUCAGUGUCCGAGAUCGAAUGUUGGAGUGGGAAGAGAAGGGAAGUUGUUUUGUUGGGCCGAGACGGAGGCGGCGGUCCAGUUUGGGACUUGUAGGGUUGAGUUGGGUGGGUGCACUUUGGUUACUGGAUCGGGUUACCAAGGUGGGCCGCAGGAAUUUUAUGCGGUGGAAGGGCGAAAUGGUAAAUUCAGGAAGUUUGAUGUUCCUGCCGAGUACAAGGGUUUAGUUCAAUCUGGUUGCUGCGUGGAGAUAUAAUCUAGCAUUGAGUUUGAGUGCUUGAUUUUGUGUAAAAUACACUUUUUAAAGUUCUUAGGAUAAAGAGACUUGCUGAUUUUGUAAUUCGAAACAGUAUAUAUAUUCAAAUAUAGUUUUGAGUAUCGGCUCAAUACAGACUAAUACUCCCAUGCACUCAUUAACUAGUAACCUAGAGAUGGUAAUGGAGAGGUAAAAGGAGGGAUUUACAUUCCCGUACUCAUCUACCUAAAUAUUUUCUUAUUCCUAAAUAUUUUCCGAUUCCAAUUAGAAUUGUUGAGAGAAAGAAAUGAAGAUUUCUGAAUAACUGACAUGUUUUUUUUUUUUUAAAUUUAAUAAAAUUAAAUUAAUCUAAAAAAUAUAUAAAAUAAAAUAAAAAUGAUCAUGAAUAGAUCUUAUUUAAUUCUACUCCAUCAAAUUUUUAGAAUGUAUAAUAUUCAAAUAAUAUUUUUCAAACCAAAAUUUAAAUAAUGUAAUUUUUUUUAUACAACAUUAAAUGAGCGAUGCCCAUGCUUUUUGGGCACUAACUAAUUAACUAUGGCUUGACGAAUGCCCCGAGCCGAGUUUUAAUAGCCAACAAAGCAACUUGGCAAGUAUUUUGAAAAAAUAAGUGAAAACUGUAAAAAAAUAAACUUUAGAUUGUACUAUAUUAUGUUAAGGUCUUUAUAUUAACUAGUAUUUAUAUAAUUUGUAUAACUGUUGUACUGUUUGUUAUUUGCAGCACUAUUUAAAUUUUAUUUUUCAUUAGUAAUUUUUUAAAAAUAAAAAUAAUUUUUUUAUAAGAAAUAAAAUUAAAAUCAGAGAAAUAGAGAGAAAAUGAGAACUAUACCUCAUCCCUAUCACCGAAUAAAAAUUUAAGUAAAAAAACAUCUCUACCUCUUUCCCAAAUAAAAAAUCAGACAUAAAGUAAUCCUCAUACUCUCUCCGACUGGAAAAAUCCCCCAAAGGCUCCUCUCUUUGUAAGGAAUUAUGCCAUCCCUAAUAGCAACAUUCUGUCAUAUUUAAUUCAUAAUUAUUGGGUAGAGAAGCAUUUACUAUAUCUUAACACAUUUAAGUAUGUACCAUGUCCAACAUUAUGCAGAAGCACGAACUAUAAACGAACCCUAGAUCAAAUACUUUCAAAAUCUUGGCUACAAUUGAUAUGUCCUGCAAAUAAAUUUUGCAAUAAUGCUCAUGUAAAAUAUAGUACUUGACUGGCUAAAAUCCCGAAUGGGCCAUUUAUAAGCCAGAGAAACUUUCAUGUAGCAGUCAUUUAAAACUCCGCCAACACUUAUAAGGAUUUCCAGGAUCAAACAGUAAUUCCAUAACAAAGUCAUAAACAGGAAAAGGUCUUAGUUUAUUAUCAUCACUAAAGCAACAUAAACUAAUCAUAUCCCAACCCUCAAGCAUAGAGAUGUCAUAUCAGCUCAUCUUGAGUAGUCCAGGCUACGACUCCUGCUUCUGCUCGGACUAUAGCUCCUAGACCCAUAAGGAGACCUUGAGUAAGAUCGCUCUCUGUACCUUCUGUAUCUAGGUGAAAUUGACCUGCAUUACCACAAGACAUCAUAAACAUUAACAGGUUCUUUCCAUCGCUUUAAUCCUACAUAACAGCUGAUAUGAAUUAGAAAUGCUACAUUAAAACAAUAUCAUAGGGGGACACGAAGUAACAACCUUGAGUCUCGCCCUCGCCUGGGAGGAGGAGAAUAAUAAUCUGGACUACGAGAAUAACCACGUGCAUAGUGUGGUGAUCGAGAAUAACGAGGUGGAGAUUGCCUCCGAUCGUAUGAUCGACUCCUAAGAGCAAUAAAUUCAAACAAUGCAUCUCAGCAAUUAAAAAAAAAAAAAAAAACACUGAUGUAUUCUGAGUUCUUGGCCUAGAAGUAACAACAUUCACAAAAAUAGUUCACAACUAAAAAUGAAGCAUUCACCUCUUGAACAAAAAAAAUAUAUAAGCAAGAAUUGCAGCUAAUCCAGCCAAAAACCACACUUACCUAAAACGUUCUCUUGCCCUCAUUUCUGAAGGUUUCUUCCUGUUUUCCUCGGCAAAUACAACAGUCAGUUCUCGGCCUAAAAGUAAAUAACCAUCCAUGUGGUAUUUGGCAUCUGCAGCAUCAGCUGGGUCUAUAUACUGGACAAACCCAAAACCACGUGGCUCCCUGAAGCAUUAAUAUUUAAGUUUCACAAAAAUGACAUGAAAUGCAUAAACAUCCUGUAAAGAAUGUAUUACUGAGUGCAACAAAUCAUUACAAGAUCCUUACUCCUAUUUCACAAUGGAAGUUUAGGAGAAUCACAAACCCAUACUUCAUAUAAUUCAAGUGAAAACAUAUGCGGCCGCUAACCUUGUGGGAGCCAAAAUUUUAACUGUUGAUAUUCUUCAAGACUUGAACUUCUUCACAAUGUAUUCAAACCCAACUCCCUUCUCAUCUUGAUGUACACUAAACCCAUCUUGAACAGUACUCUUAUUACUUGAAGGUGUCUUCAAAAGAGUACUCUUACUACUUCAUUGUUCUCUUCAACACAGUUCUCUAAUUACUUCAUUGGUGUCUUCAAAACUUUCAAUAAAAACAACCAAAUUCCCACAAACCAAUUAUAGUUCGUAAAGAAAAAACCCCACACAAAACACUCAGACUGGAUGUAGAAAGACAAGUCUGCAUUUCUAUUCAAUUGACUCAGUUAUAGGCAGAAAACUAGCACAUGCAUGAAAGCAGAGAUAAUUACCCAGUAUAAUAGUCUCGAGGCAAGUAGAUGUCCUUUAAACGACCAAAUUGCCCAAAGGGUCCACGAAGAUCUUCUGGUCUGCAAAUACUCUUAUAAGUUUUGGUGGAAAAAGCUAUACCAAAAAGAAGUAACAGGUAGAACAUCAAUUUCUAAAGAGUUUAAAUGAUUAAUAGUGAAAAGUUAAGCAAUAAUCUGGCCUUAUGUGCAAAGACACAUACAAACAUGUUAAGAAAAUAAAAAUUUAAAGAAAAAAAACCUCAACAACCUGCACAAUAAACUCAGCAAAUAGCACAUUACAAGCCCAACUACCAAUAUCAUCAGCUAGUUUUUGGUUUUGAAAGCACCAAAGUGACCCAAAAAAAAAAUUGUAUACAAAACAUAACAAAAAUGCCACGCCCAUCCCUGAAAAGCACACCAAUACUAGAAGCAUCUAAUGUUACUUAUGCUGCUGAAAAAUUUACAUUUCAGAAAAGCAACCAAGCACUAACCAUAUUAGAUAAUUAACUGAAUCAAUAAGGACAUACAGACCUACAAUCAUGGCGAAGGUUGCGAACCAGAAGACUAGUCGGGAGAUCUCUUCCACGACCGCCAUAGUGACCUCGAGGGCUGGGGCUGCGAUAUCGCCGGCCAUAGUCUCUUGGCGGCGAGGGACUGUAACUGUAGCUUCGACCCCUCAUUGGCACUCUAUGUCACAACCUACAAUCAGCCCAACAAAUUAACAUAACAAAUUCCUAAUUGCAGCAACCUCUGUGCUGGUGCAAGUAAGGCAACACCCACAAUUCAGAUGACAAGCAAUUAGAAUAAUUCCUUCACUCACAUCGACCAAAUGAUCCCACAAAUUAUUCAGUAAAAGUAAUUUCACAUACAACACACACACACACAUAUAUAUAUGUAUAUGUAUACAUAUAUAUGUGUGCGUGUGUUAUCAAGUUCACAAGCAAUAACAAUCACAUCAUAUAUAUAUGUAUAUGUAUACAUAUAUAAUGAUCCCACAAAUUAUUCAGUAAAAGUAAUUUCACAUACAACACACACACACACAUAUAUAUAUGUAUAUGUAUACAUAUAUAUGUGUGCGUGUGUUAUCAAGUUCACAAGCAAUAACAAUCACAUGGCACCACCAAAGGUAAAUGUAUAUAUUUCUUAUCUUCUUUCUUCCUUCCAAGGUCAUUAUAACUCCACAUUAAAGUUGAAACCCAAUGUUAUAACUUCUAGCAAAAAACCCAAAACUUUCACAAUCUCUACUAAAUAGCCCUAUUAUGCAAAUAUUAUUUCUAAUUUAUAUCACAAACUUAUCCUUAGGCUUUGGAUGAUCCCCAAUGCAUAAUCACAAGGAACUCCUAGAAAACUUCAUACUAUGCUGGAAAAUUAACCAUUAGGUGCAAAAGCAAUAAUCUACAAUCUAUAUUAUAAAGGGGAGAAAAAAAGGGCAUAAUGAUCAUCAAAACUUCCCAUUGCAUAAAAAUUAAAAAAAAAAAAUCAAAGCCCGUUAGUAUAAGUAUAUUACUGCAAAUCCAGAGAAAAAAGCAUCAAACUAAACCAAAUAAUAUGUAAUAAAUGAAAACAAAAUAUAGUAUCAGAUAUAAGUUUUCAAUUAAAAUUAACGAGUGUACAAAAUUUUAAUAAGUACAAAUAAAUCACAGAAUCGUCCAAACAGAUCGUCUUAUAGACAAGCAUAUAAAUUAAUCUCUAAAAAUUUUGAAUUUUCCACCGAUAAGAUCUCAAAACUAAAUAAUCAACGAAAUAUUAAAAUUAAGCAUUAAAAAAAACAAAAACAGAAAAGGCGAUAGAUAGCAAACCUCGGAAGGACGAAUCAGCGAAUCUGCUCCGAAAAUUUUUUGUGCUUCGCUUUUCUAAUUUCCUCGGUUAUUUAUUCGUCUCUCGAGCCUUCUAUACCUUCCAAUAUUCGAGAAGCUUCACUCCUUACACGCUUUUUCAAAAGAGUUCUUUUAUUUCACCGUGGAUGUGAAGUUUCGGAACUGAACUAACGGUCACGAUUUGCUUUUAUGGGCCCACGAACUUUAGUUUUUGACAAGGAAAGACUAUCGAAUUACCAACCCACUCCUCUUAUUCUAUGAGGCCCAUCAUCCAAGCCUGCAAUAUACAUUGGCCCACCAAUUUUAGUUGCUGAUGAGGAAAGACCAUAGAAUUACUGGCCCACUUCCUUUAUUCCAUGGAGGCCCAUCAUCCAAGCCUGCAAUAUACAUCGGGAUUUUAUCAUAGAGUUCCCUGAAAAUUUAUGUUUUAUUAAAAUAAAUGCAUAAGUUAAACAAAGUUUAAAACAAGUACAUUUGGCUCCCUUAAUUUAUACUAUUUUACGGGUCCUUGCUAAAAAAUUUAUGUCAAUGGAUACUAAUAAGAUCGUCUAAAUAUAUUUACGGAGAACUCUUAUAGUGAUUGCUUAAAAAAAACUAUAAAACUAAUAAAGAAAAAGCAAGGGAUCCAUACCCCCCCCUCCCAAAAAAAAAAGGUCAACAUUAAGGAUUGAUGUGGAAGAAAAAAAAAAAAGAACAUAAAGAAUAUCAUAAAAGUUAUGUCAACGGAUGGUAAUAAGAUUGUCUGCAUAUUUUUACAAAAAAACUUUUUCAGUGGUUCCUUAAAAGAUAAUUAACAAAGAAAAAGGGACCCACACGAAAAAACCAAAAUCAAGGAUCCAAAAAAAAGAGAGAGAGAUAAAUAAUAAUAUCAUAAAAAUGAUGUCCACACAAACUUUUUGAACAAAUUGACUAUCAUUUGAGUUUAUAUUAAUUGAGUGUAACAUACAGACUUCAACGUAAUUAAUGAAAAAUAAAUCACCAACUAAGGCUUGAAUUUCACAUCAACUAGUAUAAAUGGAAUAGUGUAUUCCUACGAGUCUUACUUACUAGGUCAAUUUUAAUUCUUUUUCCAGAUAGGUGAAAUUGAUGGAGCAUUCCUAAAAUAUAAAGUGAGGAGAUGCUUAUUAUUUACCACUCAACCAAUGGGUAGGGUUGGUAAUUUCGCCUUUUAUGUAUGACGUGUCGUAUAUUAUUUCAUCACAUUGUUGACACGUUGUCAAAGUCUAUAGAAUGUGAAUGACAAGCCGUUUAAAUAUUCAAAACAAAGAUGACAUGGCAUAAUAGUUUUCUUUCGGAAUAAAAAUUGUAUGAAAUGCGGUUAAAAAUUUAUAAUAUAGCUAAAUUCUUGUACGAGUAACAAUAUAGUUACAAACUCUUAUACAAUUUUUUUUUUCAAACUGAUGUUGAGUGAUUUAAUUGGUUGGAUUAUAUAUCUUUUGAUCCACAUGAUUUGUUUUUAUUAUUUUGUAUUUUUAUUCAACCAAUGAGUUAAUGCCAAAUCAAUUUGUACAAAAUAAGUUUAUUUAAGAGUUUGUAACUGUAUCAUCACUAUUCUUGUACAAACGACAUGAUUUGUUUAACACGUUGUUUAUAUUUCCAAAACAUAGGUGACAUGUUACAAAGUUUUUAUUCCAAAUAAAAUUUAUAUGACAUAAGUAUACCUUUGUCAUAAAGAUGACAUAUGUGUAACUUUUUCUUGAUGAUAUGUAGUAUGUUAAUUGAUUGAAUUAUUGAAAUAAAAUUAGUUUAAGUUUGACUAUUAUAAGUAUUAAUAAAUAACUAGCAUAUAAUAUUAAAUUAAUUAUAUAAAUAUUUUAAGGUAUUAUAUGUAUAAUAUUAUUUAAUUACAAGCAGUUAUACGAAUACUGUUGGUAGUUUAUAUGACAUUAAUAGAUUGGUUAAAAAGUGAAAGUUUCUAUUAAAAUAAUUAUGGGAACCUAUAAUACUUUUAUGUAAUCGAUCAAUUUACAUAAAAAGCUUGGUAAAUUAAUAGCAUUAAGGCCAUGAAAGUCUAUUAAUCUAUAUAUAUGCAUGUGUGAGUAUAUGUAUUAUGUUGUCUUACAUUAGUACUAAUUAGAGAUUUAUUUUUCUAUGUCAAAGAUUUUAAGAAGCAGCAAGCAACACUGAUAACAUAUUAUAUAAAAGCCACAUAAUAUAUGUGAAUUUAGUUUCAAUUUAGAUAAUUGUUAAAUUAUAUAGUUGGUGGGUCUUGUAGAAAAAUGAGGUUUUUUUUUUAAAAUACAUUAUCUUAUAAAUUUAUCAAAUUAAUAGAUUACAUUGGCCAAAGUUGGGCUUAUAAAAAAAUUAUCAAUUUAUCAAAAAUUCUACAAUACGUGGUCCAACUAAGUUUGGACAAAAGUGUUUGAUCAACCCAUAUUAAAAAAACUUACUAACAACCCGAUAUUGGAUCCAGCGACCUGUAUUACAACGGAAACAAGUUAGACCGAAAGCCCUAGCACUGCAAGGUACCCUCCGCUUUUUUCUUCUUAAACCUCUUAAACCCUUUUGCUUCUUCAUCUCACUAACUACGAAGUACGCUGCGAUCAAUCUGGAGACAAACAGAAACUAUUUAACUAGGGAUUCUCGGCUUCGUCAGUGAGUUAUUCUGGAAAAAUAUCAACAAAAUGGCAGCUUCUUCUAGGAAAUCACAGAAGAAAAGCUCCAAAGACGGUCCGAAAUUUAACAAAGCAUCAAAGAAUCAGUUUAAAAACUCAAAGAAGCAGAUAAACGACGCCGUCGAGGCUCAAGACCUCGCUUUGCCGCCUGACGACGAUGUCCCUGUCUUUCCCCGAGGUUCAAAUAUUUAAUCAAUUAAUUUUUUUUGGAAUUUAACUGCUGUUAUGGUUCAUAGGCAUAUCUUUUGGGGAAAAAAUGUGAACUUUUAUUUUAUUUCUUUAAUCAGAAUGAGCUAAUUGAGCAACUCUGUUGAAGUAAAGGGCAUUUCGGGUGCUAUUGUAGAGAGUACUUUCUAGAGAAGCACCUAUCUAAAAAUGCGUAUCCAGGAAGCUCUUUUAAGUGCUUAUGGGUAUAAAGCCCUCCUAUAAAAGCUCCUAUGAGUUUUGUAUUUUCGGAAGGCGACUCUACGUGCUUUUUUGAUACUAAGAAGCUCUUCUGUAUAGUAAAAAACUACAAAAGAUGCACCAUUACUAGUAUUGGAUGAACUUCAGUUUAAUCUGUUUGUGAUAAUAAUAAAUAUGUGUAUUUGCAGGCGGGGGACAUUCUUUGACUCAGAGAGAGCGGGAUGAAAUCCAUGCAGAAGUUGACGCCGAAUUUGAGGCAGCGGAGAGAGGCUUACAUAAGAAGAAUAAGAAGAAGAAGAAGACGGAGAGAAAGGCCAAUGAAACCGUUGAUGAUUUGGGUUCACUUUUUGGCGAUGGUAUUUCUGGAAAACUUCCUAGAUAUGCUAAUAAGAUUACUUUGAAGGUACGGAGCUGAAAACUAAGUUGUUUUUCAGACAAAAUCUAUUUGCCUUUUUUAUGAUUUUAUGAUAUGAUUUGCUUUAGUGGUAUUAAAAUUUCAUUUAGUGGAGAGACCUUUUUUUUUUUAAUGUAAAGUUACAGAUGAUUCCUAAUCUCUUAGUUUAUUGAUUAUUUAUGUAUCGAAAGGUGGUUGAAACAUUUUUUAUAUAAAGGGAAAGAGUAGAGUGACUUGUGUACUUAUUUGAAUGACUGUAUUAAAUAGGUUUGAGUUUCAGUGACAUCUUUGGAGUCCUUCCUGCAGUUACACUUUAAAAUGUUUUCCCCCACUUUUGAAAUUGUUAGAUAUGAGAGGUUAAAAUUUCCCCCCCUUGCUUAUGUUCAGUCUUAUAUUCAUCCUGUUUGUCAAGGGUAUGACCCUUUCCUAUAGUUCCUUCUGCAAUAAAUUUAUAGUUUGUUGAAAUUAAAGUUCCUUAACUGAAUAUGCUAACUAGUACACUUAAUAUUCUGAAACAAGCUUUUAAGAAAUGGAUGUGCAAAUUGUACUGUUAGGGUUGAGGCCAGCGCCUUUGUAUUCUUGCAAUGCCAACUGGAGUGGAAGUACUAAUUGGGGCCUCUAAAGAAAAGAAAUCAUUUUCUCUUCUUGCUUCAUUGUUCAAAGCUAUUUUAUGACAAAUUUAGUGCUGAUUGUUUUAUGAUGUCUUGGAACUGAAAUGCUUCCUAUUGUUUUGCUGAGUGCACACAGUUCUGGUCCUCGUCCGUGCAUUGCUUAUAUAUUUAUGGACUUGGAUGACUAUCUCUUAUGAUACGAAGGGCAUGCCUUAUUUCUAUCUGUGAAUCAUAAUCAUUUUGGAAUGAAUCUGGAGUUGAAUUUCUUAUGCUUUUUUCUUCUGGUGCUGUCAAACUUUCAGCCUUGCUCUGAGUAUUCUGUUAAUUUUCGUUAAGAAAGAAUUGAUAUACAAUAAUGUUAAUAUGUGGAUGAUCUUUUUUGUCCUUUGAGUCUUCACGUGUAGAUUGUGUUUUUAUUUAUUCUCCCACCUGAUUGAUCUUGUUUAAUUACAUUAGCAGAUAUCUUCAUUUUCAUACAUUUGAUGAUGUAUCUAAACUUCUAUUGCUUCUAUGUAUCCCCAGAAUAUUUCUGCGGGAAUGAAGCUUUGGGGAGUUGUUGCUGAAGUGAAUGAGAAAGACCUUGUAAUUUGUCUUCCAGGGGGCCUACGAGGAUUAGCUCGUGCCGCUGAUGCGCUUGAUCCUAUUUUAGAUAAUGAAAUUGAGGUAAUGUUUUAUUAUUAUUUUCAUUUUUUUAAAAAGUGUUCCCAAUGUUCUAUUUUCAUUAUAUUUUAUGUGAUUUACAGUUUAACAUUUUUGUUUCUUUACCAGGCCAAUGAAGACAAUCUCCUUCCGACGAUAUUCCACGUUGGACAGCUGGUAUCUUGCAUAGUUUUGCAGUUGGAUGAUGACAAGAAAGAGAUUGGGAAACGAAAAAUCUGGCUUUCUUUGCGUCUUUCUUUGUUGUACAAAGGUCUUAGCUUGGAAACUGUUCAGGAGGGGAUGGUAUGUCAGCUUGACCAUGAAAAAACUAUAUUUCCUAACAGUUUUAAAUGUUUAUUCUGAUGUUUGUAUUAUUAUUUAUCAUUGAAUUUUUUGAGAUUUUCACUUAAUAUGUGAUUGGAGGAGAACAACUAGAAUAAAACCUGAUUAUCUACUUGUAAUUUAGAAGAUAUUUUUUAUUGUUUGAUUUUGUGAUGGAUCAUUUUCCUCUAGACUGCAUCACUGGAAAAAACCCAAUAAGAGACACUGAGUGCUUGUCUGGUCCAUUUCAGGAUAUUCAUUAUUGAACAUUGUUUUCAAGUUUGUAUAUUGGCUUUUCAGUAGAUGCCAAAAGGCUGGUGUGGGUUCAUCCCUGAACCAGUUGAGAUUAACUCCUAAAUUAUCUUCCACUAGAGACUAGACAAGUUCUCUAACCUUCUUGACUCAGGUAGUUUUCAGUCAGUAGUGCAGCUUGCUUUGCUUCUUUAAAAGAUCUUUUGAAUAUGCACUACUGAAUUGGACCCUGGACAACAUAGAUGUCUUUUUAUGUGAUUUAUUAAAUUUCUGCUACAUAUUUCAGUCCAUGACUAAUGUGUAUGAUAUCAAUUACAAAUCUAAAACUGUCUUGAUACUUGUGCUGAUGUAAGUAUACAGUGGUUUUAUCGAGGAGAUAGAGUAAUCAAGCGUGCUGGUGCAAAUAUCAAUCACAUUGGAAAUUCAUUGUAGAUUUGAAUACCUUGAAAUUUUAUCUUACUGUGUCUGUUUACAGGUCCUCACUGCAUAUGUCAAGAGCAUUGAAGAUCAUGGCUACAUUCUUCAUUUUGGAUUGCCUUCUUUUACAGGGUUUUUGCCAAGAAACAACUUAGCUGGUAUGAUGACCAACUUGUGCCCUAUUUAGAUGGUUCAAAGGCUUUCAUAUUUUUAUAUACUCCCUUGUAAUUAAGAAACAAACUGAUGGUUAAAAGUCCCUGUUAGAAAAUUUAAUUGUAGCUUGCAAGUUUGUAUAAUGACUUUGUAUUCUUGUAAGUUAUCAAUUACACCAUUCUGCAGUUUGCCAUGUCCAGAAAGUAUUUUAGUUCUUUUUCAUGAUUGGAACUUCACCUUUAGAUAUUCUUAUUUGGUAUAUUUAACAGUUUUAAAAAAGAAAAGGCAAAACAAGAAGUAAAAGUCUCAUUUAGGUUCAGUCAUCUGGUUGUACAAUUGUGUUCAUUGAAAGAAGAAUUUAGAUCAUUCUAUGGUUUGCCUGAUCAGAUAGUAUUUACUUUUUCUUUUUCUUUCUUAUGUGAAUCUUGAACUUCAUUCUGAGUAAGUCUCAUUUAGGUUGGUCAUCUGCCAUAUGUUAUGUGUGUCUCUGCUGUUGUCAUGUGCCUGUAUGUCAUAUUCUUGGUUUACUAGUCACUUUUGCAAAUUCCUUGUUCAUUUGUUUCGUUACAUUUGGUUGUCUUUACAGAAAACAGUGGGAUUGAUGUGAAGCCAGGGCUACUUUUACAAGGGGUGGUUAGAAGCAUUGAUAGAACUCGUAAAGUGGUUUACCUGAGUUCUGAUCCAGAUACAGUGUCGAAAUGUGUUGUAUGUUUCUUCUUAUUUUAUUGGUUUUAUUAUCUCAUUGCCUUAAUUGUCUCCCACCGUUUUCCUCGAUUAUUAACAUUUUUUUUUUGGUUUUGCUCUUAUACAGACAAAGGAUCUUAAAGGUAUUUCAAUUGAUCUUCUAGUUCCAGGCAUGAUGGUCACUGCUCGCGUACAGUCAAUACUUGAAAAUGGAGUUAUGCUAUCGUUUCUUACAUACUUCACUGGAACUGUAAGUAUUUUCUGUGUUCUAAUCAUAUGACUUUGCCAUGUGUGUGAUUCCCUUUUUUUUUUUAAUCUUUUUCCUUUCUGCUUAUGCUUUCCUUAUUACUCCUUGCAGGUUGAUAUAUUUCAUUUACAAAAUACAUUCCCAACAACAAAUUGGAAGAAUGACUACAAUCAACAUAAGAAGGUCUUUGUUUGAGCUUGCAUCUUAAUUGAAAUUGAAAAUUUUCUGUUUUGCUGUUUCGAUUUUUAUGUUAAAAGUUUAUUUAUUUAUUUAUUUUUUAUUUGUCCUUUCUAGCUGUUGUUAAGCGGAUAAUUGCUCUACCAAACCUAAAUAUGCAUAUUUGGAAAUCUAUGGAACCAUAUAUGCAAAUUCUAAUGCAACAUAACAUGGUUUGACUUUGAUGAAGGAUACUGAAAUCUGUAAAAGCUUCUGUUUAGAAGCUAUGCUUUGGUGUUUUAUUGUAGAUCCAAGAUGGACAUUGCAAUCAAAAGGAUGCCUAGAAUUUAACUGGCAUUAUACGCUUGAAUUUGGCUUAUGAAAUAUUUCAAUUAUUUUUGCAAAAGUUUUAAUUCAAAGACAUAGGAUAUGAACAAUUAAAAUAUAUUUGGAUCGUUUUGCGGUGAGGUGCUGUUAUAUACUAAGGGCAUCACUGUAUUUUUCUUUAUUCAUGUGUACCUUCAGGUCUGGCAAAUUUUCAUAGAGCACAUUCUGAAAAAGUAAUUUAUGAGGGUCUUACUUGUGAUUUAGGUGUUGUACUCGUGUUUUCUUUAUGAUUAUACUGUGCAAUUGCAGAGGAUGAUAGGUUCUUUGCAGCAUUACCCUCUAGGUUGUGGUGAUUGUAGAUCUUUAUCUGCUCUCUAUUUAGUUUGUGCUGGAUAUGUUUCAAAAAACGUAAUUCGUGGCCAAUGUUCCGUGAGCUGCAUUUUUCUCCAAUUUUUGAUUUUUUUAAGACCUCAUUUCUUUUAUGUGUGUACCUCUUAUUUUGGUUCAGGUCAACGCUCGUAUAUUGUUCGUUGAUCCCACAAGCAGAGCAGUUGGUUUGACCUUGAAUCCUUAUCUUCUUCACAACAGAGCUCCUCCUUCUGUAAGUUGAUGCAUUAUUAUACAUAUUAUGCUUACAUUUUGGAUACUCAAGUCUCUGACUUGGAAUUAAUGCAGUGUAGCUUAGGUUUUGCUUUUCAGUAUCCUGUCUUAAUGGGCAGUUUCAACCCAUACUGGUGAUAUUGUCCUGUGCUAAAUUUCUUUUUUUACUUCAAAAUUGGGUUAUAGGAGCCAAUCCUGUCUGGGGCCUCUAGGCUCAAAAGAGUUUGGAUGAGUAGAAGGGGGUUUUUGGCAGGGGCUUUUUUUUUUGCAUUUUUUUUCCCUAUGAAUAUGUUCAUUUGCUUUUUUUGAUGGUGUUUGAUCGGAUAUCCAUAGGAUGGGCAUUUGAUAUCUUUGGUUAUCCGUUAGAUAUCAUAAUUGUUAAAUAGUAUACAUUAUUUCUAGAGAUUUCAAUAAGUAAUUAUUAUGAUAGAUACGUAUUUUGGUGAUGGCUUGCCUACCUGUAUAUUGAAUAAUCCUCGGCACACGGUUGGGUUUGUUUUGUUUUUUCCAAGUGCCCAUGUCUCUCUGCCUCUCUUAUCAUCCACCUCUUCCCUCCUGUAUCUCACACUCUAUUGGCAGUUUCCUUUGUUACCUUUGUUAUAUAGUUAUGUGAAUAAUAUCUUUGACAUGGACUAACUAUUUGUAUUUGCAUGCAGCAUGUUAAAGUUGGAGAUAUCUAUGACCAGUCAAAAGUGGUCAGGGUUGAUAGAGGGUUGGGCCUUCUGCUUGACAUCCCAUCAACCCCUGUGUCAACACCGGCAUACGUCACUGUAUGUUCACUUCAUGCUUUGCUUAUAGUUAAGGAUCAGUUCAGUAGCUAUGGUUUCUGCUUGCUUGUUUGUAACUUUUUUGUGUAUAAGGAUUUCAGAUAUCUGAUGUUGCUGAAGAGGAAGUAAGGAAGCUGGAAAAGAAGUACAAAGAAGGUAGCUAUGUUCGUGUCCGAAUUCUUGGAUUUAGGCACUUGGAGGGGCUUGCAACCGGGAUUCUGAAGGUGCAUUUUCACUUUACUGAUACAUGCUUAAAAAUGAAAUGCAUCUGUAAUAAGAAAUACAUUUUACUAUAUUCUGCUGGAGAGUUUUUAUCCUUCAAAAUGAUUUGGAAGGCUACCAUUCCCCUUAAAAUUCAAGUCUUCUUGUGGGCCUUGGCACAAGGAAAAUUAAAUUCUGGAGAAGUGAUGUAAAUAAAGUUUCCUAAUUUUUGUCUCUCUCCAUCUUGGUGUGUGACAUGCAAGAGAAGUGCAGAAACUUCAGAUAAUCUUUUCCUUCACUGUUUUACGGCCUCAAACUAUGGUAUAGGUUGUGCAGAGAAGCUAAUUUUUUGCACAUGAUUCUGGGUUACUGUGAUUCUCUUCUUAUGGAGAAUUUCUUUGCUUUUGGUAGAGGAACAAAGGCUAAAACUCUUUGGAAAUGUGCAGCGGCAGCACUGUUUUGGGUAAUAUGGGAUUAAAAAAAAUGUUCAUAUUAACAUUUGGUGGGUAGUUUUGGAAUUACAAUGGUGUCAGUAGAUUUAUUAAAAUUUUUAUUUUAUUUAUUUAUUUAUUUAUUUUAAUGUGGAAAAGUGUAGAUAAUGCUGAAGAACUGUUGGAUAGAGUUAAUCUUCUUGCUUUUCUUUGGGCUUCAAUUUCUAAGGAGUUUCAAGAUUCAUCCUAUUUCUUCACACAUCUAAAUUGGGAUGGGGUUUUGAGAUAGGGAGUUAUAACUAAUUCUAACCUUGUAUAGAGGUUAUUGGGUAUACUUUUGUAUAGCACAAAUAGUGCUAGUCUUUGUUUUCUGGUUGGACUGUUUUUUACAUCUUUAUUAAUAGAUUUUUGAGUUUCUUAUCAGGGGAAAAAAAUUCGCACCAUAAAUCUCAGCUUGAGGCCUCUAAGGGCAAUGAUUGUUGCUGAUCAUGGUAUAUACAUGAUCUCAUCUCCAACAAAGAGCAAUAUGCAAUUAAUUUUGAGCGGCAUCUCUAUUGUUAAUAUUGCUAGGAGUAUUUAAUGUCACUUCUUCAAUCUCUAUGAUGCUUGUAUGAGUUGAUUCAUUCUCAGAAAUGCUUUUGAUUCUGCCACUAGUUCUCAUUGUUGUUUAGUGCUCUUACUGUUUUUCAAUCAAGUAGGCCAGUGCUUUUGAAGGACUAGUGUUCACCCACUCUGAUGUCAAGCCAGGGAUGGUGGUGAAGGGUAAAGUUAUAGCUGUUGAUAGCUUUGGUGCUAUUGUGCAAUUUCCUGGUGGUGUGAAGGCACUCUGUCCGCUCCCACAUAUGUCCGAAUUUGAAAUUGUGAAGCCUGGAAAAAAAUUUAAGGUUAUUUUUCGCAAUAUGCACCUUUUGAAGUGGUUCAUCAUGCAGUUGGUUUUUUGGUUGCCAAUUCUUCUGAAUUAGGAGACAUACGUUUACUUUUCUUGCUUGUGUCAUGGUGCAGGUUGGAGCUGAACUGGUGUUCCGAGUGCUUGGUGUUAAAUCUAAGAGAAUUACUGUUACACAUAAGAAAACUCUUGUAUGUUCUCUCUUGGUUGCAAUUUCAUUUGGUUGCUUAUUUUUGCUUGGAUGAGUGCAUGAGAGCUUCAUAUGAAGCUGCUUCUGUGACUAGUUUAAAAGUUCUUGGUUAUCCAAGAAGACUUUUGUUUGGUUAUCCGCAAGUAAACAACAUUUGCUGUAAUGACUAACAUUAGUUAUUGGUUGAAGUUGAAAAUCUCCAACAUGUUCUUGGAAAACUCAGUCCAUUGUGUAUGUCUUUGGAUGGCUGAAAUCAAUUGUUGGUUGAAGUUCAAAAUCUCAAACUUAUUUUGAAGAGUUUUGGUCCAUUGAUGUACUUUUUUAACUUUUUGAGAGACGAUCCCACUCUACCCCACUCCGUUUACAAACACAAAUUGAAACUUAAUCCUUCCCCAAGGUUGAUGUGAGGAGGCUUAAUUAUUCCAACCUAUCUAAAAUUACCUAGGCUUUAAUAUGUUUGUUGAUAAGGAAUCUGCAUGUUUAUCAUUCAAGAAUUGAGGUUGGAGAAUUUGGAAGAUGGAUGCUUCAAGUAGAAUUUCUUGUGCAAUUUCAGUAUGGUUGGAAAGGAAAAAUCCUCCCCAAAAUACAAAUUUUUGCAUGGGUCCUUGAGAGGGUAAUCACGGAGAGAGAUCAUACAAAGAAAAUUUCCUAAUAUGUCUCCCUUCGUGGUGUAUCAUAUGUAGAUGAGAGGAUGGGACUAUUAACCAUCUCUUCUUUCCUUGCAACUCUGCUUCUCUCUUUGAAUACAUUUUUGAUGCUUUAUUCAAGGAAAAUUUUUUAUUUUUGGGAAGGCAAUGGCUUUAUGGAUGUGAUUCUUGCUUUGUUGUGGGUGAUUUGGCAAAAAAGAAAUAGCCAUAUCUUUGAAGGGAAAAGAGAGGAACACCAAUUCUUUAUGGAAUAAGUUCCCUUUAUUCUAUUCUUUGGGCCUUCCAAAAAACAUUUUUGAGACAAUUCUUUCAUUUUGAUUAAUUUCAAUUGAGAAGCGAUAGUGGUUUUUCAUUUUUAUUUUUAAUUUUCUUUUACUGAAAACUAGGUAUAUUAUAUUAAAGAAAAAAAAAUUGCAAAGUGGUUUUGGUUUGAUCUGUGUUUAGGGGAUAUAGAGAUUUUUUUCUAGACAGAUAUACUGUUUUAAGAUCUUAAAGUUAUUAGCUGUCAUUUUGAAUAGCUCUUAACUGGACUAUUUUUUGAUGUCCCUGUUGAUUUAUGGUGCACUGCUGCCCUUUAUAAUUAAUAAAAAUUUUCUGUUUGCUAGCAGAAAAGAGUAGUAAAAUCUUGUAAUUCCGAAAUCUACUUUGUGCUGUUCUUACGAUGUCUAUUUGAUGCUACUGCAACAUCAUUGAUAAAUGCUUUUGCAGGUGAAAUCAAAGCUUGCAAUUUUGAGUUCAUAUGCUGAAGCAACCGACGGAUUAAUAACACAUGGAUGGAUAACGAAGAUUGAAAAACACGGUUGCUUUGUCCGGUUCUACAAUGGAGUCCAAGGAUUUGCUCCGAGGCUAGUCUAAAACCAAUAUGCUUAUUUAUGACAUAUAAUGUUUACUGAUUGUAUGAGUUUUGUGAAAGGGGAUAGAAUAGGGAUUAACUUUAUCAAGUUAGGGUAAGAAAAGACUCUAAAAUCUGAUAGUUAUGAUAUAUGCAAAUACUAAGAAUUUGUGACGAGUAACUGUCUAGACGGCUGGCUUCUCAAUAAUCUGCUACGAAUGAGAAGUUGAGUGGUUAUUGCCUUAGUUCUUAGCAGGUAUGAUAAAGAGUUGAACUAAUGCAUUUGGACUGCUGCAAGAUCCUCUAUUGAUUUUGAGGUCAUAGCCUUAUGAGAAAUAACCCAGAAAAUAAUUAGUGUAACAAUACGUUUAGAAUGAGUUGAAUUCAGGAAAAGACUUAUGAUAAGAUAAUGCAUUUCUGGAAACAUAAUUUUUUCUGCCUCCUAUUAUUGGAUACUUACCAUUUUACUGGAACUAUAUACUCAUUCUACAUAUCUGUAUGCAUGAUGUGGUUGUAGGGUCUGACAGUAGCCCUUAAUUGGAUUCCAUUGAAUGAUUUCUAGGUAUGCCCGAAAAGUAAAUAAGUGUCAUUGUAUAAGAAGUUUUAGAUCCUAAUCACAUGACAAUAUGCAAAUUAUUGAUAAUUGAGAGAUCAGAAUUGCUGUAGAUACUGUUCUAUAUAGCAUUGAUUGAUUUUGGGUGGAUACCUGGCCCACUACUUAAGUGUAUUUGCUCCAUUAUUUAUUAAUAUAAAUACUCCCAGUUUCUUUUAUAAACAUGCAUAUAUGUACACAUACAUAUAUGUAUAAAUUGCUUAGGAUGUUUUCCACUUUCUCAUAUUUAUUACCAGGUGCUUGAACUUCAACAGGAAUUUUAUCUUCCAUUUUGCGCACUUCUAUUUUUUUUUAUUUUUUGGAUUUUAUCAUGAAUUAUGAUUGAUUAUUGUUGUCCAUUUGUACCAGAUCUGAACUUGGAUUAGAUCCAGGAUGUGAACCAAGUUCCAUGUAUCAUGUUGGGCAAGUCGUGAAAUGCAGAAUAAUGAGUUCCAUUCCUGCUUCACGGCGGAUCAACCUCAGUUUCAUGAUGAAGCCUACAAGGUUUGCUUCACUCUAAUCUAACUGAUUUGUAAACUUGAUGUAUGUGCAUCUUCUUCUGCUGGCUUUAAUGUAAAAACUUGCUAUUUUUGGGCCAGCAUGCAAUCACCAAUGACAUAGUAAUACUAAUAAUCUUCCAGCUAUAGCUAUUUUAAGUCAUUUUGCAGGACUGGCACAUGGCUAUUAGAAUGCAUUUGCCUUUAACCAUGUCAUAGGAACUGCUGUAAUUACAUAAUUUGAAACAAAAUAAUAAAAGCAUCAUGUCCAGCAGCUGUAUAUCUGUUGCUUUGAUUGAAAUGGUUGUCGAGAGGUUUUUAUCUUCAAAUUUUUGAACUGCAGCUUCUCCGUGUCUUGUAAAAUUCUCUUUCAUAUAAAGCUAUUUUCUUAUUUAUCGAAAUUUGAGUAACAGGGUUUCCGAAGAUGAUUUGGUCAAGUUGGGUAGCCUUGUUUCUGGAGUUGUUGAUGUGGUAACCCCAAAUGCAGUAGUUGUCUAUGUUAUCGCAAAAGGUUACUCAAAGGGUACAAUUCCUACUGAACAUUUGGCAGAUCACCUUGGUAAUACAUUUACUUUGCCAUCAUAUUGAAUUUUCGUUUUUCUUAUUAAAAAUUUUUUCUGUUAAAUGCUGCCUUUUUUAUGAUUUUUCUUUCAGUUAAUACUGCUUUUUCUUUGUAUUCCCUGACUUUAGUUUCUGUUUUGCAGAGCAUGCUACCGUGAUGAAGUCAGUCAUAAAGCCUGGAUAUGAGUUUGAUCAGCUGUUGGUCCUAGGUAAUAUAAUGCUAUUUCUUUCCUAUGCCUCUUCAUUAUUUUUACCCUAAGCAUCCUAAUAGUUCAGUAAAUUACAUUUUAUGAGAAACAAAAGUUUUUGAAAAAGUGCCCAAAUUGUUUUUAAAGGAGUGAAGAUACUUCUUAAAAAUCUAUGUUGCCAUACAUCAAGCUAUAAAAUCCCUUCUCAAAAUGCAUAUCUUGUUUCUCUUAAGAAUUUUACUAUCCAUCAAGCUCGAAUAAAGGCCUGGCACUCCCUUUUUUGCGUUAUGAACUUCUGCCAGUGCUCUUUCAGGUGCAUAUCUUGUUUCUCUUAUGAAUUUUGCUGUGUGAGGUUGCUGGUGGAAUCUGGUGAACACAGGUUUUAUGGUUUCAAAAGAAAGAGAAAGAAAAAAGUAUUGAGUACUGUGUUCUAUUUUUCUAAGAAUUCAAAAUCUGUUUACCAGCGAUAAGUAAAUAGAGAAUAAAAAAUAAUUCUCUAACCUUUUUUUGUUAUAGACAAUGAGAGCAGCAACUUGUUACUGUCUGCAAAAUAUUCUCUAAUCAACUCGGCUCAACAGCUUCCUUCUGAUGCCAGUCAUAUCCACCCUAAUUCAGUUGUCCAUGUAAGUGGUUAAGGCUUCCUACUUAUUAUGUGUUUUCUGAUCUUGUUUUGGAGAAAUCAUCCACUGUUACAAUGCCCUCUUGUUUUAGUGUUCCACCUUAUAUUUGCAAAUUUAUAAGUUUGUGUGAAUCAGGGGUAUGUUUGCAACAUAAUUGAAACUGGCUGCUUUGUUCGGUUUCUUGGGCGCUUGACGGGCUUUGCUCCUAGAAGCAAGGUAAUUUUCUCUCAUUUGGUUCUAUUAUGCUAGCUCUAAAUGUUAUUUUGAUUGAACUGUUUUAAUUUAGUCAAAUUUUCUAUCUGUUUUUUUCCCUUUCUUUUUAAGGCAGUGGAUGGCCAAAGAGCUGAUCUUUCAAAAACUUAUUACGUUGGGCAAUCUGUUCGCAGCAAUAUACUCGAUGUUGGUGAACUCUUUGCUCGUAGAUCUUUGUAUUUUACAACCUUUUGAGUGGUUCGGUAAUGAACUUCUAUCUUUUGUUUUCGUUUUCUCUUUCCAGGUCAAUAGUGAAACGGGUAGAAUAACACUGAGUUUAAAGCAGUCCUGCUGUUCUUCGACAGAUGCAUCCUUUAUGCAAGAGUACUUUCUGUUGGAAGAGAAGGUGAAAUCAUGGAAUAAUACUAAUUUGGUUUUGGAGAUCAGUUGGUGUUUAUAUGUGUUAUUUACCUACUCAUAGUUGUCCAAGUUGCUUUUGGAAAUUAAUGUUUGGUGUAUGUUAUGUUGUCAAAUUUAAGGGCCACAGUUCUUUUUUCCCUUUUGUCACAGUGUAGUAAACAUUUUGACAUUAUAAUUUUGUAUGUUUAAAGUUAUUUCAUUUAAACAUGGUUUUAGUUGUUUGGGCUGCUUUGUCAAUGCACUAAAAAGUUUUGUUUUGUGAUGAUUUAUUUAUGCAUGUCUUUUAAGUGCUUUUUUUUUUCAUUCCUUUUGGUACCCAAAAGUUGUUUGAUCUGUCUUGUUUUUUCAUGGACUUCUACCAAACUGGGGACUUCUGUUGGAUCCUAAAACCUUCUUAGUCAGGAAAUCUGCGAGAUAUGAUGUCAUUGGACGUUUGACUCUUGUUUGUGACCGAUGGUCUUAACUACUAACUUUUCCUUUGGGGUGAAGUUUUUGUUCAUCUCUUCAGCAGUGGCCUAUGGGCAUAGGUUUGUAAGACCAAAAGAGCGACCGAAAGGGGUUGGAUGCAUGCUGUAAGAAUAAACAAGUUAAUCCUAAAAAUAGGAAUUGUGGCUUUAUUCUGCUCAAAUAACCUUUAUAGUUUCUUAAGUUCUGCUCAAAUAACCAUGUUAUAGAUUUCAACUGGGUUUAUGUUAUCCACUGCUAGACUAAGUGAAUCAAUUCUUUGCUGCAAAUGUUUCUCACAUCCAAUGAGAAAAUGCUCAUUUUUAUCCUAUUGUACCAUUUUUUUUUUGAAUUUUUUGGUUCGGGCUUUAUUUUAAUUCAUUUUUUCCCAUCUACUUAUUGGCUGAAGUACAUAGCACAUUCAUUAUUUCUUUAAUUGGGAGUGAUUGUCUGGAUUCUUGUUUCUCUUUAGUUUUCUUAUAUCGCUGAUCUAGAUAUCACCUUUCAGUAAUGGUUUGUCUUCUGAUAGAUUAGUAUCAUAAUCAUGGCAAUGUUUAUUGAAUACAGAUUGCUAUGCUGCAAUCCUCGAAACAUAAUGGAUCAGAGUUAAAAUGGGUUGAAGGAUUUAUCAUUGGCAGUGUCAUUGAGGGAAAGGUUCAUGAGUCAAAUGAUUUUGGAGUUGUUGUCAGCUUUGAGGAACACAGUGAUGUUUAUGGAUUUAUUACUCAUCAUCAGUGUAAGUUUUUUUUCAUGUCUACUGAAUUUUCAUUAUCUUCAAUUCUAUAACUAUGAGUGGAAUAUGUCUUGCAGUAGCUGGAGCUACCGUGGAAAGUGGAUCUGUCAUUCAGGCUGCCAUUCUUGAUGUUGCCAAGGCAGAACGCCUUGUUGAUUUAUCGUUAAAAACGGUGUUCAUUGACAGAUUUAGGGAAGCAAAUUCUAACAGGCAGGCUCAGAAGAAGGUUUAACCCUAUUUCCAGCAUUCUCAAUUCAUAUUUCUAAUUAUGUGUAUCUGCUAAAAUUGUGGUAAAUAAUAGGAAAAAUGAGAAUAAUUUAUUGCGAAUGUUUCGUAUGUCAUAUUUAUUCAUCAUAGAGUAAGAAUUUUUUGUCAUUAAUUGUGCUUGUACUCUUGGCCUAAUUUGUACUAUCGAUGAUUUCAGAAACGCAAAAGAGAAGCUUCCAAGGACUUGGAAGUGCAUCAGACAGUAAAUGCAAUUGUGGAGAUUGUGAAAGAGAAUUACUUGGCAAGUGUUUACUUACUUUCUGUAGUGUGGUGAGACUAUCAUUUUUUGUGUAUUCUCACAAUUGUUUUCUUUGAAACCAGGUUCUUUCGUUGCCAGAGUAUAACUAUUCUAUAGGAUAUGCAUCUGUGUCAGAUUAUAACACACAAAAGUUCCCUCAGAAACAAUUUCUGAAUGGACAAAGGUAACUAAUUUGAUGAUUUUUCUCCCUUCCCCAGCUGCAUCCCCACCCCGUACACAAACACAUUUUAAAUAAUUUCCCCUCCAAGGUUGGAGUGAUGGGGAUUAGCUCACUUGGUCUUUUGCUUGCACCCCAUACACAGAAAUGAUUUGUUUCGUUUGAAGUUUAUAGAUGUAUCAUUGCUUUGCUCCUGGCCUAAUUGUGGAUCUUUUACUAGUGGGCUUGAACAUGAAACUUCUAUUUUGUGCAGUGUCAUUGCUACAGUUAUGGCUCUUCCAAGCUCUUCAACUGCUGGGAGAUUACUUUUACUUCUUAAAGCUAUUAGUGAGACUGAGACAUCCAGUUCCAAAAGGGCAAAAAAGAAGUCUAGCUAUGAUGUUGGAUCUUUAGUUCAGGCAGAGGUGGAUAGUCUAAAAAAUAUUGUGACUUGUCUUAUCUUAUUUCUUUCAUAUAUAAUUAUAUAUAGUCUGUCUUUGAGUUUGGUACUCAUUUUAUCAAAAUGAGGGUUCCUUACUGGAAAGUUUCUAUAUAUAUAUAUAUACAGCAAUUUCAAAAUAAGGGAUCCCUUAUUAGAAGGGGACUCUCUCUCUCUCUCUUUCUCUCUCUCUAUAUAUAUAUGUAUAUAUAUAUAUAUAAAUAUAAUCCAUGAAGCACACUUAUUUGAGUAUUAUAUGUCUUUUGUUCCUUCAGAUCACUGAAAUUAAGCCCUUGGAGCUAAGAUUGAAAUUUGGAAUUGGUUUUCAUGGGCGGAUUCACAUAACAGAGGUGAUUUUCUAGUUGUGCAUGUUUGAAUAUUGUUGUCUAAACAAUUAAUUAUUACCCUCUUGUCAUGUGUGUUUCGGUUAUCUAGUUAUAUGAUAAAAUUAAUGUUCUAUUUUCCUAUUUUUACUUUUACUUGUUAAAUGAGCAGGUGAACGAUGAUAAGAGUAAUGUGGUGGAAAACCUAUUCAGCAACUUCAAAAUUGGGCAGACAGUGACAGCAAGGAUCAUAGCCAAGUCCAAUAAACCAGACAUGAAAAAAAGCUUCCUGUGGGAGCUGUCCAUCAAACCCUCAAUGCUUACGGGUAAAUGGUUCACUGCAUAAUACUCCGAUACUCGGAUUUGCCAUUGUCAAAGUCUUGGUAUCUUGUUCCAUAAACUAUCUCUCAAAUGCUUGGAUUGACUUUGCAUUUCUCAUUAUUUUCCUUUUUUUUUUAAUCAUGUACUUUUACCGUAAGUUUUUAGCACUGUCGUGGUCAUUUUUCUUUUAAUAAGAAACUGUAAAGUGUAUUAAAGAAGAAGAAUCUUUACAAGGAGUGGACCAGCUGUCCACUAAGAAAGCAUAAUAAUGAAAACUUUUUAGCACUGCUGCAGUCAUUUAAAACACACUCUUAGGCUAGCAUUGACUUCAUUUCUCAUCAAAUGUUUUCAUUCUUUGAUUUGAUUCUCAAGUCAUCUUUAUGGAUAAGUUCUCAAAAAAAAAUGUUCCACUCAUUGAUUAGGUUUUUCCAUUACCCAUUUGUUCAUGGAUUGCUCUACAUAGCUUUGCUUAUUGCAAUUUUAUUCAGUUUCUGAAAUAGGGAGCAAGCUUUUGUUUGAAGAAUGUGAUGUUUCAAUUGGACAACGUGUCACCGGUUAUGUAUAUAAAGUGGACAAUGAAUGGGCAUUGUUAACAAUAUCUCGACAUUUGAAGGCUCAGCUUUUCAUUCUUGAUAGUGCAUAUGAGCCUAGUGAACUUCAAGAAUUCCAAAGGCGCUUUCAUAUCGGAAAAGCUGUUACUGGUCAUGUUUUAAGUAUUAAUAAGGAGAAGAAACUGUUGCGCUUAGUGCUACGGCCUUUUCAGGAUGGAAUAAGCGAUAAGACAGUUGAUAUUUCAAAUGAUAAUAUGCAAACCUUUAUACAUGAAGGAGAUAUUGUGGGUGGUAGAAUUUCCAAAAUACUUUCAGGUGUUGGUGGAUUGGUCGUGCAAAUUGGUCCUCAUUUGUAUGGUAGGGUUCAUUUCACUGAACUCAAAAACAUAUGUGUGUCUGACCCAUUGUCUGGAUAUGAUGAAGGCCAGUUUGACCCAUUGUCUGGAUAUGAUGAAGGCCAGUUUGUCAAAUGCAAGGUCCUUGAAAUCAGUCGCACGGUCAGGGGCACUUUUCAUGUUGAGCUGUCUCUACGCUCAUCUUUAGAUGGCAUGAGCAGUACGAAUUCUUCAGAUCUCUCUACUGAUGUGUAAGUCUACCUUUUCUGAUUUGGAUACACAGAGAUAUUUUAUUUGCUUAUAAACGCAUGCUUAUUAUUUGGAACAUUUAAGUUCAUAUAACACCGAGGCCCUUCUGAAGUUUCCAUGAAUACUAUUUCUUUCUCUAUAAAUAGUUCAUCUGGAUGGAAAUUAAUGAAUAGUAACUUGGUAUAAAUUUUCUUUGAAAGUGGAUUUCUUUUUGUUAGUGUUAUGAUGCUAUAUCAAAUUUUGAUUUGUUUAUGGAUCUAUGCAUGCUACACCUCAUUAGUAUAAGAAAAUUAUUGCAGACUACAUUUUAUUGGUUCUCUCAGUAUUAAGCUGUAUAUAAUACUUAAAGAUUUAUUUGGUCUGUUCUCUGUCUUUUAAUAUCAUUUCUUCCUUGAAUUUGAUAAUAACUUAGUGGACGGUUUGAAAACCUAAAAAUUGUUAACUUCUAAUCUCGGGCACUUCCAUGGAAUUUUGUUAAUCUGAUUCUAGUGGAUACGUGGCAAAGUACAGAAGAUUCAUGCCCUUGUUUUCUCGUGAUUAUUUAUUUCUCCAGUUGGUGAACAUUAGGUUUUCUUUAGCCAAUUACGGACAUAGACUCUACCUUAGAAGAUUUCAUUGUUCCAGUUUUCUAGUUCAGGUGGAGGCAAUGAAUAGGAUGCUUUCCAUCUAGCUUGAAAAAUAUGACAUGAUCAUUUAUUAGCAAUUGAUUUUCAAAAAGAAAUGCUCUUUGACGCAUGAUGCCUACUUUAGUUCUUAUAGAAUCUUUUUCACUUCCAUGGUUGUUUAGUAAGCUACUUUGUGGAAUAUCUUCUCUUACGAAAGUUGAUGACUGAAUUGCCAAAUUAUCUUACUUUUUAGUCUUGAGUAAAUAUCUUUGAUCCCGUGAUGAGCCUAUAAGAUUCCACUUUUUCCAUGUAUUAAAUGCCACCAAGUUUUCUGUAGUCACUUGUAAUUUAAAUGAAUAUUGUGGCCUUAUUAAUGUGUUAGCUAGAAUUUGUCUCAGGAUUAAGUAAUUUGCUAUUUUGUGGUGGUUUACAAAAUCUUGUCUUUUGUUUAAUCAGGAGUUAUAUAUGGUUUGCAUUUGCAGGGAUACUCCUGGCAAGCAUUUGGAAAAGAUUGAGGAUCUUUCUCCUAAUAUGAUUGUACAGGUACAACAAUCCUCUUUUUCAUGUAAUUAAUCGACUUCUUUUAUUGGUUGUUUUUAAUCUGGUCGUCACCUAAUUACAAAUGAUAGAUUACAGUGGCUUAAUAUCAUCUCUUCCAAGAGCAUUGGUUGCAUCAAGAAUAAGUUACAGUCCAGUUUUGUUUGCAUUGUUGAUACACUAAUUAAACUGUUGCUAUUGAUAGAACUUUUCGUUAAAAUAUUAUGCAUUUUAUAGUCUUCCCUCUUUUUCAGAAGUGAUUAUUAGUUGAAAAUUACGCAUGAUGUAUCUUAAAGGUUAUAGCUUGAACCAUGUUCACAUCUAAUGCAUUGCAGCAGUCACGUAUUUCUGUGACGUCAAUCGAUGUUGCUUUUAUUUAUACUGAAAAGGAACAUCUUCACAAGAUGAUGAAUACCUGUUUUCAUAUUUAUUCUUUUCCUUGUUAUGAUAAAAAGACUCAACCUAAGGAUUAGGAAUAUUUAGUGUAAAUCAUGUUCUCAAGUUUUUUGUAGUCACUCUCAUUCCAAGGGAUAUGGAUGUUUCAACAUGUAUUCAUUUAUUGAUCCAUUUAGCUUGCUCUCACUCAUCCUAUUUUCAUAUAUUCUUUCCAACAAAUAUAAAUGUUUCGACAUUUAUUCAUCCUUUUUCUUUUGGUGGCCGUGAAUUAUUUUCUUUAUACCUGCAGUGCUAAUAAAUAUUCAUUGGCUCUGACAGGGUUAUGUUAAGAAUGUGACAUCUAAAGGAUGUUUUAUUAUGCUCUCACGGAAGCUUGAUGCAAAAGUUCUCCUUUCAAAUCUGUCAGAUGGAUAUGUGGAAAGUCCAGAAAAAGAGUUUCCUAUUGGGAAACUUGUAGCUGGCAGGUAGUUUCCUUAUGGUCAAUGAAGUGAUUAGUCUUUGAUAUUCAGUGCCCUGUAUUGAGAAAUUUAAUUGCAGGGUGCUAUCCGUGGAGCCUUUGUCAAAGCGCGUUGAGGUUACCUUGAAGACAUCCGAUUCUAGGACUGCUUCCCAAUCUGAAAUCAAUAAUUUGAGUAAUCUACAUGUUGGAGACAUUGUUAUUGGGCAGAUCAAGCGGGUGGAAUCAUAUGGUUUGUUCAUCACAAUUGAGAACACGAACUUGGUAAGGAAUAAGUUAUAAAUGACUGGUUGUAAUUUGAAUAUUGUACUAUUCUUUGAUGCCCUUUUGGGGACUGCAUCACCGAGUAUACUGAUUCUGAAACAGCCAAAAAAUAGAAAUGGAAAAUAAAAGGGCUUAAUCUAUGGAUUCUAGUCCUGAUAUUUACUCGAGUUAUGAAUUGUGCUGCCCAUCCAUCGUUCCGGGUUUUAAUUAAUGACCAUUAUUUUGUUCAGAUGGAUGGUGCGAAUGUCCUGUUAGUUUCUUUCUUACCUGGAAGUGUUUAUUUUGAUAUUAUUCAGUUUAAACAAUCUGCAUUCGUUAGAUCAUUUGUCAAUUAUUUUCAUGUAUGAUUUGUCAUUUUUGAGGGUUAAUGUGCUUAUUUUUAUUGAUUGCUUAGGUUGGAUUAUGCCACGUUUCAGAGCUUUCAGAAGACCAUGUUGACAACAUUGGGACUAUAUACAGAGCCGGGGAGAAAGUUAAGGUGAAGAUUUUGAAGGUAAAUAACAGUAAUGUGGUUAUGUUAUGUCGACUGUCAGUUUAUAGGCCUUACAUCAGUUAAAACUAGUGCAUAAAAUCGACUGCUUACUUUUCUAGUGUUUUUUUCAUCUAUGAUGUCAUGCGACUGAAGGUUGAUAUCUGGAUUAAACUUUUAGGCAGAUCACUAAUUGAUUUUAAUAGUUAGUCUGUAAUUGCUGGAAAAUAUUUAUUGCUGUUUUUCUCCUCUAUUCUUUAUAUUAGGUGGACAAAGAAAAGCGCCGAAUUUCACUGGGAAUGAAGAGUUCGUAUUUUAAGAAUGAUGCUGAUAACCUUCAAAUGUCUUCAGAAGAAGAGUCUGAUGAAGCCAUUGAAGAAGUUGGUUCUUAUAACAGGUCAUCAUUAUUGGAGAACAGUUCAGUUGCUGUUCAAGAUAUGGAUACGGAGUCUGAAGAUGGAGGAUCUCUGGUUCUUGCUCAAAUAGAGUCUAGGGCUUCCGUUCCUCCUCUUGAGGUCAAUCUUGAUGAUGAGCAGCCUGACAUGGAUAAUGGAAUUAGUCAAAAUCAGGGACAUACUGAUGAGGCAAAAACCAUAGAUGAGAAGAACAAUCGACAUGCAAAGAAGAAGGAGAAGGAAGAGAGGUUUCUCAAUUCAGACAUGUUUGACUUUUGUUCCUUAUUUAACUGCAAGUUAUUUGGGCUUUUUAAUAAUCUUGAAACUAUAUUUGAUAGGGAGCAAGAAAUAAGAGCUGCUGAGGAAAGGUUGCUGGAAAAGGAUGCACCAAGAACUCCUGAUGAAUUUGAGAGGCUGGUCAGGAGUUCCCCAAAUAGCAGUUUUGUUUGGAUAAAGUACAUGGCUUUCAUGCUCUCCAUGGCUGAUGUUGAGAAAGCCCGCUCUAUUGCUGAAAGGUAUUCUUUUUGCUAUGUUGAGUUUCAAGCUGGAUUUGGGACGGUGUGUUGAAUUUUGAUGAUGAGAAAUUAUAUGAUCAUUUAUUGAUUCAACUAUUGAUGAAUGAAUAUGCUAAAUAAAGUCAAAAUUAAUGUGUGUUGUCCUGUUCAAUUACAUCUGGUUUAUUGAUUUUCAUAAAUAGGAAAAUGAAGACAUCAAAAAUUGGGAAAAAAGGGAAAAAGAAAUGGUAUUAACCUAGUGAAUUUGUGAUUCCUCAUUACUCUAGUAUCUAAUUCUAUUUCUCCAAAAAUGAUUAAAAUAUCCUUUUGGUUAUAUCCAUUAUCUAGUCAUGUUCAUUUAGGAAAAUCAGUCCAAACAUCUUUGACUUUGUAGUUCUUAACACUAAACAAGCUGUCUUGUGGUAGGUUGUGUUCAGGGCAUAUAAGAAUGUCUCCUGCUCUUUUUUCUCCUGUUUUAGAUGCUUUUUUUUGUUGCAGGCCUUCCCCUUUAUUUAUCUCCAUGUUUUGCUUUUUGCUUUUAAUUCCCUCGCCGAUUGCCUCACCACACCCCACCCCCCCCUCUCCCCCCAGCGCUGGGAAAAAGAAGGAUUAUGCCACCCAUGAUUUUCAUUUCCUACUAUUGGAAUCUAACUAUUUGCUCAGAAUCAGGUGGAUGAAACAGUUCCUAUCAUGUAUAAGAUAUUAUGGUGUAGCUAAAUGGCUUAAGUUCCGAUGAUCCACAAAGGCUAAUGUGGUUUAUUUUCUUUAGACAUUGUUGUAAUUUGAGGUUUAUAUUUCCUCGAAGUUUUUGUUUGAUAGUUAUUUCUUUUUUUUUUGUUUAAUUUGUUAUUUUAUUUAUCAGUAAAUUAAUUUGUGGAGUUAUCUUAAUAUUUGCACUGUUGCAUCCAACUUAAUUUUAUUUUUCAUCUUUGUAUUUUCAAGGGCUCUACAAACUAUUAACAUUCGAGAAGAGAAUGAGAAGCUAAAUAUUUGGGUGGCUUAUUUUAAUUUGGAAAAUGAAUAUGGAAAUCCACCAGAGGUAAUUAAACAGAGAGCAGCUUUAUUUAUUCAUUUAUUUUUUUAAAUCUUGUAAUCAUGACUUGAAUUGGGAGUGUCAUUAAUUUAUUUUCUUUCAGGAAGCUGUUGUAAAAGUAUUUCAAAGAGCAUUACAAUAUUGUGAUCCCAAAAAGGUCCAUUUGGCACUGUUGGGUUUGUAUGAAAGGACUGAGCAAAAUAAGUUGGCUGAUGAGCUUCUUUACAAAAUGAUCAAGAAAUUCAAGCAUUCGUGCAAGGUAAUCAUUGAGCUUCUAUCUUUUCAUUUUACCUCAAUUUUGAGCAUCUUUGGACAUGCAAAUUUCGUAUCACCUGGAACUUUCAGGUCUGGUUAAGGAGGGUGCAGAGACUUUUGAAGCAACAGCAGGAGGGGGUUCAGGCUGUGGUGCAACGUGCUUUGUUAAGUCUUCCUCGGCAUAAGCAUAUUAAAUUCAUCUCACAGACAGCUAUUCUCGAGUUCAAAAAUGGGGUUGCUGAUAGAGGGCGAUCCAUGUUUGAGGGAAUCUUAAGUGAAUAUCCAAAGAGAACAGACUUGUGGAGUAUUUAUCUUGAUCAAGUAAGUUGCUUUUAACAUUAGGUACUUUCUAUGUUUCCCUCUUUCUUUGAGGUAUAUCUUACAUUCUUUUAUCAAACUUGUCAGGAGAUUCGACUUGGAGACGUAGAUUUAAUUCGUGGAUUGUUUGAGAGGGCUAUCAGCUUGAGUCUCCCACCUAAAAAGAUGAAAGUACGUAAAUCUGCAGAAUUAUAUUAUGGCUGUCCCUGGGCUUCUGCAGAAUUAUAUUAUGGCCGUCCCUUCCUGUUUUGCCUUACCUGUCUUCUUUCUGGUUUUGCAGUUCUUAUUUAAGAAGUAUCUUGAGUAUGAAAAAUCUCUUGGUGAGGAAGAAAGGAUUGAAUAUGUGAAACAGAAAGCAAUGGAGUAUGUCGAGAGUACACUAGCGUAGUUGUUGUUGAUCUACUCUUCUUUAGCCGGAGUUUCAAUCUGCAGCUUUCAAACAAUUUGAGUUGGCUGUUUGUACUGUACAGCGACGAGGAAUUUGUAAUUUACAAUCAUAGCAGGGAGGUGGUUGAAAUUUUACUUAUUAGUUGAUGCAGAGGAUUACUGAGAUUUCGUAAGAUAUUACUCAGGACCACAUUUGUCUCCCUGUACAAUUUUGCUUAGUAAAAGCUUUACACAGGAUGUGCAAAUUUACUGAUUCUUGUUCAAAACUCAAACCGCUCCUCAGAUGAUUCUGUUAAGAGGGGUCCCGCAACAUAUUUGAUUAAUGUAUUCAUGUACUGUUGAGAAUUUAAUUGUAGAUAUUGUAGAAACGAAUGAAGAUUCUUUGUCCAUAUUGUUUUGAAUCUUUUGAUUUAGUUUUUUGUUGUUGAAUUCCUGCUAGGGAAGUUUUUAUUAUCAAGUGAAUGAUCGGAAGAUAUAAUUAUUACUAUAAUUAUUAAGAGUUCUCAAAAGAUUUAACCUAAAAGAUUAGUGCCAAAUGAGUUAACAAAUACUCUAUUGAAUAAUAAUACAUGAGAAUUUCAAGAAUGAAUUGAUCUUUUAUUUUGUAAGAAAGAAUAUCACAAGCACAUUUGCAAAGUAAUGAUUGAAAAGUUAUUUCAGUUACGGUAACUAAAAUCUUUCCCGGGCAAAUUCUUGCCAUAUGCUGUACUUCUUUCUACCUAUAAUGCUAGUACACAAUACAAGGCCUGUCCUAAUAAUGUACACGGGGAAAACAGUAAAUUUACUUGGUAAUUCACGACUUUCUUAUGCAGCUGUCGUGACUGUGUGUGUAGCAGGAAGAACAAGGUUUCAUUAGUAUGAUUGUCAGCUGCAAGGUAAUGGCAAUUAUAAUCUUGCAACCAAAUCUGUAUGUCAACCACGAGCAGCUGGUACAGUGCUUGUGAUUCACUGCUCAGGCAAAUGUGGCUAGACAGAAUACCAUCCUUUCUUUUCAGCAUGUCUAGCCCAAUGCCUCCGCAGAGAAAAACUCAGUUUCCCAAGCUCAUGAAAAAGUAAUUGGGAGAAAAACCAGGAUCCAACUAAUUUAGGGCAUAGUGAACACGCUCAAGGAGUUGCACCACCUGAUUAACAGGGAUAGGCGAAGAAGGCGGCAGUUUUGAACUUGCUUUAAUUGUAUCAAAUGAGCCAAGCGUGAAUGACAACACAGCCUCUUGUUGUGUACUUGUAAGCUCCAAGAACUGCGACAGCAUGUCUCCAUCAAGUAUCUUGGGAACCCCAACCUGCAGCCACAAACACGUUCAAAUGAAUCAUAACAGAAGCAGCGAGCAGGCGCAAGUACAGAACAACCUGCUCCAUGGAAUUAAAGCUGUUGUUUCCUAAUAUUUUAAGCCGAUAUAUUACCUAAAAUUUUUAUUUUGAAUUCCACGUGAACGGAAAAUUUUACAAAGAAAGAGCAGAUAGAAUGAACCAAAAUGCAGUGACUACAAUGGUUCAUAAUGACAAGAAUCUCUUUGCAAGAAACAUGCCAACUCCUAUUGAAACAGGACUGGAUGGUACAUGAAUGGCACAACAAUGUUUCUGGCCUGAGGUUCAAACUUAAUGCACGCUAGCAAUUCCAAAAACAAUAUUAGCAAGGUUUUACUUUCUUACCGGGUUUUCACGACUACGAAACUCGUUGUGGUCGUUUCCAAGCAAAGGUGCAGUUAAAGGAUGGAUAGCAAGCCUAGCUUGAACCGCUUCUAAGAGUUCAUAUUCUUCACUGCAAAUAUGUGAUGGUUAUAAGUACUCUAAACAGGCAUCCUAGUUCAACUCAAAAAUAAUAACAAGGCAUAGCACCUUCACAGUCUAUGUUUAAUCUACAAUUCAACUCAGCUCAAAUAAAAGCAUCAACCGGAUUAAUUACGGUUGGCGAGCUUGUUAAAAAUCACCCAAAAUGAAAUGAGCCCCUCUAAGAGUACACAUUCUUUCAUCUUAUUAAGUUUGUAACCACACCAUGACCAUACAAACCUGUCUUUAUAAUACUAUCAGAUCAUAAAGAACAGAAAUAAGUUGUUAAAAUAUAUGGCAGUGGAUGAAGCAGGCAAACUCAAUAAAAGAAAAUUGUUGGAAGGGAAGUACUCCUAUAUAUAAAAGUUUAUGACCACAUAAUUAAUAUUCAAUUAGAAACAUUCUAUCAAGUCUCUAGAUCGACAUAGAUCCUCACCAUUAGCCUGUCUAGUGCAAAGAACUAUUUCUUAUCCACGUCUUACAGAUUUACUGUGCUAUCAUUUCUGGAUAUAUGAAGAAAUACUACAUGUACUGCUGCCAGUGUCAUCAUCCGAUACAUAGGAGAUCCAUCUAGCAUAUUCCUAUAAUGCCACAUUUGCUAAAAUAAAACAUACCUUGAUAUAGGAAUGAAUAUCACUAUGCUCCCUAACAACGUGCUGGCUAUAAUAGUUGUUUGUGAAGACUCAAAACUUGCAAGACAGUCCCCCAAGGUAUCAUCAGCUGGGAGUUUGUAUAUAAAUGACCCCUAAAAAGGAAAAAAAAAAUAGAAGACGAGACAAAAAUAUCAAUAUUAUUUGAGGCUAGGUAAAAGAAGAAGCUACAAUGCACACUAGUUGUCAGAAAAGCCUCUCAAACUAGAAUCUCAACAAAGCAAAAGAUAAAUACUAAUAGUUCAAGUAACCUAUCAAAAGAUACAUCAGAGGACAUAGUUGUCCAAUUUUGACCAACCUGCCGAGAGAGAGGGGGAAGGGGUGGGAGAACAAUAUACCAUUACCAACAGGACUGAAAGAAAUUUACUAUUACUACUAUAUGAUUAUGUAUGAACUAAAGAAAUUUAACACUGCUACUUAGUGAUUGUGUAAGAAGUUCUUCCAUUCACAAUUGGAUUCUGUAGGAUUUACCUUCCUGAUGCUCACGGCUAUCUCACCCAUAUGAUAAGCACAAUUCGGCGUUAAGUUGCAUUCUGGACUUGCAUUAUCUGGCACAUUGAGAAAUAACAUAAUUUAAGAACACUAACAGAACCAUCUGCCAUCUAAAGCAAAUAAGCAACAGUAGGAUAACAAUAACUACAAGAUGAAAUAUAAAUUCCAUCCAGAGCAAAUAAUCAUACCAGUGGCAUGAAAUAAAUGAAAAGAUGAAUUUGGGAGAGACAGCUUUGUUUCACUUUUAAUUCUGGAUCAGUUAUUCAUUAGCUUUGUCCAUUAAUAAGGCUCACUAGAAACUCUAUUCAAAUAAUCUUUGCAUUGGUCACCAAUAUUUCCAAAUUGCCUCAAAAUUGGCAUUCACGCAACCAAAUGAAAUUAACACCAUUGGUAAAGUUGAAAGCUGGCAUAGACAUGAAUGGUCUCAUUAAUUUGCAAUUCUGGAAUUGGAAAAAGAUUUUAAACUAUCCUGAUAUAUAAAAUCUUCUAGACUCAGAAAGGUCAAGUAGCAUGUACUAUGGCGUCAUCACUAAAAGAAACGACAACAUCACAGACCAUUAUGGUUACUGAGACAAGCAAGCGGGCAUGUGCAUGUUAAAUCUGUAAGCUCAGAAACCCAUUGACUUCGGUCAUGUUGGUGUUUCUCUGGAUUCAUGUCAUGAUUUUAACUCCAAUAUCUUAGUACACAGUUGAUGAAGGGUAGGAAAGUUUCAAAAUCCUUUUAAUUCCGACAAUACCCAAGAUAAGAAAAAUAGGCUUAAUUCGUGUCGAUUCACACAGAACACCAAAGAAAAGCAACACAGAAGUUGAACAAAGCCAAGAACCUGAUUAGGUAAGACAGCCCUCGGCCUUUUCAAUGCCAGCCUUGAAAAGGCCCGUAUUUACACAAGUUGAUGAGAUAAAGGCCGCAUAAAAGAUAAGAAAUGACUAAGUCCUAAGAACUGGUAAUAGAUGUAAAAUAAACAAAUCAAAGGUAUCCUGAGAGAAAUUCAAUGCCUAAUUGGUAGAAAUAGGAAAUUUAUUACUGUGCUGCCUCAAUCACAUUGAUGCUCAUCUUCUUCAUUCCCAGUAAUUAAAAGUUAUAUGCUUAGUCUAGGGUAAUAACAGCAAAUCAGAGGAUUUAAACAGCGAUCAAGUGAAUUUUGCAAUGAAAUUAGCAUUUCAAAAUAAUACAUAGCAUUUCAAAAUAAUAUUAGAGGUGCUGUAAAUUACAGAUGAGGCUUAAUUUAGGAUUUACCUUCCAGCCGAUCUGAACAAGAGAGGACAGCAAUGCUCCCCUUACGGUCUGAAACAACAGCUGUGUCAACAUCCAUUAGAACACAAUCAGCCACUAACCUCUGUGAAGGAUCACAAUAUAUCUGCUCCAGUUUCCUGGCAUCCUAGCACAAAAGAAAGCAUGCAGAAAAUUUCAGAAUCAAUAUCACUAGCUGCCAGUCGCAAACCACUUUCUUUUAAGGAAAAUGGGAAAACCAAUGUAGACGUCACCUAAACAAAUUUAAAAGGAAAGAGCUGACAUGCGCAAAACAUUCUACUAUUUUAACGUACCUCAUGAUAAGAAUAGAAAAGAAUGCCAUCACGGCAAUCUCCAACAGCAAUUCUAGUAAAAUGAGCAGUCAGCAACAUGAUCAUAAAACGUGUCCUUCCUACAGCAAACCUCCUAACCCUCUGGGGAUUAUCAUUUGGAAAUCCACAUACAUAAAACUGAAACAUGAAGAAUUUUUUUUUCUUUUGUAAGCAACAGCCCUGGGUAACUGAGUUCAUUCUGGCAGCUUGAAAGCAUAUAUAGGAAAGAACCACUUACAGCAUUACCAGCAGAUGCCAAGAAGUAACGAUCAAGAUAUGGACAUAUUGCGAGCACCAUCCCUGGCCAUGUUGUUGAGUAGGCCAACCGCAGCUGCCAUGUUUCAGUCUCUUCAAGCUUAAUUCCAUCACAACUAGCAUCAUCAGGGCUACUGCAAAGACUACUGCUUGACAGUUGUUCUGUUGCAUAUCCAACAAUUUCACGGAAUGGUGAAGUUCGUUGAGAAGAUGACCCUGCCUUAGAACAAAAUGUCAUUGAACCACAGUCUGAAUUUUGCAUGUGUUCAAUACAGAGGACAAUCAGACGGCCCUUGGUACUGUUGAAAAGAAAUGCACCAUUUAGACAACACGUUCAUGGAAUUUCACGGGAAAUAUAUAGUGUUUAAAACAUCUUAAGCUUAGAUUUCAUCUACAGGUUGUCACGUGGAUCCAAGCACAGAUCCAUGAGGCUUUUGUCAGAGUUCUUUAAUUGAUAGAAUAAUAUAUAUAUAUAUAUUUGCCCCUCGGAAUGUAAAAUCAAGACUUCUACAAGAAACAAUUACCUUUCAGCUUCACCACUGGGCAUAAUGGCAGGACCAGAAGACAGGCUAGUUCCAACCACCAAAACCUGUUCAUGUCCAACCCUCACCAGCUCCAUGGACUUCCCUGUUUCUCCAAGUUCAAGCUUAAAAGAUGACAGCACUGACCCACUAAGGGGAUCAACACAACAUAUAUCAGAUGAACAUGUAUCAUUAUUCAGUUCUGUUCUCAUCACAAUCAAUAACCUGCUUUCACUAUGAUAAAGGACCUUCUUUGGAGUGCCUCCAAGAUGAAAUUUCGGCACAUUAAGCCUCUUAUUGUGCACCAUCUCCACCUAAAGAUAGAGUAAUUGAAGAUCAUGUAUGUCAACCUUGAAAACAGACUAGUAUUGAAACAUCCAGUUGAGAAACAUUGCAAAAUGACAACCUCGUAAGCAGAAUAAUAUUAAGAGAUCCAAUACAGAAACAUUACACAAUUGCACUUGAAACAAAUAUAUCAUAAAAUAGAAAUCAAUCCCUAAUAUAAAACAAACUCGUUACCAAUUUAAAAGUUCUUUACUUUUUCAUAGUUAAUCAAUUUCAAAACACAACGGAUACCAGAAAAUGAUAAGCAUCAGAGAGAUAACAACAAAAAAUUUGGUUGAGGAUGCAUGACGCCCUAACAUACAUGGAAACAAGAAAUGUAUUACCAACUUGAUAACAGAAUUAUUAUAGUACUUGGGAAUUUUGCAGCAUCAAAUCUCAUGUGACUAAAGCAUUUCCUCGUCAAUGUCCUAUGAACCUAACACGCAAACAGGAAAAUGACAAUCGGUUUAAUUAUUUAGAAUAUUUGUUUGCUCAUUAACCUUCUGCAAUCUUUCCUUAAUUUCCUACCAAGCAACUCAACCCACUAUUUGAACCAUGAACUUUUUUUAUUUCAGUAUACAAUAUACCUGAUAGAACAUCCAUUAAUGAUGACGAUUUCAUCCCUAAUCACUUAAGCAAGAGAGUGCCAUGGAUCUUUCUUUUUUCUUUUCCUCCUCAAAAUGUAUAGUACCUAAAGAAGAGGAAAGGAAAUUACAGAAUUGAAUUUAUUCUCUGCACCUUUUCUUAGUAUACAUGAUACCUAUAUACAUAGGACAAAAGGAAACCAAAUAAUUACAUAUUCUGCUGUACGGCCAAGGCGGAUGUACGGUACAGCAGAAUACAUUUACUUUGCCAUCAUAUUGAAUUUUCGUUUUUCUUAUUUCUACAAGAAACAAUUACCUUUCAGCUUCACCACUGGGCAUAAUGGCAGGACCAGAAGACAGGCUAGUUCCAACCACCAAAACCUGUUCAUGUCCAACCCUCACCAGCUCCAUGGACUUCCCUGUUUCUCCAAGUUCAAGCUUAAAAGAUGACAGCACUGACCCACUAAGGGGAUCAACACAACAUAUAUCAGAUGAACAUGUAUCAUUAUUCAGUUCUGUUCUCAUCACAAUCAAUAACCUGCUUUCACUAUGAUAAAGGACCUUCUUUGGAGUGCCUCCAAGAUGAAAUUUCGGCACAUUAAGCCUCUUAUUGUGCACCAUCUCCACCUAAAGAUAGAGUAAUUGAAGAUCAUGUAUGUCAACCUUGAAAACAGACUAGUAUUGAAACAUCCAGUUGAGAAACAUUGCAAAAUGACAACCUCGUAAGCAGAAUAAUAUUAAGAGAUCCAAUACAGAAACAUUACACAAUUGCACUUGAAACAAAUAUAUCAUAAAAUAGAAAUCAAUCCCUAAUAUAAAACAAACUCGUUACCAAUUUAAAAGUUCUUUACUUUUUCAUAGUUAAUCAAUUUCAAAACACAACGGAUACCAGAAAAUGAUAAGCAUCAGAGAGAUAACAACAAAAAAUUUGGUUGAGGAUGCAUGACGCCCUAACAUACAUGGAAACAAGAAAUGUAUUACCAACUUGAUAACAGAAUUAUUAUAGUACUUGGGAAUUUUGCAGCAUCAAAUCUCAUGUGACUAAAGCAUUUCCUCGUCAAUGUCCUAUGAACCUAACACGCAAACAGGAAAAUGACAAUCGGUUUAAUUAUUUAGAAUAUUUGUUUGCUCAUUAACCUUCUGCAAUCUUUCCUUAAUUUCCUACCAAGCAACUCAACCCACUAUUUGAACCAUGAACUUUUUUUAUUUCAGUAUACAAUAUACCUGAUAGAACAUCCAUUAAUGAUGACGAUUUCAUCCCUAAUCACUUAAGCAAGAGAGUGCCAUGGAUCUUUCUUUUUUCUUUUCCUCCUCAAAAUGUAUAGUACCUAAAGAAGAGGAAAGGAAAUUACAGAAUUGAAUUUAUUCUCUGCACCUUUUCUUAGUAUACAUGAUACCUAUAUACAUAGGACAAAAGGAAACCAAAUAAUUACAUAUUAUACUUUCCUAUUCUCUAGUGUUCACUACAUCUAUCAUAUCACAUCUACAGCUGCCAUAUCCCUAAUAAUAUGCUCAUGAUCCUGACUGAAUAAUCUCUCAGAUUUCCAACACUCCCCCUCAAGCUGGCUGGAAUAUAUCUUCCAUGGUCAGCUUGCUAAUUAAGUAAUUGAACUGCCCUUUGUACAGACCCUUUGUGAGAACAUCUGCAAUUUGCUCUGGAGUGGGUAUAUAAGACAUGCAGAUCACACCUUCUUCAAUUUUCUCUUUAAUAAAGUGCUUGUCAACUUCCACGUGUUUAGUCCUAUCGUGAAGAACCGGAUUAUGAGCGAUUGCAAUUGCUGCCUUGUUAUCACAGUGCACUUUCAUUGGUAAACUACUUUGAAAUUUUAAGUCUUCUAGUAACCUCUUAAUCCACAACCCUUCACAAAUGCCAUGAGCAACUGACCUGAAUUCAGCCUCAGCACUACUUCUUGCCACUACAUUCUGUUUUUUACUUCUCCAAGUAACCAAAUUCCCACCAACAAACGUAUAGUAACCAGAGGUGGAUUUUCGAUCAGUAAUGCUCCUAGCCCAGUCUGCAUCCGUGUAGACUUCCACCUGAAGAUGUCCCUGUUUUUUAAACAAUAGACCUUUACCAGGAGUUCCUUUUAGAUAUAUUAGGAUUCUGAACGCAGCUUCAAAGUGUUCUUGUCCUGGUGAAUGCAUGAAUUGGCUCACUCUACUCACUGCAAAUGCUAUAUCAGGACGCGUAUGGGAUAAAUAGAUCAGCCUUCCAACAAGUCUUUGAAACUGUUCUAUGUUCCCUACUUUCUCAGCUUUAGCAUGUUGGAGCUUCAAAAUGGGAUCUGUUGGGGUCCCAGCUGCUCUACAUCCGAGCAAACUUGUCUCACUAAGUAAGUCAAUAGUAUAUUUGCGUUGAGUAACAAAUAUACCCUCCUUGGACCUUGCAAUCUCCAUGCCAAGAAAAUAUUUCAAAGCUCCAAGGUCCUUUAUCUCGAAAUCCUUAGCAAGUUCCUUCUUUAAUUUCUCCAGCUCGCAUCUAUCGUCACCUGUUAAGAUUAUGUCAUCCACAUAAACAAUCAAGAUAGCUAUUUUUCCUUCCCUCGAAUGUUUAUAAAACAUAGUAUGGUCUGCUUGACUUUGACAGUAGCCAUGACCUUUUACGACUUUCCCAUAGACUUUUUUAGUUUGCAGACUUUUCCUUCAAAUUUCUUCUCAAACCCUAGAGGGAGGCUCAUAUACACUUCUUCUUCAAGAUCUCCAUUUAAAAAAGUAUUUUUUACAUCUAAUUGAUGUCAGGGCCAAUCGUAAUUUACAGCUAAUGAUAAAAGUAACCGGAUAGAAUUCAUCUCGGCAACAAGAGCAAAUGUUUCUUGAUAGUCAAUCCCAAGGGUUUGCAUAAACCCUUUUGCUACAAGUCUUGCCUUGUUCCUCUCAACACUGCCAUCAGCUUUACAUUUUAUAUUAAACACCCAUUUGCACCCUACAGUUUUUUUGUUCUUCGGUAGGUUCACCAACUCCCAAGCACCAUUCUUUUCCAAAGCAUUCAUCUCUUCCAUAACUGCUAACUUCCAACUCGGUUCAUCAAGGGCUUCCUUGAUAGUUCUUGGAACAAACAGGUCAGACACAUCAGAAAUAAAUGCUCUAUAACUAUUGGAUAAUCUAUCAUAGGAUAUAUAUUUUGCAAUGGGAUGUUGGGUACACUUUCGAACUCCUUUCCUAAUGGCUAUAGGAAUAUCAUGAUCUUUUGGUUCAAUAAUUGAAGGGUAUAAAGAUGAAGGAAGAACAGAAACAAGAUUAGGAUUAGAAGGAACAGGCCUAAGAUUGAAACUACCUGAAUCACUUGGACCUUUUUCCCCAAGUACUCAGGUUCAGGAAUCGGAAUAUUUUUGUUCUUCUGUAGUGUUUCUCCCCCUAUUUGUGAAUCAACUAUGUUUGGUAAAGUUUGGCUAGGAUUUUGAUCAGCCUGUUGUUGUGUCUGUUUUUCAAUAUCUAGAGAAGGAGAUAAGAGAAUAAGUUUUGGUAGCGGAUCCAAAGUUGUCUCCCAAAAUUUUUAUUCCUUUCCCUCUAUCUCCCCCUGAAGACAAUUUUUGGAAAAUAAGACUGACUUUCUAGAAAAGAGACAUCCAUGCUUACAAACAUUUUUUUUGUUUUGAGGAUAAUAACACUUGUAUCCUCUUUUGUUUGGUGCAUAACCAAUAAAAACACACUUUUCAGCUCUUGGAUCAAGCUUGGAUCGAAAGUUGCUAGGUAUAUGAACAUAGACAGUGCAACCAAAAAUUUUUAAUGGCAAAUCUGAAUUAAUUCUGCAUGUAGGAAAUGUUUUUUUGAAAUAAUCUAAUGGAGUAACAUAUUGUAAAACACGAGUAGGCAUUUUGUUUAUUAAAUAAGAUGCUAUCAAAAUUGCAUCUCCCCACAAAUAUUUUGGAAUAUGCAUCGAAAACAUUAUGGCUCGAGCCACUUCAAGUAAAUGCUUGUUUUUUCUUUCGGCAAUGCCAUUUUGUUGCGGAGUAUCACAACAGGUAGAUUGAUGUAAAAUGCCUUUUUCUUAAAAAAAAAUUCCCUAGAUGUUCAUUGAAAUACUCUUUCCCAUUAUCAAAACAAAACAAACACAUUUUUUAUUGAAAUUGGUUUUUGACCAUUUUGUAAAAAACUUGAAACAUAGUUUUUACUUCAGAUUUGUCAUCCAUUAAAUACACCCAGCAAAGUCGUGUGUGAUAAUCUAUGAAAGUAAUAAACCAUUUUUUUCCAGUCCUAGUAGUGAUCCUAGAGGGACCCCACUCAUCACUAUGAAUCAAAUAGAAUGGUUUGGAGGCACGGUAUAGUUUUGUCUAAUAAGUAGCUCUAUGGCUUUUAGAUAAAUAGCAACUGUCACAAUGAAGAGAAUAACAAUCCAAAUAUUGAAACAACUAGGAUGUCCUAGCCUAAGAUGCCAAAACAUUAUUUUUUCAUGAGCAUAAAUUGACCACACACUACCACCAUAGCCUUGAGCAGUUUUAUUCUCGAAAGGAUUGCUAACAAAAUAAUAAAGACCAUGGACCAUUUUAGCACUGCCAAUCAUCUUCCCCGAGUUCCAAUCUUGGAAUUCACAAUGAGAGUCAAGAAAGACAACACAACAGUUAGAGUCUUUAGAAAUUUUACUGACAGAUAACAAAUUGCAAGCUAAUUUUGGAACAUGAAGGACAGAUUGAAGAGUUAUUUGAUUAGAAAUUUCUAUUUGACCUUUUCCUACAAUAGGUGAAAAACUACCAUCAGCAAUCCUUACUCUUUCAUUUUUAUAACAACGUGAAUAAUUACUGAACAAACUAGAAGAGGAAGUCAUGUGAUCAGAUGCUCCUGAAUCAAUGAUCCAGGGAGCAGAAUUUAGACUACCAGAUAGAGAAUUAAGGUUGCUACCUGUCUAUGCAAGAGCACUACAAGGAGUACUAGAUAAAGAGUUGGGCUUUAGCAGUUCAAGAAGAUGGUCCAUCUGCUCCUUAAUGAAUGGACUCUUUUCAACUUCAUUUGCAUAGGAGGUUGCUUGAUUUGAUUUGUCACUCGGCUUGUUGUUCUUCCAAUUAGCAGGUUUCCCAUGGAUCUUCCAGCAGUUAUCUCGAGUAUGGCAUGGUUUAUGACAAAAAUCACACAAUAUUCGAGGUUUUUCAUUCUGCCUUUGCUGAUUGAAAACCUUAUUUGCAGUUGCAUCUGAUGCAAUCAUGACUGAAUUUUCAACAGGGGCAACAACCACUUCUUUCCAAGCAUCACGUUCCUGCGACUUUCCUCCCUUCUUACUUCCGCAAAGACCUCACCAAUAGCGGGUAGAGGUUGGCGACCAAGAAUCCUCCCCCUAACCUCAUCAAAAUCUACAUUUAAUCUAGCCAAGAAUUUGUAAAUACGAUAAUCUUCUACCAUCUUUUUGUUGUGAUUGUAGUCCGCUUUUGAUUCCCAUUCAUAGUCAUUAAACAGAUCCAAAUCUUGCCACAACCUCUUCAGAGAAUUGAAAUACUUAGUGACGUUGUCCACUCCACGGUGAAGUUCACCAAGCUUUAUUGUCAAUUCCUAUAUUUGGGACUGAUUUCCCAAAUCUGAAUACAUCUGGUUUACAUUAUCCCAGAGUUCUUUGGCUAUUGGGUAACACAUGUAAUUGGAGCUGAUAUCUUCCUCCAUGGAUUUUACUAGCCCUGUCAUCAGCAUAGAGUUUUCAGCAUCCCAAGUUGCGUAAGAUGGGUCUUCUUUUGCCCGUUCCUUCUUAUCUCCAAUCAAAUAUCUCAUCUUUCCUCGUCCCUGAAGAUACAUCCAGACAGAUUGGGACUAACGCAGGAAAUUAUCACCAUUCAGUUUGAUAUUAGUGAUUUGGACAGAGUGAGAAUCGGAAGUAAGGACAUGGGUUUCUGUGGUUGUCAAUGGGGCAGUUCUGAAAAGAGUAGAUUGAAAUGUAUUUUCUGACAUGGUAGAGCAACACUAGUUCCCCUUUCUUUAUAUAUAUAUAUAUAUAUAUAUAUAUAUGUCAGAGAAUAAAUCCCUACUCUGAUACCAUAAAGAAGAGGAAAGAGAAUUACAGAAUUGAAUUUAUUCUCUGCACCUUUUCUUAGUAUACAUGAUACCUAUAUAAAUAGGUAAAAUACUAUACACACAAAAAGAAACCAAAUAAUUACAUAUUAUACUUUCCUAUUCUAUAGUGUACACUACAUCUAUCACAUCACAUCUACAGCUGCCAUAUCCCUAAUAAUAUGCUCAUGAUCCUGACUGAAUAAUCUCUCAGAUUUCCAACAGUACCUAUGUUUUGCAGGGGUUAGUUGCAGGGUCACACAAAGCUAAAGGAGCAAAAUACACAAGCUAGGUUAGGGUCUCACCAAGUUUCCUAUCCAUUUAAAUGGCAGGACUAUGAGUGCACCUUAACGCAAGCCAUAGAGUUAAACGCUAUUUUCCUUUUUGACAAGAAACUAUAUGUUAUAUUAAUGAUGAAGAAUCGUUACAAGGAGUGGACCACCUGUUCGCUGAGAAAGCAGAAUAAUGAAAACUUUUCUGUGCUAUACAAAAUAUGCCAAUCCUCUACAACAUUAGACCAACCCAGAACGCCUAUCUCAAAACACUCUCCCAACUUAGAUGAAUGAAGAAAAAAGAUGAAUCUUGGAACUCCUUAGAAAUUGAAGCCCAAAGUGAAGCUAGAAGACGGAUUCUAUCCUAUAAUUCUUCAAUAUUAUCUGCAUUUUUCCCUUCAAAAAUAAGAUUUCUUUCCUGCCGUAUUACCCAAAACAGAGCUGCCACAGCACAUAUCCAAAGAGUUUUGGCCUUUUUUCCCUUACCAAAAGCAUAGAAAUUCUCCAUAAGAAUAGAGUGUCAAAAACCCAGAAUGAUCCACAAAACGUUAGCCUCUUUGCACAACCUAUUACACAAAUUUGAGGCCACAAAACAAUGAAGAAAAAGAUGAUUACAAGUUUCUGUGCUUAUUCUGCACAUCACACACCAAGCAGGAGUUUUUUUUUUUUUUUUUUUUUUUUUUCUAAGAAAAAAUUGCUAAGAAACAAAAGAUUAAAUAAAACUAUAAGAAAUAUGUACAAGGAUUAGGAGGACUACAAAUCCACAAAAUAAGGACGAGAAGUCCCAAUAUAAACAAAACACUUGGAAACUGCAAAGAUAAAAUAUCCCAAAACCUAAAAACACUAGCUCACUAAGAGUGCAUCCCUGUUAAGAUAUAAAAGCUUCCCAAUUAAGCAAAAUAAAAAAAAAGGAGAUAGACACAUAUUAGGGAACUUUCUUCGAAUCAGUUCCCCAAAGUUUGAUUUUCCUUGAGCCAAGGCCCACAAAAAGACUUCAAUUUUGGGAGGAAUCCUAGCCUUCCAAAUCAUUGAGUCAAACACUAUGUUCAGUGCAUAAAUAGAUCAGCUCCAUGUUGAACUCAUAGAGUGACAAGGGCUUGAACAAGUGAACAGUAUUUGAACAUAUGAAGCAAAUGACAUUGCUAGUUACAACCUCAGGCUACAUUCCUAAGAGAAUAAAAAAAACAAGGAAAGAAAAAGAAAAUUGAAGAUUCGGCUGAGAUAUUUUGGGGAUUUGUUAGCUGUUUAUUUGUAUGUAAAUAUAAAUCAGGAAAGUAAGAUAUUAGGCUAGCUAGUGUAAUUAUUAGUUCCUAUGUUUAUUCUGCGUAUUCUCCUAUAAGUGGGAAAUUGUGUAAGUUAUUUAAUUGAGAGAGUAAAAUAUAGAAUACUCUAUUUCUGAUCAGCUCUUCUAAGUUUAUAUUGUUUCAGAGAGUAAAUAUGAUCUCUGGCAUUUUCUGUAAAGAAAAUACUUUGAUUACUAUGUUUGAUACUUCAUCUGAGUCCAUCUCUUCUUCUUCUACUACCCAGAAAAAAACUCUGAAACCCUAGCCUCCAACCAUGAAUUGCAUCCUAUCAAAUCAUCACUACUCGCUUGAAUGGUAGUAACUUUCUGCACUGGUCUUAAUCCGAUCAGAUGUAUAUCCGUGACGAGGGAAGUUUGGCUACUUGACUAGAGAUUUCACGGUACAAGACCCAACGAAUUCGACGUAUGUGAUCUGGGGGCCAGGAUCUAGAUCUAUUAAGCAAUUAUGACAGAAGUCUCCAGAGGAUUUUAAUCACCACAAGAAAAUUGUGAAAAACAAUUGCAUCUACAAAUUUCUUGCUAGUCUCAAUAUUAAGUUUGAAGAAGUGAGGGGGAGAAUAAUAGGCAAAAAACCUCUUCCCUUAAUAAGCGAAGCUUUCUCUGAGGUUAAAAGAGAGGAGAGUCGCAAGAAUGUAAUGAUUGGAAACAAAAAUUCUAGUAGGUCAAUAGAGAACUUAGCACUAGUCGCUUCUGAUGCAAAUGCCAGCACGGCCAUCACAAAUCAAAGGAAGACUGAUGACAAACCUCGUGUAUGGUGUGACUAUUGUAACAAACCUUGUCAUACUCAGGAAGCAUGCUGGAAGAUUCAUAGUAAACCAACAAAUUGGAAAAGCAACAAAAUGGGUGACAAAUCCAACCGUGGAUUUCCAUCAGCAGAUGAAGUUGAGACAAGUCCCUUCAGCAAAGAGCAGAUGGAUCACUUUUUUAAACUGCUAAACUCCAAUUCCUUAUAUGGUAUUCCUAGUGAUUCUCUUGCUCAAGCAGGUAGUGACUCUAAUGCCUUAUCCUAUUGUUUAAAAACUGCUCCUUAGAUCAUAGAUUUUGGAGCCUAUGAUCACAUGACCAGUUUUUCUACCCUAUUUUGUACUCAUUCCCCUUGUUCUGGAAAAGAAAAAUUAGAAUUGUCGAUGGAAGUUUUUCACCUAUUGCAAGAAAAGAUUUGGUAAAAUUAUCCAAGAAUAUAAAUCUUAAAUCAGUUCUACAUGUUUCUAAAGUUCCCUGUAACCUCUUAUAUGUGAGUAAAUUGUCUAGAGACUCUAAUUGUUGUAUAACUUUCUUUAACUCUCAUUGUGAAUUUCGAGACCAGACUUCAGGGAGGAUGAUAGGGAGCCUUUAUUAUUUUGAUAACAACUUCUCCAGUAAUAAAAAAGCUCAAGACUUUAGUAGUAUUAAUUCUCAUUCUGCUUGUGAACAAAUAAUACUUUGGCACCUUAGAUUAAGACAUCUUAGUUUUCCUUAUCUAAGGCAUUUAUUUCCUUCUUCAUUUAAAGGUUAGAUUGCUCAUCUUUUCAACGUGAAAGUUUGCAUUUAUCAAAGGGUCGUUGCACUACUUACUCAUCAAGACCUUGUCAUGCAUCAAAACCAUUUUACCUAGUUCACAAUGAUGCGUGGGGCCAUUUUAAGAUUUGGUGAAAAAUGGUUUGUAACUUUUAUAGAUGAUCAUACUCGUUUGUGUUGGGUAUAUUCAUUGAAUAAAAAAACUGAAGUAGAAAACGUGUUCAAAGAAUUUAAUAAGAUGGUGGAACACCAAUUUUUAACUAAAAUUAGUAUUCUUCAUAAUGAUAAUGGUACAGAGUAUUUUAGUGAGCACUUAGGGAAUUUUUUGAGAGAAAAAGGCAUUCAUCACCAAUCUACAUGCAUUAAUAAUCCACAACAAAAUGGAAUCGCCAAAAGAAAAACAAACAUUUACUUGAAGUAGCUCUUUAUAAUCUUUUCAAUUCAUGUUCUGAAAUAUCUUAGGGGUGAGGCUAUUUUAACAGCAUCCUAUUUGGCUGAGAUAUUUUGGGGAUUUCUUAGCUGUUUAUUUGUAUGUAACUAGACAACAGGAAAGUAAGAUAUUAAGCUAGCUGGUGUCAUUAUCAAUUCCUAUGUUUAUUCUAUGUAUUCUUCUCGAAGUAGCAAACUCUAUAAGUUAUUUAAGCAAGAAAGAGUAAAAUACAAAAAAACUCUAUUUCUGAUCUUCUCUUCUAAGUUUAUAAAACAAUGACAAAGUGGUCCAGUACACUUUUUGCAUUAACAGAAUUGUGCAGAUAACAGAUCAAAAACCUACCUAAUUUCUUGAGAAUAGAUAAGAUACCUAAGAAAUUUCAAUUCACUGUUCUAGUAAGCUAAAUGCAUGUUAAGUUGCUAUCCCAACUGCACAUAUUAUAGUUCUCAAUUCCAACUAUCCAGUGAAAGGCAACACGCAACAUUUGCUAAGCUUAUGCUGACCACCUUGAAACUAAUGCUCAAUGGGCACAAAUCACCAGAAUAUCUAAAGAGAAAGAAAAGAAUGAUACCACAAGAAUCUAACAACCCAAAAACUAAGACACAAUGAUAUCAAAUAAAGCAAUGCACAAGAAGUAAGUGCAUUGUUACAAUCAUUAAAGCAUCAUAUUUAAGGGUUAAUUUCUCUACAACAUGUUCAAGAUAUUCCAAGGACCUUUUAUUCUUCUAUUUUUUAUUUUUUUUUUACUUUUCCCCCAGAUUGUAUAACAUCCAGAAAUAAAACUGUGAUUAUUAACAAUGGAGAAAAAAAAAUACCAUAAAGAGAAUAGAGAAACCAUAAGAACUGAUAACAACAUAAAUUGGGACUCUUACCAAAUUUAGACUGUUCUCUGCAACAAAUAAAAUCCCUUUAGGGCAUUCAACAGAACACACAGGAGUCGCAUGUGUUGAAGGUUGAAAUGAAAUAGAAGUAUAAGCCAGGCUGUGCCUUGCAGUUUGCAACAACCACGGCCUGUCACUGAGAGCAAUCAUGUCUGCGUCAAGCAAGUCACUCAGAGGAACAAGGAAAACAGGAGUGAUGCCAAUGCGACGGGUGGCAAUCAAUUGAAGAUUAAUCGGAAGCUCAUCUUUGGACUCUUCAGAUAAAUUAAAAGCAGACAUUUCUGAACCAAAAGAACUAGUAGCCGCUAUACCUGAUCGAAUAUUCUCUGUAUUUCUGAAAGUGGCACUAAUAGGACUGUGAAUGGGUGCAACAGAUGAAGGUAUAUUAGAGUCAGGAGGCCACUCAAACCGAAGGAGCAUUCCAUUCCUCAACCCCGCAAGAACAUAAAACUGAUCAGCCAACACAAGUCUCACAUCUUGAGGAAUGCAGCCACUAAUAGCAGUUCCCAUAGUAUUUGUCAACACAAUUGACCCAGAAGCAAGAACUCUCAACCCUUCCUUGGGUACAAAUGACAGAACUUCCACUGAAGGCCUAUGUGUGCCAAUAACAAAGGUAUAACCAAUGAUAACUCCAGCUGGAAGUGCAGGCACACUGCUAUUACUCACAAGACUGAUGGGAGAACUUGAUUUUCUUCGCUCAGGAUGUUUUUGAGGUAUGGAAAUGCAUGAUAACUCACUCUGCAAUCUCAUAUGUUGCAUCUCAUAUAUUUCAUAAUGACUCACUGAGAGUGAUCUGACCCCAAGAAUAAAUAGGAAGCAUGGAUUAGAAGUAGAAACAAUUAUCAUAUUAUGAGCAACUGCCCCCAAACUGAUGCUUACGUGUUCUGGGAACCAAGAUGUACAAACUGGAUAUGACAACGGGAUACCCCCAGAAUGGGCAACCAUGGUUGGCAUACAAAGCCUAACAGCAUUUUGGUGAAUCUGAACCAGCAAACCAUCAGCGACAAGCCCACAUGCCAAAGUACAGACAUCAGGCCGGAAACCAACAGAAUCAGUCACAUCAGUAAAGUUUAGGCCUACUCUUAGCACCCUGGUCUCUUCAACAAAUGAUAGUACAAGAAAAGAAUGAUAUGGAUCAGAUACUUUCAUCCGAACUGUCCAAGUACCAGUAAUGCCCUGAUAUAUAGGGGCAGUUCUCAAUAGUUUUUCUAAACUUAUACCACUCCGAAUAAUCCUUAAUGAUCCCUCUGGUGCCACUCCACAGCAUGCAAACAUUUGAUCACGUUUUUCAUCAUGGUAAUCCACAACUGACAUGUCUAAUAUCGGUGCAAUGUUUUGAAUGGGACUUGUGUAUACUAAUCUUCCAUUUUCUUCUUUCAAGACCAUUCCAUCCCCCAUUUCUACAAAUGCAGACAGGAACCUCCCUUCAACCCACAAAAGUGCCUUGCAUGGUGGGCCUUUGUAAAGACAUUCUGACAGAUGAACUUUAUGGCCAUCAGAACCAAAAGCAAUUUCAAUCAUAAAAAACUCACCUGUAUCCACACAAAACACCAUCUUUGGAAUCUUAUCAGUUUCUGGUUCCCAACUCCACGAGCACACAUGUUUGGAGGGCUCUUUUGCAUUGCCACUGUCACUAUCUAUACACAUGGGAUCAUAAUCGCGUAGCUCCAAUAAAGCACAUGCUGCAACAUUGAACAAACCUUCAUCAUCAACAUCAUGUACUCUACAAGACUCGUCAACAAAAUUUUGUUCCUCUAGAGCAGGGGGUAAAAAGUUCAGGCUUGUUCUAUAAACGCAAGAGGGAUUGUGAGGAUCUCUAAGAUCCAUUAAUAAUGCAUCACCAAUCCUAAACACAAAGGCAAAUCCAUAAGAACGUGGAACUUCAACAACACAAUGUGCCAGUGGUCCAGCUUCAAAAAAACAUGAAAGCACACUUAUAGCAUGUUCCCUAAUAUUCCAUCCCACUAGCAGCAAUUCGUUCAAGAGCGCCCCUCUCCUGCAGGACCAAAUUUUAAUAUCUUAGCAGGAAACAUCAACCAAAAAAGAAAAGAAAGAACGAGAGAACAACUUUCAACUCGUAGGAUCAAAAAAAUGGAGAACAUAAAUAAAAAUACCCUGAGUAGAAAAUUAACAUAUAGAAUAAUCAUACCUAUUCAGAAUAAUGGCUAGUAUCGGAUUAUGCUCCUUACUUGGUUGACGAGGAUCGGUUGAAAUAAAGCACAUGCUCCAUAUUGUACCACUUAUACUGUUUUUUUGGGCAAUUCUGGAAGCAGAUGUGUCCACUUCACUUUCAGAAGGAUAACAUAUUUUCUGAAAUAGUGACAUACAAGGGUAUCAGUAACUGUACAAAAUAAGCCCCUUUGGCACUGCACACAGAAUGCAUUGACAGAAGAAAAUGUUCCACAAAAGGAAUAUAAUACGUACUCUAAAACAUAUGAGCAAAUAUUAUCAACAAUAUCACCUUAUCAAUAAUAUCACUUCCAGAAGACAUUGAGAGGGAAAACAAACCCAAUCGAUCUUCAUAUGCACUAACAGCAAUGAGGCAGCCACUGAGAAAGCAAAACAGCACAGAUUAGGAGAAUUGGGAGGAAUGUCUGAUGCAAAUUAAAACAAAUGAAAGAGGUAAAAAAUGUCAAGUUGCCGCAUUUUAUUUAAACAGAUAUGUAGAAACUAUUGAUGCCCUUUCUUAUUGGCAAAGGAAUGAGCAAGCAUCCCUUUUGCAAUUACAAGAAAUAGUUUGCAUAGUGCUGUCCAUCUAAAAGCUGUACUAUAAAAGGGGAAGGGAGGAAUAAAAUAAAGCCUAGAGUCCAAUUUUGGAAAGAUAAGAGAAAAUAAAAAGGGCAAGAUAACCAAAAUAAAGAUUAGUUCACAGCCAUGCACAUAUGACGCAUAGCCUAAAGAACAGCCAGCCAAAAAAAAAAUUGAAAAGAUUUUUUUCCUAUCCUAGUGUCAAAGGUGACUUGCCUGGAAUCAACCGCCAGCAUUCUUCCAAGUUGAUGCCUUGAGUUUCCUGGAUUUGAAAGAUGAACCUGUGCCACCGGGAAAAACCUACCUCAAAAGACAAAAAUGAAUAAUUUAUCACCAAAGUAAGCAUCCUCAAGAUUCAGUAAAACCAUUCCUUAUCCACAGACAAGCUAUAUUAAGCAAGAAAAUUCAGAAACCUGUGCAUUUCAUUGCAAAAAGCGAGAAAUGAGAGCUUCCCCGAAUCAGAAAUAACAACCAGAAGGUCUUUCCCCAUCAACUACAGAAGGAAAAAGUGAAUCAGGGAAUAAAAUGGUUACAGAAGGACCAGGUAAAUGUCACUAUCAAAGGAUAAUUGCCUUUCAUAAAAGGUAAUUUCUUUAAUCAGUACAAAGAUUUAGUUAAAACUAAGUUCUCUAUAACUACCUGCGAAUUCUGAGCAUUGAACUUUUUGUUCCAAGGUACAACAGCAAGGUCCUUAAUUGUGCCAAAUACAGCCUGCUCACAAACUGAUUGUACAAUCCCAUCUUCACCAAUUAUUACUAACUCUAUUGACGUCUCCUAAAAAAUGCCAUCACCAAAAUACUGUCAGACUAGUACAUAAUAGCAAGCGCUCAAGAAUAAAUAAAUAAAAACCACAAUGUCAAGUUGCAUUUAAGUAAAAACAUGCACGCAAUGACAGGUUUCCAUUUUCAGUUCUCCAACAAUGAAGCUCCAGCAGCUGCUUGAUUCUACUUUUAGUAACAUUUCAAAGUGACAAUUUUCAAUCAACUUUCACCAGAACGCGAUUAAGUUUCAAUACACGCAAUACGUGAGAAAACUGAAAUCGAGGACCUUGCCGAAUACGACGUCGUUGGAGGUCGGAGAGCGGAGAUGCCCGUGGGCGACCUGAAGAACGACGCUUCCUUUAAGAACGCAUUUGGCAAGGUAAUGAAUGUUCCGAGGAGGCGACGCGGGGGCCGACGAUGAAGACGGUGACGAUCGCGACUUCGCCGUCGAGCACACUUCCUCCGAAACCGCCAUCACGAUUGAUGUUUUCUUGUUAUCGUGAUGAAGAAGCUAGGGCUUAUCGGUUUGUUCGUUCCUUUGUACUAUAUCAAAGGAAAUGGAAGCUUUUAGGGCACUGGAUUAUUCAUGGCGAAUUGAACUGAAUGAACAUCGUAGGUGAAUCCAGUUGAGAGGGGGCGCUGCGUAUGAAACUGCAACUCCUGUAUUAUUGCAAAUGUCCUUUUCAUUUCUUUGUUGUUAUUAGUGAUCAGUGAAUAGAAUGACGAAUUUUUAACCAUUUUGGUAAUUUAUGAUAAGUUUGGGGCUUGAAAAGACUCUGGCUUCUGACUUUCUGCUAUCCUUUCAUGGGAAAGUCCUUUAUGCCUUAUCCUAGGGGGUGACAAUGACAUGUUUCUAAAAUUAUUAGUAGAAAUUUGUAGUUAAUUUACUUGGUAAGGUUAGUUAAGGCUUAAAAAUGGUACUACAAAUUUGUUGUAACGUUUAGGAAUGCAAAAUCUUGUGUAAACUGCUGAUUUGCCAUCAAAAUAUUGAUUGAUUGAAUUUCACCUGUACCUAGAUUCAUUUAUUAUAUUAAAUUUUACAUUUUAUCUAACUAAUAAUGUAUAAACAGCCAGUUUCCAUUCUCACUAAGCAUUCAAUUCAUAACUAGAAAUUAAUAAUGUCGGGACUCCGUAAUAUUUCACUACAUUCAUAUGAUAGAAUUGAUUGGAGUGAAUAUGCGAACAAUCAUAAGCAAAAAUGUUAUGAAACGCUCAGGUUACAACUAUAUAUAGUAUUAAAGAACGAUGAUCUGGUCAAAUUUAUGUUUGAUAAUUAAACAUGCUAAUACUAUUAGAUAAUAUAUCAGUACCAUUCUUCCAAGACAAACUGCUAAUGCACAGAAUGUAAUUUUUCACAAUUGAAGCUGCCUACAAUAUAUGAAGACUCCCCGAUUGCAAAACUGUACUUGUUAUCAAUAUUCACUACCUCCAGACAUUAGAUAACAGAAACUUCUAGCAAUCUUGCCAGUAGAAUCUCCCGUCAGUAUAGAUACAGUUCUCAAAUGCUCUACUGUCCCUCUAAGGUUCCAAGGGACUCCUUGAGACGUCGUUGUGCUUCUUCUCUCCGCCUGGAAAAGCAAUGGAAACAACUUUCAGAGAAAAAUUAUGGAACAUUUAAGUUCAAAUAAUUUUCAAAUUCUAUCAGCUGUUACAGUCCCUACACAAAGAUCACUUCUGCCUUGUAAUAGCUUCAAAAUACCACUGCUCGUAAUAAUAUCAACUCCAUUUGCAUGACACAUAAAAAAGGAAGGAACUUAUAAUCAUGGCACUGUGUUGUCAUAACUGAGUUAUUUGUGAUAAAUGAUUAAUGUGGUACAUAUUCAGCAUAGACCACGAUGCUCAAUUGAUCAGCCAGUUUGUGAUGCUGACAAUACAUACUCACCAUACAGCUCCUCAAAUUUCAUAAUGAUGCUACCCCCUUAACCCAAACUAAGCCAACAUCAAAAUUUUACCCAAAUAUGAAUCAAUUUUACACUAUUUAUGAGAAUAGGUAAAGUUUUCAAGCACAUCAAACAUGGCCCAAAAGUUGUAACAAAUAUACCCUUUGAGACUAUUAUUUCAGAACGAGAAAUUACUGCAAAACCAAUGCUCCUAGACACCAAAUCUCAACCCAAGGGUUAUGAUGAAGUGAAGUGGUAGACCAAUCAAGUGUUCGAAUCCGACCCACACCAGGGUUGGGCAAGGAUAGAGAAACAAGCCAGUAGACAAAUAUCAUACACUAGUCAGAAAGCACAUUGUUAUUUGUUUGGCAUUAACCUAUAACCUAUCACACAGCAUGUGAAAUGAGAUCAUCAACAAUUCACCGUUAUCACAAUAAUAAUAGGGCUAUUCAAACCCUCAAAUAAUCCUACUGUAACUUGUAUAAAAGGACUGAAUCACACCUCUGAAUUCUCAAAAAAGUUUCAUUUUCAAGCAGCUUGUAAGUAUUUCACUAAGGUUUGAAUAAAUCAUACCUCUUUAUAUCCUCCACAGCUUGUUUACGGCGCUGUAUCUGAAGCUCUAGGAUAUGUAUUAAUGUUGCUCUAGCCUGGAGUGCAAAAGAUGCAACACACGGAAUGUGAGCGGGUGGUUUCUCAAACAUGAACCAAGAAAAAGAUCUUGUUCACAUAACAAUAUUCUACCUGAUGAGGACGUAAUGAAUUGAGAAGAUGAUGCAAGUUCUUGAAUAUAAGAGAUAUGUCUUCCACUCUCCUGGCAUAUUGAGAUGGUCUCUCAACAAGGACAUCAGAAAGUUCCAAUAUGUGCAGCUGCAAUUCUCUGUUCAGUGACCUCAAUUCUUUCUUGAAAUCUACACAAAGUAGCAGUAAGAAUUUCAUUGCCAAAAUCAUUUUAGCAGCAAAAAUAUGAUGCAUGUAUAAAAACUUGUGAAUGCUUAAUGUCCCUCUACAAUCACUUUAUAACACUUUGGUAAAUAUAAGUGAAUAAGAAGAAGAAUCUCCUGCCACCUUCCUAAACAAUCACUUUCUAAAACUUAUGAAUGCUCAACGUCCCUAAACAAUCAAUUUAUAAUGCUUGGUAAAGAUAAGUGAAUAAGAUUUGAAGACAACUAAGCAAUGUGAUCAAGGUGACAAUCAUAAUAACUGCCUUGAGAUAUCCCAUAAAACUUAGUACUACGGCAAUCCCAAUAAAACAAAAAGGGACUACUGGUUUCCUAACUCUUUGGAUAUGUAUACCUGAACAGUUGUAUAUACAUUCUCCAAAGAGUUGUUACCAAUUCUUACAGACUACAGGAUUGCAGCCAUUUUCUAAAACCUUUUUAGGGACUUAUCACCCCGCACAGGAUAUGUAAGUGAGCAGAUACUUUCUCAGUGAUGAUGUCCUCAUUUCUCAAUCAAACUCUCAAUUCAUCGUUUGGACAAAACUCUAUAAAUGAAGCAGCACAAUUACAACAGCAUCAGUCGAACAAAGUCUGAACUCUUGCAAUCUUUCCUCCAGAGAAUAUAUUAAAAAGAAUCCAUUUAUAGCCUUCCACUGACACUGAUAUUUAAAUAUUAAAGUCACAAACUAAAAGAUCAUACCCAGCACCCUGCCUUGGAAAAGAAAAAAAAAAAUUUCCCGUGUAAAUAGGUUACAAGUUAGCAUACGCCAUGUGACAA
Molecule: long non-coding RNA, 147001 nt
Filed under: Citrus sinensis (sweet orange)
Lineage: Eukaryota; Viridiplantae; Streptophyta; Magnoliopsida; Sapindales; Rutaceae
Description: long non-coding RNA (CSIN_LNC002665)
Source: RNAcentral